CCUAACCACCUUGUUUCUUCCUGGUCUGGUAAUGACCCCUGUGAAGGGCCAUGGUUGGGAUUGUCCUGCGCCGACCAAAAGGUUUCCAUCAUAAAUUUGCCUAAGUUUGGUUUUAAUGGUACCUUGAGCCCUUCUCUUGCAAACCUAGAGUCUCUUUCUCAAAUUAGACUUCCAUCCAACAAUAUAACAGGUCAGGUUCCCACUAACUGGACUAGCUUGAAAUCUCUGACAUAUUUGGAUUUGAGUGGCAAUAACAUUUCCCCUCCAUUUCCAAACUUCAGCAAAACAGUAAAACUUGUCCUAUAUGGCAAUCCUCUAUUAAGCAGUAAUCAGUCUACUACACCGGGAAACAGUCCGUCAUCUGGAGGUUCACAAUCAUCCUCUGGCUCAGCUUCACCAACCAUGGGAUCAAAUUCUGGCACCAGUGAUUCGUCUGAAGAACCAACCAAAAAUAAAAAUUCCAAAGGGCCCAAGUUAGUUGUAAUUGUAGUCCCUCUUGCGAGUUUUGCACUUCUUGUUUUUCUGGUUGCUCCUCUUUCUAUUUAUUACUGUAAGAAGAGGAAAAAUACCAACCAGGCUUCUAGUUCCCUUGUGAUUCACCCAAGAGAUCCGUCUGACUCAGAAAAUAUGGUUAAGAUUGUAGUGGCCAAUAGCAACAAUGGAAGUGUUUCCACACUGGGGGCUUGUUCUGGAAGCAGAAAUAGUAGUGGGACAGGUGAAUCUCAUGUCAUUGAGGCUGGAAAUUUGGUCAUAUCUGUUCAAGUUCUUCGAAAUGUAACCAAGAACUUUGCCCCAGAAAAUGUACUUGGACGUGGAGGUUUUGGUGUUGUUUAUAAGGGAGAACUGGAUGAUGGAACAAAAAUAGCAGUGAAAAGAAUGGAGGCAGGCAUCAUUAGCAGCAAAGCUUUGGAUGAAUUUCAGGCUGAAAUUGCAGUUCUUUCAAAGGUCCGGCACCGUCAUUUGGUAUCUCUUUUGGGGUAUUCUGUUGAAGGAAAUGAGAGGAUUCUGGUAUACGAAUACAUGCCUCAAGGGGCUCUCAGCAAGCACCUUUUCCAUUGGAAGAGCCUUAAAUUGGAGCCUCUAUCUUGGAAGAGAAGGCUAAACAUUGCUCUGGAUGUUGCUAGAGGGAUGGAAUAUCUUCAUACUCUGGCUCAUCAAACCUUCAUACACAGAGAUCUUAAAUCUUCAAAUAUCUUGCUUGGUGAUGAUUACAGGGCGAAAGUUUCAGAUUUUGGAUUGGUGAAACUCGCCCCUGAUGGGGAGAAGUCUGUGGUGACCAAGCUUGCUGGGACAUUUGGAUACUUAGCACCAGAAUACGCCGGUAAGCAUUCUAUUUUAAGUACUUUUUUAAUCUGCAUUGCCUUGAAUUUUGAGACUAACACUGAUUAUAGCUUCAUGAAUUCUUGAUGCACUACACACAUGUAAGUUAUAAGAAUUCCUGGAAAGGAUUUGUGCAAUCAUUCUCUAGUGGUCAGAUACUAGGAUUUCUAGAGUUAGCCACCUUCUCAUAGACAAAAUGCUGAAGUAUCUGUUUUAAGAUUUGAUAUAUGAGAUGGAACCUUGAUGAAACUUCAAAACUUAUUUGAUUUUAAGUCAUUUCAAUAUUCCAACAAACCUUGGUUGUCUCUGAAACUUUUUGUUGCUUGAUAAAAUUUUCAAAGAGAGGUUUGAAAUUUGGAGCAGAGUUUCAAUUUUGAGCAGGUUGACGGUUUUCAUGCCGAAAAUGAGAUUUCAAAUCUUGAUUUACAUCUCUUAGCUAGGAAAUCAUGUAAUUCAUCAGUAUGUCUGGAAUGUCUGAGAUGUUUAUGCUGUAUGCCAGAGUACCACACAUUUUUAGCCUCUUCCCAUUAGUUGCAUGUAAAAUAUUGGACUAACUAACUCAAGACAUUGAAUGCUGAUUGUUCAGUGACAGGAAAAAUCACAGUUAAAGUGGAUGUCUUCAGUUUUGGGGUUGUGUUAAUGGAGCUAUUGACUGGAUUGAUGGCACUAGAUGAAGACAGGCCUGAGGAAAGCCAAUACUUGGCGGCAUGGUUCUGGCACAUAAAAUCUAACAAGGAGAAGUUGAUGGCUGCCAUAGAUCCAGUCCUUGACAAGAAAGAAGAAACAUUAGAGAGCAUCUCCACUAUCGCAGAACUGGCUGGGCACUGCACAGCAAGAGAGCCGAGCCAACGACCUGAAAUGGGCCAUGCAGUGAACGUACUGGCCCCUCUUGUUGAGAAAUGGAAGCCAUUUGAUGAUGACACAGAGGAGUAUUCUGGUAUUGAUUACAGCCUUCCCCUGAACCAGAUGGUGAAGGGAUGGCAAGAAGCAGAAGGAAAGGACUUCAGCUACUUGGACCUAGAGGAUAGCAAGGGGAGUAUCCCAGCAAGGCCAACUGGAUUUGCAGAUUCCUUCACUUCAGCUGAUGGUCGAUAAAUGAGGUAUUUUGUGGCAUUCCAUUUAUCGCACACCAUUCUUCGGUAGGGUCAUGUAGAUAGCACAUCAUUUUCUUUGUGGUGUUUGAGAAUUUAAUGUACGUGGUAAGGGUGUUUGAAUUAAGUUGGGGAUUUGGAAUGGUAAGAGAUGCCAUGUUGAACUUUGAUCAUCAGCUGUGCAUGGGGGUGUAGAUACAGAACCAAAAAUGGAAUGUGAACUGCUUUAUCUGUUGUUCCUGUAUGGAAUCCUGUAAAUUCCUUAUCCAUCCAUAAUUCCAUUUCCCUUUCUCAAAACCACAUAUUUUUUUUAUUAGAGAUUGUGCUGUAAUGAUGAUGCAGGGGGUAGUGCAUGAGAAGUGAUAUUUGGGUGGAAUUGAGCUGAAACCUUAAAUCCUCACCUUCCCAACUGGACCACUCUCCCAAAAUUAAUUGGGCCAAGCAAACAUUUCGGUUUUAAUGACACAUGACAUAGACAUGGAUAAAUAUGGAAAACUUUUGUGAUGUUGGAGACACGCGUAACGCAAUAGACACAAUGGCACGACGCCCCGCCCCAUCUGGUAGUUAUCCGUGUCGGCACUGCACUGGUGUAUUGGCACAUCACUGGACCGUCCACUUCAUUGGGCCCAAUGAUAACGAGAGAUCCUAAGAGGAUGCAUCGUGUAUGGUAGAUAACUGUGAGGAGUGGUGGUCCUGGUCCUGGUCCUGCUGGAGGUCAUUUUCAUUUUUUCAGGGAGUAAUCGUAAUGCCGAUAAUCACGUAACUAAUAUCAUAUUUUGUAUUACCUGAUGUGACUACGUGGGUUUUCAGAUCUAUUGUCCGUCCAUCUUGCCAUAUGCCUUAUUUAGUAGCUUCAAGAUACCGAAGAGUAUAUUUAUUAGGGUUGUUGCUCCACUGGGAGUUGUUGCAUACGUGCAAUGCCGAUUCACAUGCCGCACUGCUUUUGACAGUCCCACCACCAUCGAUGGAGCUACCGUUGCAUUUCAAAUAUUAAUUUUCACCAAACACUCAAAUAAUAAUAAUAAAAAAAAAUAUUUACGUUAGCAUUUUGCAUUAAAGCGAUGUGCCACAAUUUGAUAUUCUUAUUCAUCCAAGGUGCUCAUAAAAGGAAUCAAUCUAUAUCUUUUUCAUGUCAAGAUUUCGUAUCUUCUUUUUCUUUUGAAAGUGAAGAGAUUUAAUUUGCUUUAUAUAUUAUAUUACAUUCACCGCCCACAACCACCAUGCAAUUUGGUCAUCAAAUUUCUGGGCUUCCAAGUUGAUACCCAAAGGACCCACACACAAUACACAUAGAAACUCUUUGGAAAUAUUUUGACAGAUCCUCUCUCUUAAAGGAUCGAUUGGCAGCCUAAUAAUUUUUUCAGGCUAGUGAGAAGGAAAUAAAAUAGGAGUCAUAAUAUUAAGAAUUUUAUUGAAGGUUUUACAAAAUUAUGGAACAGGAAUGAAAUAUAUGUUUAUCAUAACACCUUUAUUAGUAAUGUUUUAAAUUUAAUAUUUAAAAACCAAUAAAUUAUAAUAAAGAAAAUUACAUUACAAUUAUAUAUGAGGAUGGUAAAAUUUGAUAUAAUUUGUCAAUACAAUUCAACAUGCUUUUCAUAACUUGUAUAAAAUAAAACUUAUUUAAUAAUCCCAUUAUAAACCUAAUUAUAUAUAUAUAUAUAUAUAUAUAUUUAAAUAAUUUGGAUUUUAUUUUUAUUCAACUUCCCUGGGACAUGAGAAUUGAUGAGAAAAAGAAUGAUAUAUGGAUUCCCGGUAUUCUUUCCUACAGAUUGGCCAUGAAUUACAAAUUUACUUUUAAAAUGGUGUACUAAUCAAAGAUGUGUGUAAAAAUUUCCAUUCAUUUUAAUUUAUAUAUACACAACUUUUGCGUCAAAAAUUGGCUAACAUUUGCUUCCCAUGCGAGGCAAAGUGAGAAUUUGAAGCUCUUGUUUAAAAAUAUUUCCCUUAAAUUUAACAUUUGAUUUUUAUUUUCCCAAAAUAAUUUUUGUGCUUGAAAAAUAUUUUAAGAUUUUUUAUAUCCCAUACAAGUAUAUGAUACCUUUGUCAAGAACAAACAAAAAAACUAUUUUUCAUAUUUAAAUUUUCAAUCAAAAUUUAUUUCUGAAAAUAAUUAAAAUAUUUAAAAACUGUUUUUUAAUAGCUAUUUUCAAUGCUUUUACGUUCUCUCGCAAAGUAACGAGAACGGUCAUGUAGCGCCAAUAUUCUUAUUAUCUAUACUGUUGAAACACAGCUCUAAAAUUCCUCCGGAUCAUAAUGGGCCACAAAACAACACAUUGUGUCUGACAUUGCCUAGAACUAUUACCCCCGCACGAUGGGUAUGGCAGGCAAUUCUCAAAUAUCAAUCAAAUGCUCCUUUGUACAAGACAUAAAAAUAGAUUUCUGCGUGUUUCAGUUACAUCCCAUUGGCAGCCUCCCUAAUCACGAAGUGAUGCUCGGGGCACUGAUGGUAAACCCAAUUCAUCCUCAGGCUGCAAAGGAAUCAUAGUUUGGGUAGAAAAAGUAAGCAUCAUUGAACUCAUGGCACCAUAACUUAAAACAAUACAAAGAUAAAUCUAGUGAUAUAAAUGCAGUAAGUUAGCAGUCUAUAAAUGCUUGAACAUUUUAUUUAGUGCAUGGGUAAUGCGGCCAUUAGGAACAUAGAUAUAUACAAUAUGCAAUUUUCUCAACUAGGAAACUAGUAACAGCUAAUAAGCUGAUCUCAGGAAAAUUCCAUAGGCAAAAUUUUCAAAGAAUUCAAGACAAGAUAUUUUUACAUCAACUGAUCUCUGUUUAAAAGAGGAAGGGGGUAUAAACAGUUCUAUCAAUUGGACAACUUGGGUGAUGAGAGCAAACUCAUUAAACCAAAAUCAUAAAGCCCAUUCCUGGUAGUCUAAUAUAUUAGAUUAAGAAAAAAAGUAUAUGUUUUUCUAGAUGAUUAAUCCAGUUUGAUCUGCCUUAAAAUUCUAGAGGGGAGGGAGUUAUUACUAGAAUAAUUCAGUACUUCUAAAAAAAUUGUGGAUAACAAAUUAUGCAAUCCAAGGAAAUAAAGGAAACAGUCAAAAAACAGGCUUCCACAGGAAAAGGGCAGGCAAUUUGCCCGGAUUCCGUUUAAUCCAUGUUAAGUAAAUAAUUUUUUCGAUAGGCAAUGAUGAAAUACAUUAAACGAGCCUAAUAGUGCAAAGUACAUCAGAAGUACACAAAGAGCACCAGUGAAACAACAAAAACGAGCCAAAGAGCAACCAAGGCGGGAUUGCAUAAAAGUUCUUUGAGCUCAACUGGUGAUGCUUCUUUCUCAGUUGGCAUUCAUUCCUAGCUACUAGAUCCUAAAUACCAUCCUAUAUAUUAAUUUAUAGGAUCAUAGGUACAUAUAUUUUCUUUAUUUUUCCUAGUUCUUCCUUUUCUACUUCAUCUUUCUUUUCCCUACUUUUUUGAUAGGCAAGUGGAUAAUAAAAGUGUUAGCUCAAGUCAAGGACUGAAUAUGCAUGACAUGAGAGCUCAACUGGUCAUGCUUCUUUCUCAGUUGCCAUGAUUCCUAGCCACUAGAUCCUAAAUGCCAUCCUAUAUAUUAAUUUAUAGGAUCAUAGGUAUUUAAGUUUUCUUCGUUUUCCUAGUUCUUUCCUUUCUCCUUCAUCUUUCUUUUCCCUACUUUUGAUAGGGCAUGUAGAUAAUGAAGUGUUUAAAGCUCUGAUUGAGGACUGAACAUGCAUGACAUGAGAAUAUACUUAGAAUAAUUACAGAAAAGCCAUAGUGUAAAAGAAUAAUUUUGAAAAGUAUAGGCUAAUCCACUAUCUCAAGCAAUAUUUCUUUUAAGUUGAAGAUUACAUGUGAAGUUAAUUUUUUGUUUUAUGAUCCUUUUUACUUCUCAUCACCGAAUAUUCUUACCAAAAUUUCUCUAUAAGAAAGGGCUUGAGUAGAGCAAGUUCCUCGAAAAAUUUAAGCAAGUUAACAUGCAAUAGUUUCUAGACAACAGGUGGAGGACAAAAAUUACCCGGGCAUUUUGUCUGCUGGGUGGAACUGCACCAUGUCCAGUUGGUGCUGAAGGCAAGCUAAGUUCUGCAUCCAAAUCAGGUUCCUUAUCAGGUUGAAGAUAGGCAGGCACUCCUGUGGACUCAGUCUCCAUUCCCAUGUCUGCUUCCAAGGCAUCAAGCUCUGCAGGGGAAAAAAGAGGGACAUAAAACAAUAAAUCUAUAAAAUUAAAAGAAGGGGGGAGAACCCUUUGCUGACCCUCGUGACAAGCAAGGAUACUGAAGAAAAUGCAACAUUCUCUUAGCAUCCAUUCCAAAGUUCCAUGACAUAUGAAUACAAUUUAAGCAUACCGCCCAUGAGGUCAUCCUCAUCAAUGUCAUCUGGCACAUUGUAACUUCUGCCAAGGGAUUCUUGAAUUUCUGAGCUUACAUCCAUCAGGUCCAUCAUCUCAUCUUGCAUGCUCUGAAAACAAAAACAAUCAGUUGUUCAGUUUGGCGGUCCAGAUGAAAUAUAGCUAGCAUGAUGCAUAGAACCUCGGUAAAGCAAUACAGACAUCUAUAUCUUCAAUCUUCACAGUCUUCAUCAUUCCUUUUAACUCCUUGUUUGCAGCUUUCAAAGCUGUCAUCUGAAAAGAAGCAUAAUAAUUAGAUUCAAAGAAACUUCAGCCAAACGAAUGAAAACCGCAAAAUAAAAAUGCAUUUGGAAUAAAAAAGAGAUUAAACAUUAAAUAAAAUCAACAGCGAUAGGGGAAUGUGGAAUAAAUGUGUUUACAUUAUCCUCACAAAAACGAGAGUAUCGUCUACAAACAAUAGGCGUGAGAUUUGAAUCCCUUCUCCCCUCUACCCUCAAUCUUGAAGCCCUUAAUGAAACUUCCCUGAUCAGCCUUCGCAAUUAAGCAGUAAGGGCUUCCAUGACCAAAACAGAAGGAUGAGGUGAAAGAGGGUCCCCUUGCCUUAAGCCUCUAAAGGUCAGGAAGGACUCUAAGGUGGUGCCAUUGACAAGCAUUGCCAAUCUCACAUCAGAAAUGCAUAAAAGGAUCUACUCUCUCCAUUUAAGACCAAAUCCCAUCAGUUCUAAGACCGAGAGAAGGAACUUCCAGUUUGCAUCAUCAUAAACUUUUUCUAUAUAUAAUUUGCAAACUAAACCAACAUUGGAGCUUCACUUCCUCAAAUCAAUUGUCUCAUUAGCAAUCAAAGCUGCAUCAAGAAUCUGUCUACCCCCACAAAAACAUUCUAAUUGUUUGACAACACCUUACCAACCACCCUUUUCAGCCUAUUAGCUAGGACUUUCACUAGAAGUUUUUUUUUUUUUUUUUGAUAGGUAAAUUGUUAGAAUAUAUUAAAAGCCCUAGGGAAGGACACAACAGCAUACAACUUUCACUAGAAGUUUAUACAGACUCCCCCCACAAGGCUGAUUGGCCUAAAAUCCUUCACGUCACUUGCCCCUCCUUUCUUAGGAAUAAGUACCAAAAGCAUUGCAUUGAGGUUGCCAACCAUGGAUCCUGUGAAUGAAAUUCCUCAAAUAGCUGCAUCAAUUCCUGACCCACUAUAGGCCAACAGACCUUCCAAAAAUCCAUCAAGAACCCAUCUAGUCCUAGAGCUUUAUCACACCCGACUCUAAAAGUGCUCUAGUCACCUCAUCCUCCAAGAAAGGCCCCUCUAAGCCCUCUCUAUCGAACGAAUCAAUGCACUUGAAUAAUUCUAUUGCCAAGUUAGGUCUCUCACUUAGGGAUCUUCAAAGGCUGCUUUAAAGUAGGAGAAUAUAAUUUCCUUAAGCUCCUCCACUUUUUCCAAUUGGAUGCCACUGAUAGUAAGACUACUAAUGAAAUUUCCAUUUCACCUUGCAUUAGCCAUACAAUAAACAAAUUUAGUGUUCUUAUCCCCUUCCUUCAUCCAAAAGGCCGUUGAUCUCUGCCUCUAUGGGGUCAUAGCAUUUCUACUUUAGCCCAGGAAUUAAUCAACUCCAAAGCAAAAUCUUUCCUAAUUGAAAACCUACCACCUUUUUAUUCCACUUCUUUAAGUCAACUUUCAACACUUUAACUUCUUAGCAAGCACAAAACUAGCACUACUUCCAAAAUUAUACUUCUACCACCACUCUUUGAUUCUAUCCGCAAAGCCUGAAACCUUUAACCACAUGUUUUUGAAUCUAAACAGGGUUUUGCCUUUUUCACUCUCCCCCACAAUCUAGAAAAAUAGGAGACUGAUCAAACAUUGGCCUUGGCAACAAAUGUUGCAACAACCCUAAAACAUGCUCCUCCCAAUAACUGAAAAACAAAAAGCAGUCCAAACAAGCUUGAAUGAUCCUCCUUGCCCUUUACUCCAAGUGAAUCAACCUCCACCUAGGGGUGAAUCUAUGAGCUCAAACUCUUCAAUAAAGCUGGAAAAAUAUCUCAUAGCAGCCGACAUUUGCCUACAAUUGCUCGUCAACUGGAAAACACAGCACAUUAAAGCCGCCGGCUAAACACCAAGGCACAUCCCACAGCCCCCUAAUCGAGGCUAGCUCCCUCCUCUCCUUCUCCUUUGGGUCGCAUGCUUAAAGGGAGCAUUUAAAGAGUCAAGUGUUUAUAGUGACAAUAGCACUAAAACAACACCUAAUUUUUGGAUUUCAAUAAGUACGAUAUAGGAAGCUAUUUCUGAACAUAAUAACAACACAAUCAUGAUGCAUAUACAUAUAAUGACGUUUCCCAAUAAAGAGUGAGGAUUUGAUGUAGGUUGUAAUGUGUCAAAAUUCAUAGUUUCUACUGCAUCAAUAUUUUAAAGGAGCAUCACAGUCAUUAUUCAAGAAGAUUCUAUAACCAGAUCAUUCUAGCAAACCAAUGGUGCAUCCUAACACCAAAGGCUUUGAUGCUUCUCAAAAACUGAUCUUUAGCAAGCAAGCCAACAAGAUAAGUGCCAAAAUUUGUGUAAGCAGCAGCAUUUUCCUCGGUCUAAGCUAUAGGAUUGGCCAGACAAAGAUAAUAAGAUGAGGUAAGAUAUGUCCGAAAAGUAAACACCCUUGGCUUGCACGAGAUAAUUGAAGAACGUGAGGUUUGUGUCUUGUUCCCAUCUUUAGCAACCAGGUAGCUUUGCCCUUGAUCUUCCUUAGUGUGACACUACAACACUUAUAGUGAUAUUUGAUACAAUGUUGCAACAUUAAGCAACGAGUGCAGAACGAUGCACCAAUAAGCCAGUUUUUUUUUUUGAUAGGUAAAACAAAGGAGUAUGUAUUAAAAGAAAACGCCCAAACAGCGUCCAAAGUAUACUAACAGGAAGUAUAUAGUGGCCACCAAAAAGCUUAGCUAAGAAAGGGAGGGAAAAAACAAAAAUACAUUACUUGCCCUCAUUUACAACCUAACCAAUCAAUGAAACUAAUAAGUGACCUAGAAUCCACAUUUACAAACGCCCUAGUCCAUGACCAUAAAUUACAAACAAAAGAGUUUUUCAUCCUUUGGACCGAUAACUCAGCAUUAUCAAAUGCAAGCAUGUUCCUUUCUUUCCAAACAGUCCAAAAAAUACAUAAGGGGACAACCUUCCCAGGCUUUUUGCAACCUUUACCCAAAAAAGACCCUUGCCACCUGAGAAGCAUCUCUCUAACCAAGGAGGGGAGGGCCUAAGAAAUCCCAAAGAGAGUAAACAACAAUUGCCAAAGACUCCUUUGCCCUUGCACAAUGGAGAAGAAUAUGAUCAAUGGUUUCUUCUUCAAAGUGGCAAAGAAAGCAUCUGUUUGGCAACAAAACCCCCCUCAUCUGGACAAGGUCCAAAGUUAAGGCUUUCCCCCAAGUCGCCUUCCAAGCAAAAAAGGUCACCUUAGGUGGCACAUAAGAACUCCAAAUGAUGCUCCAAGGGAACAAAAAAGGGUCACCGGGCUUCAACACGGAAAAGAGGAACUUGACUGAAAACUUUCCACUCUUCGAAACCAUCCAAAACAUCCUAACUUCCUCAUCCCUCAACACCAUUUUUUCUUGAAUAAAGGGUAAAAAGUGUUCCAUACUUUCCACCUCCUAAUCAUUAAAUGACCUAGAAAAACGAGGAACCCAACCACCCCAAUCAGCUAUUGAGUUCCACACAUCCACCACCCACACGUCCUUAGUGACAACGAUGGAAAAUAAGGAAGGGAAGGAAACACAUAGUGGCUCGUCUUCACACUACUUAUCCUUCCAAAAUUUCACUCUUUGACCAUUACCAACUAAAAAAAAGAUUUUGUUGCUCAAAAGAUCCCACUCUUUGCUUAUGGCUUUCCAAAGGCCAACUCCAUGACCAUCUCUCACCUCACUAAAAUGCCAUUCCCCUUCAUUUUCACCAUACUUCUGGCUAAUAACUUGCCUCCAAAAAGCCCUUUUCUCAUUGGAAAAGCACCAGCUCCACUUACAAAGGAGGGCUUUGUUCAUCGCUGAAAGACACCUUACGCUCCAGCCCCCUUUCCUUUUCCUAGAACAAACCAUCUUCCACCUUACUAAGUGAGGUUUUUGCACAAGAACCCCACUUCACAAAAGAAAAUCCCUCUGAAUCUGCUCUAACCUUAAACUAACCAGCCUUGGCAUACAAAAAAGCGACAUGAAAAAAAAUCGGCAUACUACAAAGGGUACUACGAAUCAAUGUAAGUCUCUCACCUUUUGAGAUGUACUAUCUUUUCCACAUGGCUAACCUCUUACGAAACCUUUCUUCCACCCCAUCCCAAGUUGUCACAAAUUUAUAAUGGAACCCCAAAGAAAGACCCAAGUAAGAGGAGGGAAGAGCGCCCACCUUACAACCUAAAUCCAAAGCCAAAUCAAGCAAAUUCUCCACAUUUCCCACAAGAAUUAACCCACUUUUCUCCAAAUUGAUUCUCAAACCCAAUCAUAUCAUGCAAUGAAUAAUCCAACUAGGCCAAGCCAAAAAAAUCUGGGUUUAAAUAUUUGGGUUUUUUUUUUAAUAGGUAAAUUUUUGUCCCCAUUGGGACUUGAACCUGGAACCUCCCACAAACCUUUCCCAUCUCUUACCACUUGAGCCAGGCCUCAAGGGCUUAAAUAUAUGGCUACUAAGCACAUCAUGUGAUGAAUCAUCCAAAUGGACCACGCCCAAAAGAUGGGGGUUCAGAUAUAUGACAUUUAUCCCAUAAUGGCAAGACAGAUCACCCAAUUUGGUUGUGUAUCAAGUUAUGUACAGUUGAGCCUUUGAUGCAAACCAAUUCCCUAACUGCAUUUUACUUGUGUACCCAGUAAGCUGUGUAUUCUAAGUUCUAACUAUCUACUAAUACAUUUUUUUAUAGGCAAACAGAAAGUAGUAAGCACCACCUGAAAAAAUGGGGGGAACCAUCUAUAGAUACAUAUAUACAUACACAAAUACUUGUAUGUGUGAAUCAUCAUCACAACGAUUAGCACACUUACAGUUUGCUGAGCAUCUUUAAUUCCUUCAGCCGCAAAUGAAACUUGGUCAAGGUUGAAUGUUUGGUUGUAAAGCAUGUCACGCUGUCCUUCAUACCUGAGCAAAAGCAUAAGGAGUGACCUUAAAUUGUGGAACAUAAAAUUAAUAGAAAAGGAAACUUUGUAGGGAGAGUGGAGGUAGACCGUAGAUAUUUUUAAAAGAAAUACUACAUUCAGUUGCUGGAAAAUUUGAAAAAAAAUGUGAGGGAAAGAAAAUAGAGAGGAGAAAUUAAGGUGAAAGAAAAUAAAGAAUAGCUUUGAAGUCAAUAGAUUAUUUUAUAUGCUACUUUAAACUCAUUUCACUUAUUUAACUCUUCUACAUGAAGAUUAAAUAAGCUAAAAAUAUAUAAUUUUCUAACUAAUUUUACUUAUAUUUUAUUUUCUUUCAUAUUUUUCAUAAUAAAACCACACAUGAAAAAAAAAAUUUUCUUAGCAUUUUUUUCUUUCCUUUCUAAUUUUCUGAAACACAACAUAGCAUAAAGUUAGAACGUGGGCCUUUGGCAAUACCAUAGCUAACACAAAUCCCAAAACUAACUGAUUACUACUCAAAAACCACACAUUUUAGAUACUAAUUUUCCUGAGUUUCACACCUUUUGAGUAAUAAUUAUGCCUAAUAUGCCCAAGUAAUACAUUGCUACCCUUGCAAGAGAUACUAAUGGUUCUUUGUUGAGUUUUGGAGAUAUUUUAAGGUGAUUUUUGAAGCAUGGAGUGACAAAUGGAAAAUGGAAUGGAGAAGGGUACAUAAUGUGGAUGAAGAGGAAGAGGAAAUGCACUUGGACCAAGCUUUGGAGCUUAAUUGAAGGUGGUGGAGAUGUAUUAAAAAUGAAGAAAUGGGAGAAAUUGCAAAGAGGAGUCGGAAAAGCAUGUUUUUCAAUUUCGCAUAGUCAUGCGAAAUGAAACAAAGUAGGAUUGGCUGCAGCACAUAAGGGAAAUGUGAAAAGUGAUUUCGCAUGACCAUGCGAAAUUUUCGCAUAGUCAUGCAAAACGCUCUAGCAAGACGAAAAUGCAGCUGAUGGAUUUUCCACUUCGCAUCAUCAUGCGAAAUUGCUGAGGCUCAUGCGAAAAUGUAUUUUUCUCCAGAUUCCUUGAUGAAGAAGCAUCCGGAAGACCUCUAAAAUGAUGUCAAGUGUCCUUUUGACCUUGGCCUAUAAAUAGAAACGUGAUUGACUCAUUUAAGGAUUUUUGGAUGCAUUUUCUAAUAUUAGAACUUUUCAGACUUCUUCUCUCUAUAUAAUUCUUUAUUUUCCUUCAGUUUCUCUUAUUUUCUCGGUAGCCAAACAUGUCUUGUGAGAUCAAAUCUCUAAGCAUGAGUGGCUAAAUCUCGUUUUUCUCGGAGGAGGGAGGAUCUAGAAGCAAGAUCUAUGGUGAAUUAAAGAAUUGAGCUUGAGUUGCAAAGGUAAUUUGAUCCAAUUGAUUGAUUAAUUGAAAUUUGGGGAUUUUUCUCUUCAAAUUGUCUUAGAUGAUUACUACAAUGCAAGUUAGGUAGAAUCAUCAAAUUCUUAAUGCUAGAUUUGAUGAGAUUGAAUAGUUGCAUAGUAUGAAUCAUCGGAAGAUAAUUUAAGAUGAAUUGAAUAUAUGAUUCCAAUUGAUCUCUUGGAUUAGAUUACCUAAUUUGAAGAGAAAUUAGAUCUAGAUCUAAAGCUAAAUCAAAAAUCGGUUUAGAUGAAAAUUAGAUCUCAGCACCUAUUCACCAUGGAAAUUGCUUUCUAGAAAAUCCUAACUCCGAAAAUCUCACAUCUUAUUAAUUUUCUUCUCUUUUAUACUUCAUUUUCAUUUCAAUUUGAAUACAUUGCUAUCUUGAGAUUUUAUCAUGCAAUUUCAAGUAAAUUUCACUUGAUCACUAUCAUUUCUUAUCAUCUCGUUCAAGCUUUAAUUACCAAGAAUAAUCCAUCAUUGUGGACGAUAUCUAAAUACCACUAUACUACAGUAGUUUGUACUAAAACCAUUUUUUGAUCUGGUACAAAUUGCUAUAGAAUAGUGAAUUAGGUUAUAAAUUUUGUUUUGAUCCAACAAACGACAAAAUCCGAGCGAUCACUAACAAUGGAACUAAAUGCUAUCAAAGUCCACAAAUUGAACCAAGUAAAACAUGAAAUCUCGUAGAUGUCUUAAGCAAUGUGCCAUCCUGAGCUACUAUCCUUUUUAUUGAGAUCAUUAGAGAGAAAGAGAGAGGUGAUUGAAAGCCAUGAUAGAGCUUUAUGCAUAAAGCGUCCACAAAAAUAAAAAACUUCGCUCUUGAAUGCCCAUAGAGAUACAGAAGUACAUGAGAAAUAAUGAGUUGCAGAGGAUUGUUAGUCAUUUUCUGCUAAUCAUGAAGGUCAAGUUCAAUGAUGUAGAAGCAGACUACCGGUUUUGCAUUAAACACAAGAAUUGGCUGGCCCUCCCUGUUAUGAAAUUUCAGGCAAUUCAUUGUAUAACAACAUUGUUACUGAAGCAUGCCCAAAGGCUGAAUCCUUAAAUCGCAACUUUUCCACAAGUAUAGAAGCAUUGACAUACAGUUUUAUCAUAAAUUCCUGCAACAGAUGACUGAAAGCCUGAAGUGCAAACCAGGUCCUUAACACCAAUGGUUUGCUUACUGAUACACUAGGGGCUCCAGCCUUGAUGCCUAAAGUUGGGCACCUUAACUUUCCAGAAGAUCCGCACCCACCCUAAAAGGGGGGAUAAUGGGCCUCAACAAUAUAAAUCAUGUUCCCAAACCAAAUAACUUUAAAGUGAUAGAAGGGAAAAGAGCACAUACAUCCUUUUUUGCUUGAGAACCCUCAUGGCCCUAGCUUUAACAGCUUCUUGAGCAGGACCAGGUCGUGUUCUCUUUAUCUGUUCUUUGUAUUUGCUAAGCUCAGCAUCAAGCCUUGUAAUCUUCUCAUCCACAGUUUCACCUCUUUUAUUAAUCUGCAAACAACAAUUUUAGAUGAAACUACAUCUCAAAUGAAAUAUCUGCAAUACCUGUCUUGAGUGCCCGCCUUGUAAGAUGAGCAAAUUGAGAGGGCAAAUAUAUAGCAGUCAACAUUACAAACGUAGAUGUAAUCUUCAACAUUAAAAAUACAAGAGUCCAGAAUGUGAGACAAAUGAGCAUAGGACGCUCGGUGGUAAACACUGAUGCAGUUUCUAUGCAAGAUAUGUGCAUACAUCAGAGAUGAAAUAUAUAUAUCAUCACCAUGAUCACCUUGUCAUGAAACCAUUGUUAUGAGACAAGUUCAUCACCUUGAUCAAACCAUAACUUGAGAGGGUAUUCAGCACAGAUAUUUCACUUUUCUUAUUUUUAUCUUAGAACUGUUCAUGAUUGCGUUGGUGUAUUUUGGCUUGGGUUUGAAAACUUCCGUUUAAACUUUAAAUACGCAGACUUGCACCCAUAAAAAAUUGACCGACACCUACCAAUUCUCCAACCAAGAUUUUCAAAUUUGCCCUAAUUUUCCACCAAAAAUUGUGAUAACCAAAAGUGAAAUGGAGUUUCAGAUUACAAAUCUAAAAAAUAGAAAUUUUGGGAAGUUAAUAAUAGAGGAAACAAGCCAAUACAAACGAACUAGUAAAUUCAGGCAAGAAGAUAGAGAAAUAAAUUAAAAUUCGUCAAAAGAAAAAAAAAGAUCAACAUGAAUCAACAAAACGAACCCUAUCGGAAGCAUCUUGAACUGAAGGAGGGGGUUCCUUCUCUUUCUUCACUCCGAACACCCGUUUCAUCUUCUUCUUCCUUGAUCCGACUUUCGAUCGAUCUACACAAAUCCCUCCACGAUCUCUUUGCGCCUAACCAAGCUGUUUCCUCCUAUAUUUCUUUGUCCGCGAAUAAGCUUCUUCGUUUGUCCCGUUCCAAAAACGCGGUUUUGAUCUAAAGUUGAAUCCUCAGACAAGAUAGAAUCGUGUUUAAAAUUCUUUCCAGCUUAGCUUAAACCCCUUAGUAAAUUAAAAAAUAAAAUAAAAUAAAAUAAAACCAUAUUUUUCCUAUCCACAUUUCAAAACUGACUGCGUCAAAGACAAAAUAAAAGUUGAAUCUCUUCGGUUCCGUUUUUUGACAUCAAAGAUUUUGCCCGACUUCAAAAUCGUUGAAAUCCACAAAUUUGAAACUUAGUAAAAUUCAUAAAAUUUGCUGGAUGUCGGGAAUCUUGAAGUAUUUUUCCAAAAUUUACGAUUUGUUAGUAAACUCUGUGGGAUGUCUGGGAUCUCAUCAAUUAGUAACUUAAUUAUAUGUAAAAUGUUAAAUUAAUCACUAUAUAUUAAAAUAUAUUUUAUAGCAUUUAAAUUGAUUUAAGAUAUUUAUAAGACUUUAUGAAAAUUAAUAACUUACUUAACAAGCUUUCUGCCAAUAAAUAUAUAAUAAUUUUACGUAUCGUCCACUCUCUAUUUUAUUUCUUCCAAUACUCUUUCUCUUCAUCUUUAUUUUAUAAAAUUUGACAAUGAAUAAAUUAUUAUAACUUACUUAAUAAGAUUUCUACUAGUAAAUAUAUAAUAAUUUUACAUAUUGUAUGUUCCACCUUGUGGUAUUUAUUUAUUUAUUUUUCCAAUACUCUUCAUCAUUAUAUUAAUAAAAUUUGAAAACGAAUUUUUAAAUUGAUUUUAUUUAUGAUAAUGAAAAUAAUUUAGUGGAAGAAAGUUUCAAAAUUAUAAGUUUUACGGACAUUCACAAUAUAAAAUAACAGUUAAUAAUUAUGGUUUUAAUUUUUUUUAAAUGAUUAAAACUAUAAUUAUUAAUUAUGAUUUUAAACUUAAAAUUAAAGUUAUGAUCAAGGACCAUAAUUUUAAUCUCUUAAAAAAAAAAUUCAUAGUCAUUAUGAUUUUAUGAUGUGGAUGUAUACGGGAUUUUUGAAUCGAGUUUAGCGUAUGGAUUUGUCUUUUUUAAAUGGGUUACUUUUGUUCAAAACUCCAUAAUGGGAGCAUCGCAAGGGUGCACCCCAAUGAGUCGAGGGUCCGUGAAUUCCGAAAUUGCCCUUAGUCCAUGCUACCGUUUAAAUUCCAAAGUUGCUUUGCAGAAGAGAAUAGAGGUCUGUUUGGGGGCAAGUAACGUAAGCUGUGGCGGCACUCAAAACCCUAACACGGAAGAAACGGUCCCAAUCUCACAGAACAGAAUUUAUUCGUUUGUUUCUCGGGGGAGUGCAAGAAACUCAUCCAGUUGAUUCUUGGUUUGGUAAGUGGUGAAAAUGGUGCGAAACAAGGCUUCAUCAAAGAAGCAGCAAAAGCGUGGAGUAGACUUCAAAGUAAUAUAUCUGAACACCUAUAUUUCUCUCCUGUUUGAAAAUUUCAACGUUUCCAAGAUUAAUCUGACACUGUUUGAUGGAUUUCCAUAGAAAAUAAAGCGGAAGAUUGGUAGGAAAUUGCCACCACCGAAUAAUGCGACAAGCACUGAAAUCAAAUCCAAAGGUAGUGGUCUUCGUACUCUACUGGUUUUUUUGGUUAUUAUUAUCGACGAAUCUGUGGGUGCAGAUACGUUCCUUUUGUCUACUUGUCGAGGGGAAAAAUCGUAGUUUAAUUUUUUUCUUUCAACGAAAGCAGUUCUUCUUUGUGGUUUGAAAUAUAGCGUAGAGCCUUAAAACAAAUAAAUUUUCAUUAAAAAGAAUUCUGGAACUAUUUAAUUGAAACAAGCAGAUGGUUAAUUUUUUCUCAAAACGAACCAAAGAGACAUGAUAAUUUUAAAGUUGUGUGUUAAAUCUUCUACCAGGAGGAAAACAGCCCUAGAAGAGGUUUUUUUUUUCCCUUCCUUGUGUGUUAAUAGAUGGGUUUGUACUUGUAGUGAUACGGUGUUGUUGAUGGCGUUUGUUCUUAUGUGUAUUCUGAGCAGCAAUUAUUCUUCCUGAGCAGAGUGUGGCAUCAGAGAAGGCAGGUUUAGCCGUGAGCAAGAAAGGUUUAACAUUAAAAGAGCUUCUUCAGCAGACAUCCCACCACAACCCAAAAGUUCGAAAAGGUAUUUGGUUCUUAUUGCAGAAAUUUAUAUAUGUAUAAAGAUUUGCCUUCAACAUUUUGAAGAGUGAUGAUGAGAAUAUGCAAAUGAAAUAAUGACUUGUUCCUUUAUAAGAAAAUUAAGAAUAGAAAUGAAAAAUUGAUAUUUUAGAUUUCACUGUUUUGACCGCGAGGAAGCACAAGGCUUCACUCAGUUGAGUUUAAUGAAGUUAUCUGACUCAGUUGAGAACAUUAAUGUGGGAACUGGACCAACUUAAAUUUAGGAUUUAAAAGUUGAUUAGCUUUUCAUUUACUCAGUAUUUUUAAGCAUUGAAAUGAUGGGUUGACAAAUAUAAUUUGUUUGAUUUUGUAGUCAGCUAGAGGCAGGCAUUGUUGCCCAAACAUCUCUAUAAGGGGACAAAAUUCGGAUAGGAUUAUAAUAGCUGAAAACUGUUAACUUCUUUAAUCACCAGUACAUGCUUCAUUGUGGUGACUAUCCUUGUCUUAAUCUAAUCCGCCUUGCCACUCAUCAUACCUAUCAUUUAGAUUUUUUUUUUAUUUUUUUUUGAUAGGUAAUAAAAGGGCUUGCAUUAAAUUUUAUUAUUAUCAUCACUGUGCUCACAUAUGACACAGAAAAAAAAUGUGUUUUGCUUCAGGUUGUAAAUUUGGCUGAUGGUAUAAUUGUAAACAACUGAACAAAUUAGCAUAAAUUUAGUGUUAUAACAAAAUGCAUUCCGGCUUAUAUUAUAUAGUAUAGAUAUACAGAGAUAGAAGACCGAUAGGUUCUCCAUUGUUGCUUCAUUAUUUUGACAUGGCCAUUUACUGAAUUCAUUAUUUGUUAAAAAAUGCAGACAUGCUAAAUUCUUUUCAUUUGAGAGUGGCUUGAAAGCAACUCUAUCUUAUGUCCUUGUUGUCAGAUUAUAUAUAUAGAUGCGAUCUUUGUGUACUUCCUGUGUACCUUGUUGCACUCUUUCUUUGGUGUGUGUUUAUAAUAUCUCAUGUAUAUACAUAGAGAGAGAGACACUAAUACAAAAUGUUUUCCCUUUGAAGAUGCAUUGAUAGGUAUUAGGGAUUUAUUCCUUAAAUAUCCAGCAGAGCUGAAGUUGCACAAAUAUGCUGUUAUGGAGAAACUUCGUGAACGCAUUAGUGAUAAUGAUAGAGUUGUCCGAGAGACAUUAUAUCAACUUCUUAAGUCAGUCGUUUUCCCCGGCUGUAAGGAGGUAACUCUUGUUAUCUUUUCUUCUUUAAACCCUCUCAAACGAGAACAGGGGCUUGUUCAAUAUUCUGUUAACACUUUCUCCAAUGUCCAAACAAUCAUUAAUUUGUGUUGGUAUUUCUAAAACACAAGAGAUGACAACAUAUACAUGCAUGUAUAAUAGGGAGUUUAGAAGUUGUAAAACAUGUAGAAAGUGGGAGAGAUAGGGAUAGGUUAUAAGAGUGUAUUGAAAAGUAGGAAAAAAAAAUGUUGAGAAAUGAGGGAGAUAUUUUAGGAAUUGGUAGUGAUAUGGCAGACUUUGGUCUAUUUUGCUUUAUAUAUCUUUAGAAAAAUUAUACUUUCAAACCUCCUUUUGGAUUAUUUAACAAAUGCAGUCCCCUUAAAAAAUAAUCCCUCCCACAUGCCCUUAAAUAGUACUAGCUUACUUAUUCCUAAAAUACCCCACUCAUCUACUUCUACCCAGCCAUUCUCCUUACUAAAUGUACUUUCAUUUUUUUUUAUUUAUAAUUCCAUUAAAAAUGUCUCUAGUUCUCAGAAAAUUUUAAAUGAAUAUUAAAGUUGUAUUUUCCAUAAAAAAUGCAUAUUAACAUGUUAGAAAUUUAGCAAAGAAUUAUAAUAUUUUAUAAAUUCACAUAAACUUUUUGAGAUGAAUAUUAAAUUAUAAGGAGUACAUACAAAAUAAAUGGAUAAUGAUUUUUCGUAUAUGAAUACUGACAUGAUAAUAAAAAUACAAUUCAUGUAGUGGCUAAAAAUGAAUGAUAGUAUUCUAAAAAAUGAUAAUGGUUAAUAAUAUUUAUUUAAAACAAAUUAUAAAAACAAGCAUGAUUAAUUUUUCUAGCGUGUCAAUAAACUAAGUUAUUCUUUUAGACGAAUAUAUUUACUAUCCAAUUGCUGAUAGGGUAUUCUGGAGCAUUUUGAUUUAUAAAUUCUAUUAUUAAUUGGCUUGAUUUUUAAGUUUCAAAUUAUUUAUAAAAAUUACUAGACUUGUUAACGAAUUCAAUGCAUUAAGUCUCACUUGAUUUGAAAUCCAUUUACUUUGUGAGAAAAUGCAGAAAAGUAUAGUUAUGUGCACAAGAGAAAUCGACAUAGUUAUUCUAGAUCAACUCUGAUUUGGGAAAUUCUGAUAUUAAUUGGCUCAAAUUUUAAAAAAUUAUAAACUCAUUAACAAAUUCAACACGAUGAGUGUGUUUGAAUGCAGAUGCACUAAAGGUUCAAACUUGGCUAAAGAAAUAACUAUGUUCCACCCUUUGUUCCUUCAUAUUCUACACCUUACCUAUAUAUAUACUACUUCAUGAAUAAACUUGUAUUAUUACAACCAUUAAGCAUUAAUUCUAACUCACCAAAUAGGUUUGUUAGGUAAAUGAAUUCCUAAUUAAGCCAGGCUUGAUACAUUGUAUUUGUAAAUGACUUUAGGAAAUUUUAAAAUAAUUUGAAACUAAAAAAUUGAAUCAAUUAAUAUUAGAAUUUCUUGGACUAAAAUUGGUUCAUAAUGAAUUCUUUAGUGCACAUAAUUAUACUUUUCCAAAAUUUGUCACUAGGCAAAUGGACUUCGGUCCAAUCAAGCAACACCUUGAUGCUCAUUGGGUUUUUUAAUGAAUCUAAUAAUUUUUAAAAAUAAUUUAGAGCUCAAAACUUGAAACAAUUAACACCAAAAUUUUUAAGAACAAAACUAGUGACUAGUAUAGAAUGUCUUUAUCGGUUUCUCUUCUGUACACAAUUAUACUUUUUUGAAUUUUCUCACUAAACACAUAGACUCCAAAUCAAGCGAGAGUUGAUGUAUCGAAUCUUUCAGGAGUCGCAUAAUUUUUAAGAAUAACUUCAAACUUAAAGAUCAAUUUAAUUGAUACUAGAAUUUCUCAAACCAAAAUGGCGUGUAAUACUUUACCAAUAAUUAGGUAGUAAAUCUCUCUCUCUCUCUCUCUCUCUCUCUAUAUAUAUAUAUAUAUAUAUAUAUAUAUAAAUUUGACUAUUUAUAUGUUUAGAAAAAAAUAAGUGUAUGUGUUUUUAUAAUUUAAAAUAUUUUUAUUUAUUUUUAACAAAAAUACAAUUUAUGACCUUAUUAAAAUAAUUAAUAUUUGUAUUUUAUAAUAUUUAGUAAAAAAAAAAAAAACAUUUAGCUUAGUUGAUAAAGCACACGAUUCUCAACCUUGUUCAACAUUUACUUAUAAAAAAAAAAAAUCUUAGCAUUAAUGACACUUAUCAUUACAUUGAUCAUUUAAAAAAAUUAUUACCCAUUUAUUUUGUAUUUACUUUUUAUAAUUUAAUAUUUAUUUUAAAAUUUUAAAAUGUUAUUAUUGAUUUUUAAUGAAAAAAAUAUAAUUUUAAUAUUCAUUUAAAAAUUUGGAAAUUAUAGAAUUAUUUUUAAUGAAAGGUUAAAAAAAGAAAUGAAGUGGGUUUUUAACAAAAUCCUUCAAGGUAAAUGGAAUUGAUGGUUUGCUGAGGAUAGGGGGGUUUUAUGGAAGCAAGUUAUAAGUGGUAAGUAUGGGGUAGAAAAUGGAGGGUGGUGCUCCAAGAAGGUAAGAGAAAGUUGUAGGGUAGGGUAAUGGAAAGUCAUUAGAAAGGAUUGGAAUCUUUUGGCUAGAAGAGUUGUUUUAUCAGUCAACAAUGGGCAAAGAUGAAAUUUUGGAAGGACAAGUGGUGUGGUGAUGAAGCAUUGUGUACUACCUUCUCUUCUCUUUAUGCUAUUGUUGAUUCUAAAGAGGAUUGGGUGACAGAUGUUUAACGCCUGACAAUUGAAGGGGGUUGUUGGACCCCUCGUUUUUCUAGGCACCUAAAUGAUUGGGAAGUGGACUUCGUAGAACAAUUUCUUUUGAGUUUGCAAGGGAGGAGUGUGUGUAGGGAAGAGGAAGAUAAAAUAAUUUAGACAAGGUUGAAAAAUAGGAAGUUCUCUGUUAAAGCCGUGUACUUGACUUUAGAGUAAGAAAGUAUGGUGUCAUUUCCUGCUAGUGUGAUUUGGAACUCUUGGAUUCCUUCAAAGGUGGGUUUUUUUCGCUUGGGAGGCUAUUUGCACAAAGGUGUUAACUUUAGAUCAUGUAAAUAGGAGAGGGUGUUUUUUGGUAAUCAAAUGUUUCCUUUGUCUGGUCGAGAAAGAGUCCAUUGAUCACAUUCUUAUUCACUAUGCCAAGACAAGGGUUUUAUGGAAUCUUUUGUUCUCCCUGUUUGUGUGCUUUUGGUGCUUCUGUCUUUGAUCAAAGAGACUCUUUUAGGAUGGCAUGGUUCUUUUGUGGAGGAAAAACUGGAAAAAGGUAUGGCGGGCAACUCCAUUGUGGUUAUUUUGGACCAUUUGGAAGGAACUCCUUCCUUUGUAGUUUAUGACAAGUUGUUUUUUGACUUUUUUUUGAUAGAUAAAGUUGUUUUAGAUUUUGGUCCUUCAUCUAUAACAGAAGUUCUAGACUGGUUGGAUUCCUUUUGAAGGGGGUGUAGUUUUUUGUUGGUCCCUACUUUUUUGUUGGCGCUUUUAAGGCGUUCAUUGUAUAAUGGAGUGCUGUUUUGGCGCUCUUUGUUUAUAAUACUCUCUUGCUUUACUCAUUAAAAAAGGGAAGUGGGUGCAUUUAAUGUGGCGAAUGGGUGUGUGAAGUAGAUGAGAAGGGCAUUUUGGGAAUAAGUGAAUUAGAUGGGGCUGCAUUUGUUAAAUAUUUCCAAAUUAACAAAUGAAAGCAUAAAUUUUUCUGUAUCACUAGGCUUUACCAUUUAACAUAUAUUUCCACUGUGACAGUACAUUCCAAAAAUAGCUUGUUGAAAUUUCUUUUGGAUCACUUUGCCUUAUUCAAUUUGCCAAAACUAAUAAAUAAAGUGAAUUAUUUAUUUUAUUUUAUUUUACUGUUCCAAACAUUGUUUUGGGAGUGUAUGUUUGCUUGUUGUAUGUUUAAUGAUCAUCCAUGUUUAUUCUUGAUUUCUUCUCUCAUUUUGUCUGAAAUAUGCUCAUAGAAAAACAAACCUAGAAAGAUGACAAUAUAUUUUUUGCUCAGUAUUUCAUUGCUCUAAUUGACUGUUUCUUUUGUUUGCUUGAAGAACUGAGACACACUUUUGAAAUUAUUAAGGAAGAAGCUGCUUAAAGUCAAUAAUUUUGCUUAGGUACAUUGGAGUUAUUUUGCAAAAUGCCAAAGAAGCAUAUCUUCAUAAGGUUUUCUAAUCCAGGAUGAUAGGAUAUCUUGGUGAUGAAUAUUUCCUUAUUUUCAUGGAUAUGUAUAAUUUUUUCUUAAUAGGCUUGUUUAUUGAUCUCUUGACCCAAUAUAAUAUUGUAUUUACUUUUCUAUUAAACGUUUAAACAGAACCCUGAAUGGCUAAAGUACCCCUUGGUGUGUAGUAGGUUGAAUCUAUAAAGGAACUUAUCAGAAGAAAAAAAAAUGUUGAAUCCAUAAAGGAAUUUUUGAAAUAGAAAAAUGAGUCCUUUUGAUUUUCUAUCUAAAUCUCAAAAUUUCAUCUGAUUGAAGGAUUGUGCUCUUUCUAAUAUUGGUUUAGUUUGUAUUUCUUUUGGAUAGUAAGUAUUAUGUCAUGAGCUUCCUCUAUUAUCCUCAUGGAAUCAUGGAUCAUAUUUUGGGCGUAUGUCUGCUUCUGUCAUCAAUUUGGCUUUGUAAUAAUUAUUGUCAUUUUAGUAACACACAACUCUUUGUUUUUCAUGUACAGGAUAAUCAAGGGCCUUUCAUUUCCAUGAUGAUGGCUUACAUUUUUAAUGCAAUGACACAUUUAGCAGUUGAUGUUAGGUUGAUGGCUUUCAAAUUUUUUGACCUUGUUGUCCAGCACUAUCCACCUUCCUUUUCCUUGUAUGCUGAAAAGGUAUCUCAUUUUGUUCUCAUUCUGAAAUAUUGUGUUAGUAUACAUUUCUUUGUAAUUCCAAAAUUCUUGUCACAGUUCCUGUUCUCUUCAAAGAGAUUAUGUACCUUGUGGUGUCUAAACUUGUUCAGCCCUGGCUCAUUAAGAUUAAAGCUUGGAAUUCAGGCUUGGGCCUGGUCUGAUCAAUUAAAGCAAGUUUGAAAUUCAGGUUUGAGCUUGGUCCAAUUAGAUAUAGUUAACCAAUGAGUUUAAGCAAGUUCCAUAAUGAUCUGGGUUCUAGUUGCUGUAAUAUGCUGUCUGGGACAAUAUUAUGGAAUAUUCUCUAUGUUGGUUUAUUUUUCUAUGGCUCUUGCUUUUAUUAUAGGUGUUAACAAAUCUGACUUCCAGUUAAUUAAUUCUUCUACUCAUAUGUUAUUUUUCAACAGAUUCUCCAAAACUAUGAAGAUAUUCUACAGAAGAACCAAUUCUAUUUGCAGGACAAGGGAAAGCUCAAGAAUGCUCUUGCUGGGUUGGUGCGCUGCUUGACACUGUUGCCAUGUAAUACAAGAGAAGUUGUCUCAUCAUUUGAAGAGGUAGCUCUAUUGUUGCUAAGUACCAAUUGGUUUGCACCGUCUAUUUUGUAUUUUGGUGUCUCAAUAUCAUGGUGGGAAAUUGUUGCAUUUAUUUUUUGGUCUUAUUUUCGUUAAUGGUUGAUUUCUUUUCUCUUGAAUUACUUUUCAUUGUUGUUCUUGUGCUUAUUGUCUUUAUGUUUUUUUUUAUAAUGUCAUGAAGUUUACCUAUCAAAAAAUUUAUAAUUUCAUAAAAUUCUAUAUCAAAUCACUUCUAAGCAUGCUCACAGGUCCAUCACAAAUAAAACAAUGUACAUGUAGUGGCGUAUCUUUCAUGGUAUUUAUUGCUGGCAUGAAAAUCUGUUUGAAAUGAAUGUGUGGAUAUUAUUUAAAAGUUUUGUUUACUAAACAGGUUUUCUCAAACUAAUUUGAUCUUGGCCUUCUAAUUUUGAUUUUGGGAAAAUGAUGCUGAGAAGUUUUACUGAAAAUUAAUUUGAUGAAUUUGUAUGGGAUUCUUGAAUUUAUUAAGCAAAUGAGCAGUGUGCUAUGUGGUGAUUGCCAAUUGUAAGGCUUAUUUUUACAAGUUGCCAGUCUUGAAAUUAUACUUUCUACUAUAUUUCCUUGUCCUUAAUUUAAUAAAUUUGAGGAUUCCUCAUCCUUCUUCUAUAUAUCUUUAUCCUUAAUUUAAUACAUUUGUUUUUGAUAAAAAAAGUAUACUUUCUACUGUUACUUCUUUUGUAUAUAUUUUAUUAUGCUCAUAACCUGCUAGUUAAGCAUUCUGAUCUUACAGGCACAUGCACAUCUUUUCUCUGCAUAGAUAAAAUCACAUGUUACGUAUAUUUAUUAUGCUCGGGACUGGUCUAUUUCUCAUUUUAACUUUGUAGGCACUUCUUGGUUCCUAAUACUUGUCUAUUUACUAGAAUCUUGCUGGGCAAAGGGUUUUGCAUGCUUUUGAGCCUGAUUUGCCUAAAGAUCCUGCAGGUAUGUGAGAUAAUCUUCUACCUUAUGUCUAUUUAUUGCCUUUUAUGUUCCAUUUGAUGUAAGCAUCAGGUUUCUUGGGUCAUGAAAAUGCUUGAGAAUUUGAAUUCUCUGUUUUCAUAUCUAACUAUUCAUUAAAGUCAGAAAAGCUGUUAAUUUUUUGUAUUUUUUUGUGCCCUUCAAAUGAAAAUAAGCUGUUAAAGUUCAACCCUGCCAAAUUCAAGAGGUCCAAGUCUAACAUCAGUGGCAAUUGACCUAUGAUACUUGCUAAGCAGCGUGAGAUUUAAUCUUUCAUUCUUUUGCUGGAGAAAUUAUCUUAGAACAAAGAUAAACCCAUUGGGUUUGGUUCAUUAGCUUUCUUGUCAUAGGCAGAUCCUAGAGGAGUCUCCUUCAUUCCUCUUCUUCACUUGAUCAUGACCUAGAUGGCCAUUCUUCUGUCUCUGGGGAUUUACUUUUCUAAAAUAUUUUGUUGAUAGUUAGCAUAAAAUACAGCAGAAGGUGCCAAAAGGAGGAAAAAUUAGCAUACAAGAGUUAUACAAGGGACACCUGUAGAAUCAGAGAAAAACAAAGGCCUGAAACAAGGUAUAAGCUAAUAACAAUUUUUUAAUUAAGUAUAGAAAAGACAGUUUCCUUCCCAUAGGGAAUCACUGAACUGCAAAAAGAAAAAAAAGAAAAAAAAAAGGACUUUAUAUAUUGGUCUCUUGAUCUCAACCUCAAAAGCUUCACUUGGUUAAAGAUGAAUGGACUCUUCUCUUUCCAAUCAUACCAGAAUAUAAUAGGGGUUGUAGUUUCCCUCAUUUUCUUCCUCCUUUUACAAAUACAGCAGAAGGUGCCAAAAGGAGGAAAACCUAGCAUACAAGAGUUAUGCAAGGGACACCUGUAGAAUCAGAGAAAAACAAAGGCCUGAAACAAGGUAUAAGCUAAUAACAAUUUUUUAAUUAAGUAUAGAAAAGACCUACUAAGUUCGUCUGGAAUUCUCAAGUCCUUUGUUUGGUUAGUGAUACACAAGAAGGUAAAUACUAAUGACUUGCUACAGUUGAGAACACCCUACAAAGUACUUAGUCCCAACUUUUGUAAGUUGUGCAUGAAACAUGGAAAAACAGUAGAUCAUCUUUUUCUCCAUUGCUCUUUGACGACGGGGUUGUAGCACAGAUUAUUUCAGUUAGCAAAGACGGAUUGGGUUCCCCCAAGGAGCAUCUUUGACAUGCUAUCUACCAAUUUUAACGGUUUUGGAUUUUCUAAGAGAGGGAUUGUUUUAUGGCAAGCUGCGUGCAUCGCUUUAAUUUGGGUGGUGUGGCGGGAAAGAAAUGUAAGGAUUUUUGAGGAUAAAUCAAGGAAUUCAGAGAACCUUUGAGAUUCUAUUCAUUUCCUUGCUUCUCUUUGGGCUUUUUGUUCUAAGGUUUUUAAGGGGAUUCCCCUUAACAUGUUACAACUUGAUUAGUUAGCGGUGUGUAAUCCCAAUGGGUUGGUUUAACCUAGAGAGUUUGCUUGUUUUUACUUUGUAUUUUCUUGUAUUUGAUUCCUUGUAGUUUUGUUUUUCUUUGGUGGGAGGAUUCCUCAUCUUUCUUUUGUACAUCCUUUUUAUCAAUAUAUUCCUUUGUCGUUUCCUAUAAAAAAAAAAAAAAAUUAAGUAUAGAAAAGACAGUUUCCUUCCCAUAGGGAAUCACUGAACCGCAAAAAAAAAAAAAGAGAAUAAGAAAAAAAAAAGACUUUAUAUAUUGGUCUUUUGAUCUCAACCUCAAAAGCUUCACUUGGUUAAAGAUGAAUGGACUCUUCUCUUUCCAAUCAUACCAGAAUAUAAUAGGGGUUGUAGUUUUACUUAUCAAAAAAAAAAAAAAAAAAAAAAAAAAAAAUAGGGGUUGUAGUUUCCCUCAUCUUCUUCCUCCUUUUACAAAUACAGCAGAAGGUGCCAAAAGGAGGAAAACCUAGCAUACAAGAGUUAUGCAAGGGACACCUGUAGAAUCAGAGAAAAACAAAGGCCUGAAACAAGGUAUAAGCUAAUAACAAUUUUUUAAUUAAGUAUAGAAAAGACAAUUUCUUUCCCAUAGGGAAUCACUGAACUGCAAAAAGAAAAAAGAAAAAAAAAAGACUUUAUAUAUUGGUCUUUUGAUCUCAACCUCAAAAGUUUCACUUGGUUAAAGAUGAACGGACUCUUCUCUUUCCAAUCACACCAGAAUAUAAUAGGGGUUGUAGUUUCCCUCAUCUUCUUCCUCCUUUUACAAAUAAAGCUGCCAUGCCAACUGGCCAAAGAGCUCUUCAUAGGAAAAAGGUUACACACUAAUAGAUUCCAAUAUAGCAGAGAGGAGCAAGGCCUAGAGUGAGCGAGCCAUCUCACAAUGAUCAACCAAUUUUUACACUGCUUUUUGACACCCUUGGCGCUCCUUGUAUACUUCGUGCGUACUUGGUGGGUCUUUCUUUGUGGUUUUAAUAUAUUUGCUUAUUUGCCUAUAAAAGAAAAAAAACAGCACCAAGUUACCAGAACCCUGCCUCUAGGAAUAAGAACUUCCCAAGUGAAAAUGCUCACCUCCGAAGUAGCACAAGACAUCCAUGCCAAAUAAGAUGAGAAAAGAGAGGCAGCCCUAGAAGAGGGCAUUGUGAAAGUAAAAAAGAUGCACCCAGGAACAACCUCUCCUUUAAAUCAAAAUCUAUGUCAUUUCUCUUCCUAAAACAAAGCAUACCCUUUUAUUCAACCAAUUAAUGAACAAGAAUUAGAAACUUAUUGUUGUUGGAGCUUGGUAGUAGUUCCUUCUUUCACCUUUCAAUACUUGCUAGUUUGGGGGCCCCUGAAUAUUGUAAAAAUUUCUUUCUCAGUUGUGCUACACUACUUCAUUUUGGCAACUUCUCAUGUAAACCCAAAGUUUUUAAAAGUGAAAGACUAGGCAUUUUUGUGCCUGUGAGGUGAUGUGUAAGCCGCGAAGCAUGAGGUGUAAGCCUUUUAAGACCCUCAUUUUUAUAAUUAAUAAAUAUUUAAAAACAAUUUAAAUAUAUAAAAAUAAAAUAGAAUAAAUGAAAACCUGAUAUCAAAUCAUAAAAACCAUACUGAUAGUUUUACACUUGCACAAAAAACCAUAACUAAGUUACAAAAUAAUAAAUAGAGUCAAACACAUAGAUGUAGUCGACUUCAAAAAUAAUAAUAAAACAUAAUUGACUAGAAAUAUUAUAGAUAUAAUUAAUCAAUUUUAUUUAUUUUCAUGAUUUGUCAUUUGAAAAAACAAAACUAAAAUUAAAAAUUAAAAAAAAACAAAAUAUUUUCAAAAUUUAACAAAAUAAUUUUUUUUGAACAAUGUCUUAGUGUAUUUCUUUUAAGAAAAAAAAAACAAUUAAAAAAUUAAAACAAAUAAAUAGAAAAUAGAAAAUGGCAAAAAAAAAGUGCAAACUAUGGUUGUGGUGAAAUAAGAGAGAGAGAGAAAGAACAAAAGUGAAAAAUAAAUUAAUAAUUGUGUUGAGAAAACUAAGAGAGAAGUGGAAGUGUUGAGGUGAGAAAAAAAAAACAAAAUAAAAAGUGAAAAAAAUAUAAAAAGAAUAAGAGAAGUCGGAGUUGUGGUAGGUGAAGUCAUGCGAGAGAGAAGUGAGAGGACCAUGGGAGUUGAUCGAGAGAGGAGAAAAGACGAGGAAGAGGAGAAGAUGAAGCCUUGUCAAGAUGACAAAGGGGCUCUAGAGUGAGAACAAUGCCUCCGAGGUGAUGAAGAGGAGUGGGCACUUCCAUUCGAGUGAAGUCGUUGGAGAAGAGAUCAAUCUUCAAGCCGCUAGAGCUAUAGAGAGCUAGGGUUUAGGUUUUUCUUUGUUCGGUGUGUUAGGGUUUUGGUUCAUCUUCAAUUUUGUUUUUUGUUUUUGUUUUUUUUAAUUGGCCACCUCAACAACCAAGAGGCUUAUGCCUCAAACAGUGGGGUGUAAAAGGUGUACCCAAAGUGCACCUCAACAGAGCCUCAAGCCAAAAUGCAAACACCUUUUGUGUGUAACAUUUUUUUCACAAUGAAUUAAGACGUUUUGAGGAUGCUUGCCAACGCCUUUCAAAAGACUGUGUAAACCCAGGCAGUAUGGUAGAAAUUGGCUUGAAAUUUGGACUAUCCAUGAUGGAGUUGAAUCUGGAAUUCCAAUAGAACAAUGAUCAUUUUAUAGUCCCUAACUUGUUAAGACAAUGAAGAUAUCAUCUUUGAUUGCUUGUGUUCAAGUGUGAGGCAUUUCCUCUAGAUUGUUAGUUACUGAAAAAAUUAGUGUGAAGUUUCAUUUUAUCAAUGUGGCUUGCUUUGUGAGAUUAUAAUGUUUACCUGCUCUAUUCUUGGCAUAUGGGUAAUUGGUGUACCUAUAUGUUAAUGGUUGAACGGCACAUUCUUACAAAUUGAGUGAUAUUUUACUGAUGAUUUCACAUCUAUAUGGGUUUCCUUAAAUUAGGGGUACUAUCAUCAUUCCAUUCCCAACUCCUUUGCUUUGUUUGUGUAGGAUUUGAUCUCAUCAUCAAGAAGCUAAGGGACCUCGUGCCAGUUUUGAUCAAUUGUUUCCAUGAAUUCAUUCCAUUGGUUCAUGCUACCAUGCAUCUUGACGCUCAAUCAUUCGACUGUAUGCUAUAUAUACUUCAGAGCAUAGAUCUUGCAGUCAGGUUCUUUGUCUAUGGGACUGGCAAGUCUCAACCAGGAUUAUGCUCAUCUAUACACCCUUAUGAAGGACCAGAUAUGACCAUGUGGGAUCAAGAUGUCUCACCUGUAGUAUUGAAGAAGUUGCUAGUUGUAUUUCCCCUUAACCAAAGACAUGACCUUUCUGAAAAGGUACAACGUUUCUGCAUCUUUUGCAAGUAUAUCUUUGCUCCUAAAGAGCUGCUUUUAAUUUCUAAAUUUCUCUCUCUCUUUUAAUCAAUGUCAGUCUUCUAAUGUAUUCAUUUUUAUAAAUUAAUACACAUAAUUUCAUAUCAUGGAAUAACAUUUCCAGACUUCAUUGGUGUCUUGCUGUGUCCUUGACAACUCUUGAUCCCAGAAGUUAUGGUGUUUCGGUACAGCUGCCUAAUUAGCAGCUAUAUAAGAUAGCGCAUUUCUUUUCUAGUAGAAUUUCUCCUGAACAUUGGCGUUCUUGCAUUCUCAAGUAUAUAAGAAAAUUCCUUCUUAAUUGUGCUUGCUGUUGUUGGAGCUAGGAAUUGUCUAAUAUAUUUAUUUAUUUUUUUCUGCUUGGCAGGAUGGCGAUAGAUAUUUCAUCUUGAAUGUCGUGAUUACAGAAAUAUUUUUACACUUAAGUGAAUGGAGCUAUCCUCCUCCUGAUUUGUUGGAAAUAUUUCUAGAAUUCAUAGAAAAUGCACUGUCUGGAAAGGUUUGAUUCUUGGACCUUUAUGUUCUAUGGGAGUUUGAUUUUUUGUACCUUCAAAAAUUUAUUCAACAAUUAUUGGUGAUGAUGAGCUCAACAUUGAAAAUUGAGAUAAUCAGGUUCUAACAAUACUUUCUGAUAUUGUGUUCGUUAUUCAUUCCAGUGUUCCAACACCCUGAACUAGCAUAAAAAAAGGAUAUAAAUACCAAUAAUUAUUAUUUAGGAGUAGUUCAAAAACAGUAACUUAUGUGGAGAUCUUUGUAAUGUUGAAAGUGCAAGUCAGGUUGUCUGCUUUUGUGGGGGGAGCUUCCAGCAAUUUGGUUAGAAAGUCUUUCACUGGUAAAGUCAAAUUUUGAGAAAAGAAGUCUGAUAUAUAAAGAAAAAGGCCUAACACCAAGGAACUUUAAACAGCCCUCUAGUUUCCUUAAGAGUGAAGAUAUCCCCAUGUGGUCAAAGUUAACAUCUUCAUUUUGGAGCUUAUACGCACUUGCAGGAAAUUUCCAUACCAGGAGCUUAUACCCACUUGAAAGAAAUGAUCUUACAGAAAGCCUUUCAACUUUUCUCUUGAUAUCUGGAGCCCGCUUGUUAGUUUUGGAAGAGUCACCCUCUAUUAUUAACUUGAUGUUCCUCAUAACACUAAUUUCUUAAAGGCCUUUAUGAAUAAGAAAGAGUGGAGCAAUGCUUCAGUUGCGUUUUGUGUGAGAUAUAUUUACCCUAUGGAGUGUUGAGUGUUUUUCCUUGUAUAGUCUAAUGUGGUGUACUAUAUCAAUAUAUAGAUCUCCUUGGUAUAUCGGAGAAAGUUUAUCCACCUCUUCUUUUGAUUAGAUCUUGUAAAUUUGGGAAUGAUUCCUCAUCUUUGACUUGUAAAUUUGGGGAAAAAAAUGUUUGUCUAACAAACAAAUUGAUGAAUCUUUGAAUCAUUAAACCCCUGUUCUUUGUGAGUUUGUGGGUUGUUUGAUAUGCAGUAAGAUGUGGGAAAGAGAGCAGGUUUUGGAGCUUUUGGGUUUUCUUUUGUUUUUGGGUUUUUGGUGACUGGCAGAAUUUACUUGAUUCCCUUGUGAUUAUUGCGUUGUUUCUCUUGUGAGAUUUUGGUAUAAUUCAUCAAUGGUUUCUUUUAUUUGUUCAGUUUUUGGAUUGUGUUUUCCUUUUACCAAUAUAUGGUUGUUGACAAAACAAGAAUAAAAUCUUUGUAGUUGGUCAAACCCUACCUAUCUGAAUGUAAUGAUUUUGACUGGCCCUGUGCUUGUAUUGCCCAAACUGUCUUAGUUCAGAAAAUUAAGCUCUGGUUGGGCAUAACAGGUUAGAAAUCAGGUCCGAUCAAGAUUGGAUUGAGCUUGUAUUAAUUUUUAAAUCAUCUCAACUUGCCAAGUUGCAGCUCUGGCUAUUCCCAAUCUUCAUUAGAAUUUCUUAAAACAUAUCGAAGUGGAAUCUCUUUUAGCUGUUUUAUUACCAAUAAUAAAAGGAGACAAGGAACAAGUAAAAUCACAAGAUUUUUCUAUUUCUUCCUUUACCAGAACCCUUAAAAGUGGCACAAAAAUGAAAUUGAGUGUCUUAAGCAGGAAUCAAACUCAGAUAUGCUUUACUUGGCUCCCAUUUGGAAAGAAUAAAACAUGAAUAUAGGAAAAAGAUCACUAGCCCAUUGCAUUUUUUUUGUUGGGCAUGAUACAUAUGUCUGGGAAUAGCAUCAUUUUUUGCUUCUCCUAGCUUGAAGACUCCUUGCUGCUAGGAAAAAGUACAAUGACAAUUUAUAAAAAGGUUCAAUGGUCUUUUUUGCUUCAAUGGAAAAUGUCUGGACAUAGCAAUUUAUUAGGUCUCCUAGCUUGAGGCAUAUAUUAGUGUUAUGGUGUACAACCAAUCAAACCAAGGACCAACUUUUUGGAGGAAGUCUCUUUCUACAUCACUUUUUGAAGGAAUAAACCAUGUUCCUAUUUGGCAAAAAACUGAAAAUAGAAUUUCAUGGGGUAGUUUUUUCAUUUGUUUCUCCCUUAUCCCUACUUCCCCUGAAAAGCUGAAGUCCUUUUCAUUUUUUAUUUUUUUUGGUCUUUUUAUCCUUGUUUUAUGAAAAUUUUCAGAAAUCUGUAUGGGUGGCUUAAAUGCAUGUGGGAAAAAUAGUAAAGGAUAAGGGGUGCAUGCGGCUUAAAUGGCCUUGCUGCUAGGAAAAAGUACAAUGACAAUUUAUAAAAAAGGUUCAAUGGUCUUUUUUGCUUCAAUGGCAAAUGUCUGGACACAGCAAUUUAUUAGGUCUCCUAGCUUGAGGCAUAUAUUAGUGUUAUGGUGUACAACCAAUCAAACCAAGGAUUAACUUUUUGGAGGAAGUCUCUUUCUACAUCACUUUUUGAAGGAAUAAACCAUGUUCCUAUUUGGUAAAAAACUGAAUAGAAUUUCAUGGUGUAGUUUUUUCAUUUGUUUCUCCCUUAUCCCUACUUCCCCUGAAAAGCUGAAGUCCUUUUCAUUUUUUAUUUUUUUUGGUCUUUUUAUCCUUGUUUUAUGAAAAUUUUCAGAAAUCUGUAUGGGUGGCUUAAAUGGCCAUGUGGGAAAAAUAGCAAAGGAUAAGGGAUGCAUGCGGCUUAUGAUUUUGGAGGAAAGAACAAAAGAAUGAUGCUUUGUUAGAAUUUGCAAUGACGUGUGAUUUUGUAAUUUAACAAAUAUGUGCCUCAAUGAUACAGAUCAGUAGUUACUAAGAUAAUAGUCAAAUAAACUUCUUUCUUAUAGGAAUAAUGUUUAUAAAUUGUUGAAGAUGAUUUCUUGCAUGGUUUUUUUUGGAAGAUUUCAUUUAUUAUUAAUAUAUUUGGAAGCAAUAGUCAAAAUAAGAAUUUAACAAAUAUGAAACAAAAAUAAAAAAUCAAGACUGUAAAGAGUGGGAAAAACUUAAAAAGGAAAAAUGAUUCAGCAUUAUAUUAUGGAUGACUUGUCCACUCUUUUAGGAUGAUCUUUUGCUGUGUGUUUUUUCAUGAAUAAUAUUUGCUGCUUUGAAUAAUCCUAUGAAUUGCUGAAACAUUUUGAUGUUUUCAAGGGAAAGGUAGUUUUUGUAAAUGGUUCAUACAUUUGACUGAAAAAUUACAUGGUGUUUAUUGUUUGGCAGACUAGCAGUGCUGCAGAGUCCGGUAAAGCAUUUCGUGAAAAGCAUUUACUUUCACUUCUUCCUUUCAUUCCCAAACUUGUAUCACGAGUUUCAAGAAAUUGGAGUUUGCGUAUUCUUCAGGUUCAAUUCAUUCUUCUUGGAAUAAGUUGACUACUAAGGGCUUGUUUUUAGUGAAAUACUGUGAUCUAAUUCUCUCUCCCCUAAGGAUGAAAAUGUCGGUUUUUAUAGAUAUAUCAAUAAUUGAAUUAUAUUGGGAUAUAUCCAGAAAUAUCAAUGGAAAUUUUUACAAAAAAAUAUCAAUAUGAUGACAAUUAAUCAAAACUCAUAAGUAUGUUAGGGAAAAUACCAAAAAAUAAUAAAGAAAGCAAUAAUACACAUAUUAAUGUUGUUUUAUUGAAGAAAAUGAUGAAUGUAUGAUAAAAUUUGUAACAAUUGACAAUGAUAUGUAAACCUUAAAACACAUUAAUACUAAAAUGAUGGUCUAUUUAAUUUAGUUUUAUUCAAUGAUAUAAAAAAAAUGAUAAUAUAUGUAUGGUUUUUUUAAAAUAUAUUUAUACUUUUUGGUCUUUAAUUAAUAUACAAAAGGUAUAAAGAAAACAUUGUUACAAAAAUUAUCAUGAUUAGGAGUUUUCAUAUACUUAACAAUCAAUUAAAUGAAAUUUAAAAAUAAAAUAAUUGAAAUUUAUUUAUUUAUAAAAAAUUUUAAUUUAAUAUCUUGUUUUUCUCAUGCAUAUUUAUAUAUGUAUAGUUAUUAAAAUUAAUUUAAUUAAAGCUAAAGUCUAAGUAUAAAAUAUAUAUAUAGUUAUGUUCUUGCAUAUCUAAAAUGGCCAAGAUGCCUUGGUUAAACAUCUCAUGGUCUUCUGGGUAAGACCCAAGUUCAAUUCCUCAUAUCGUGGCUCUCUCUCUCUCUCUCUUUUAUUUUGUGAUUUUUUUGUGACUUUGACCAAUAUUUGGAUGGGUUGACCUAUGUCGACCAGUCAAACAAGGCAAUAAAAUCAUCGAAAAUUCCGAUAAAAUCAGGAUAAAACCAAUAAUAUCCAAAAAAUCGUUGAUAAUUUUAAAAAAUCGGUCAUAAUCUAUAUCCUACCCAUAUUUUGCUUCAGUGAAGCCUGAUACACGAAAUAUCACCUAUUUUUCGCAAUAUUUUCGUCCAUGCUCUUCCCUAUGAUCAGUGUUUGUUCAAGCACUGCUGUGGUUGUAUGGUUCUAGUCUUCUAUUCUCAAAGUUUUAUUGGUUCCUAAGCGAAUAAUGCUAAAUAAUUAAAAUUUUGAUUACAGGCAUUUACUAAAGCUUUCAAGGACAGCAAUCCAGAGUCUUCAGUGAAAUUGGCCUGCCUUUCUAUAAUAGAGGAAAUGCUAGUCCCUGUAAGCUAGUUCUGUACUUUCUCAGAAAAUUUGUUUAGAUUGCCUUUGUAUUUAUGAGGAAUAGUAAAAUGAAUAAUUUAUGUAUAUAAGAAUGCACCAUUGCCUCUUUCCGUGUAAUCAACUCAAAAUUAUCAUCCCUUUCUAUCCUUCCCAUUUAUAAUUAAGGAUUUUCUGUUCAUAUCACAGAGACAUGGCAUCCCAUCCCUAGAUGCAAGUGAUCCAGAAAUAUUAGGACAUCAGACGACAUGGAUAAGAGAGCUGCCUUUGUUGCUAAUCAUGUUGGGUGAUAAGCACCCAUCAUAUUCCAAGGUAUGUGUAUAUUUAUUACCUUUUUUUCUUGGUGUUGUUACUUGUUAGGUGUUGAUGGUGGUGUGGAGGAAAGUAAAAGUUUUUAGUGACAAAAAAAUGACUUUAUAGCAUAUGGAAAUCUAUAAGAAAGUGUCUUGGCUGACCCUUUUCAAGGUGAUUAGAAAUGUGCUACAACCAUAACCGUGUCUCUCCUGGAAAAAAAUUUGGCCUUUUCCUUUGCAGCCUGAGAGAUCCAAUCAAACUCUUACAUCCCAUCCUUGAUCUGAGGAGCAAACUUUCCUCAUGAAGCGGAUUGUUCUCCAAGGGGCUGAAAGCUUGGUGACCAUCUUCUUAGCGAUUGUUAAGCAAUCUCUUUCUUCCUUAGUCUAUUAAAGCCAGAAUGAUGAGCUUGUCCAAUUUCUUUGAGGACAGCAAUGGCCUUGGGGUCAAAUGAGUUAAAGCCCUUUGGCUUUGAGUUUGCUAACAACAUUCCUCUCAUAAUCUCUAAGGAUGACAAUUAUUUUAUAACCUACAAGGGGAAAUUAGGGCUCUACUUAUGAACACUGACCAAAACUGUGCUUCUCAUUUCUCUGAGCCACCUCCCAAUCUCUCAUAUGACCAGAGGUGUAGUGCCUUUAAAUUCCAUUCCAAACGGUGUUUAGAAAGCAGCCAAAAAGAGCAGUCCUAAUCUAAAAAAAUAUUCUUUAAUUUCUUGUCUUUCAUAUGGUUGAAACAAAAGCCAGAAAAGCGCAUAGCAUCUAUAUUUUGCAUUCAGGUUACCAACCUUUUGAGAAGGGCACUACCUGGGGAUAGAGAACACAUGUGUGCCUCCUGUUUCUUUAAGUGACCUCCCAGUGCUUCAUAGUGCACAGAAAUGGAGCUCCUUUAGGUUUUUUACUCACCAGAGCCCAAAAAUAAGCCAUAAAGAGAAUUCUAUCACAUAUUAGCUCACUUUGGUAAGUGCUUUUCUAAAAGAUUCUCUAAUUUCUUGCCUACCAUGUGUCUUAGAUGAAAGCCAGAAAUUUGACCACAAUAUUUUCCCCCAACUGUGUCCUAGAUGUUAGCUUUUUAUUUGGGAAGUAGCUUUUUUAUUUGGAAAGCUAUUUAGGAGAGAAUUCUAACUCUGGAUCAACUAAAAAGAAGGGGCUGGUUUUUACCAGGCAGGUGUUAUUUGUGUAAAGGGGAGGAGGAAUUAGGAAAUCAUUUGCUUCUUCACUAUCCCAUGGUAGCCAUGAUUUGGCAGCUUAUUUUGCUCUUUUUGGUAUUCAAUGGGUUAUGCCCUCUUCAAUCAAGGAAAUCAUACUUAGCUGGCAUGACUCUUUUGUUAGGAAGAAAAGGAUAAAGGCGUGGAAUGCGGACCCUUUGUGCUUAUUUUGGACCUUAUGGAAGGAGAGAAACAAGGGAGCCUUUGAAGAUACCAAAUUGGUGGACCAAGAUUUUUUUAUUUUUUUUUAUAGGUAAAUUUGUGUUCUAUUGGAACUUGAACCUGGAACCUCUCACAAUCCCUCCCCAUUCCAAAUUGGUUGACCAAGCUAUUUUAUGGUCCUUUUUGUACAAUUUUUCGGAAUAGGUCAGGGUGCAUGUAGGUUUUAGCUCAUGGUCUUUAUUUGAUUUCAUCGAUUGGUUGGGAUGUAAGUAAGGUGACGAUCUUUGUGUUUUCCCUUUUCUUUUUUGGCCGUAAUGCCUUGUAUACAUCAUGUAUACUUUCGGGUGGUCUUCUUUAGGCGCUCCUAAUACAAUUGCUUUUUACUUAUAAAAAAAAAUAAUUUUCCCGAAUUGUAAGCUGCUAAAGCGUGGCUCUUGCCAUGAAGCAAAAGUAGAAAGCCAAUCAAUGAAGUGUUCACUUGUCUCACUACUCUCUAUUCAUAAGAAGCAGAUGUUGGGGACAAAUUUUCUAGGGCCUCUAGUUUGAAGCAUGUUGUUACCAUUCACUUUAAGAGCAAGUGCCCACGCCAAGUACUAACCUUAAUAGGAAAUUUAAGGAGGAAAUCUAAGGAUCUAGUAUCCAUGGUCCAAGCAAAGAAAAAUGAGAUGAGGUUGUUAUUUUUAGGGGAACAAAUGUAAUCAACAAUGGAAGAAUAAAUAUUGACAUCUCUUAGAAUGUUAAGGAGGGAUGAUAUAUUGGAAACUGCUGUAUCAUUGAUAUUUAAAAAGUGGAAAUUUUAAUAGUCAGAUCCAUUAGAUGGAACCAUUGGAAGUCAUUUUUAGCACUGGAAUGAUGAUAUAAGAGAAGGGGGGGAGAAGUGUUGGUGGAAGAUUUAUCUUGCUGAUUAUGUAUCACACAUUCAUGCAGGAUGACAGAAUGAAGCAAAACCUUGAAAAACAAACUUCUAGAAACAUUGAGUUUCUCUUGCUGCCAAAUCUAGAAUCCAACUAUGGUGUUGAAUUUUGCACUUAAUCUUGAUAGCUAAAUGUUAGAAAACCUUUGCUUCCUUGAGAAAUCUCUAACCACUUUCCUGUGAGAUCCACAAUCCUUUUUUUUUACAGGUAAAAGCAAUUGUAUUAAGAAAGCCUGAUGUACACCUGAAAGUGUACACGUGAGAUCCACGAUCUUUGGGGGUUGUAUUACACAAUUUUAAUACCUAUUAAUGAUAGCAUGCAAUAUACAUCUGACUGCAUGGUAUCCCUAGUCUAUAUUGAUCAAAAAAAAAAAAAAAACAUGGUAUCCCUAGUCUAUCUGUUACUUCUCAUACCUGUCAGCCACUUCAACUAGACCCUAAAAUGAGUAAAGAAAGUAGAUGAGAUUUAGAAAUGCUUCAAUCGUUGGGCUUAAAUCUUUUCAAGACAAGGGAGCUCUCUAUGUAGCUCUUGCUUCUUCGCAAGGUUCAAGGCAAAAAGAAAGGGCUGAAUCACAACUUACUUUGACUUUCUUCUCACUGAGGUGGUGAGAUUUUUUAUAUUAUCCCUCUCAUUUUCUUUGUAAUUCUGAAUCCUAGGGAUCUUGUUAGAGAUUUAAUCCUUGAGAUCUUUGAGUUAGGUUUGAUAUUUAAGAGCCUACAUUCCUUUUCUACAAAUCAUAGAACUCUCAAGAUUGAUGCCUAAAAGUAUGCUUGUGGUCAUAUUGGUCCUCAAUUCUCAACCAACCUAGGAUGUUAGAGAGAUAACGUAGUAGCUUCAUCAUCCAUCUUCAUCACGUGCUUUUGUUCUCCUUGCAAUUUCCAUUCUCAUUGCAGGUAGUGUUGCACCUUCAACUUCGCCUGGGGCAAUGUGCUCUUUUAAAUUCUGCUGUUGCACAGGAAUAUGACAACAUGCAAUACUCGCUGCUUGAAUUCUACUGCACUUGUUUGGAAGAAAGUAAGAAUUGAAUUGUUUAAAAGUAUUAUAUUGAUCAAGUGCAUUUACUUCUUUGUCACACUCUUUCUUAUGUUUCAGGAAGCAUGUUUUAUGGUCCUUUCAUAAAGCUUGCCAGAGAUUCCCAGGAACUUUCUGUCUGUUGCCUUUACUAUUUCUCCCAUUUGGAUUCAUCUCUGCUCAAGUCAAUCGCUUUUUGUUGUCUAUGUGAGUACCAUGUGUAUGAUAAUUAAAAACUCCAUGAGUUGUGUUUUUUUUUUUUUUUUUAAAUAGAAUCUUAGAACAGAAUCCAGGUCUCUUCUCUUUGUAUUUAAAACUAAUUUUAAACAUGAAUGCAUAGGUUGAUUUUUAUUUUGGAUGAUCGUCAUAGCUGCUAGAUUUCAUGGAUAAAUUGCUCAAAGUACCUCAAUUUAGAAUUGAUGAUUCAGUAGCCAUAUUUCCUAAAGUAUGCUGCACUCCUUUAGUUCGCUGUCUUAAUACAACUACUAACUCAUCCUCACCAUGGUGAAAGAGUAUGUUUUCCUUUUCUUUAUGGUGAUAGAGAUGAUUCUAAGAGAUUCUGACAUGAAUAUUUGGGACAUAAAAAGUAGUUGGAGAAUUAUUUGCUUUGUAGGAGAUAGUGGUGGACCAUGGAUUGUUUUCAUAGAGCGAACCUGAGGACCAUGAAUUUGCUUUGACAUGAACAUCCAUGGAUUGUUCUCACAGGGCAUAAAUGCCUUCACUUGUUUGUCCUACACUUUGAAAGACAACUUUGUUCCAAAAAUUGAGGAUGAAUUAUAAUUCCUAACAUUUUUUUAGUUAUUCAAGGAUAAAAAUUUCUUUGAUGUAGGUGCAAUAUGCACAUUUAGAAAAGUAGCAGACUCUAUGCUUAAUGUCAAACAAUUGGAGAUGUUUAGGGAGCCCCCUCUCUCCCUCUCUAUACAUACUUACAUAUAUAUGUGUAUAUAUAUUUAUAUAGUAGUUGGUAAUUAUUCGUAUAUCAUGACUAAAAUAGGCUGAGAAUGCUUCUUCAUAAAAUUGUAAGCAUGAAAAGAAGAAAAAAACUAUGCUGUUUUUAGCACCUGUUUAUCAAACCUUUUGUAUACUUAUUUCUUGCCAACUUAUUGCAGGUGAUGAUUUGGAACCAUUUAUGUUAUUUCGAAUAAUAGAGGUUCUGCAUUCAGCAUAUAAAGCUGGGCAUAUUCAGAUUGCCGAUCAUAUUAGUUUCUUCAUCACUCUACUUUCACGAUUCAGAGUUUUUCCUGGUAUCCAGCCCAUUCAUUUUCUGGAAAAAUUUAGUAGCUAACAUUUGGUUUCUCUUCUCUCUGUUAGUUACCCUUUUUGCAAUUUUAUUUUGUGGUUGAACUUCCAUAAAACUGGAGUGCAUUUGGUCCUCAUAUGCAAUCAUCCAUAUCUAUGCAUAUAAGGGGUUGUGAGGAAACAUAUAUAUAUAUAUAUAUAUAUAUAUAUAUAUAUUAUAUAUGAGGGCAAUAGGUUGACUGUGACAACUAGUUUUAUUACAAAAAGAUAAAUGGCAUCAUAUAUGAGCGAGGUUCUUAUUAGUCAAGCUGAGCCUGAGAGAUAUCUUGCAAGCUAAAAUUGGUCUUUUUAUCUCUGCAGAAGAGAUUUAUACGGUUAUGGAGGGUGACAAGAAGAUGUCAAAUCGUGGGAUUUUCAAGUCAGUUACUAGUGUUGUUUCCUCUUGCCUGCUGCAGAUGGGGGAAGAUUCACUUGUUUUUCAGAUACUGGAGGAAGUUAUACUUGAUCAGAUGGUAAGUUGACAUAAUGCCUGUAUCUCAUCGUGCAUAUCUUUCAUUUCAUGCAUGUAUGCUACUUUUUAUACUUCUGGCAGCUUUAUGUUGGCUGAUUUCUCCUUUAUUUAGUGAGAACUCUCCAGCAUUUCCUUUGGACUACUGAUCGGCUUGUUAGGAAUUUUCCUAUGGACAUGAAGCCCUUAUACCAACCUUGUUUUUAUUUCAGUCACUCAGGCCACCUAUAGACAACAUCUGUGCUAUGCUUAGAAUGCUGCUUUUACUGGAUUCCAGACCCACAAGACUUUCUGAUCAGAGUGUUAUCAAUCUAAGCAGUUUCCUAUCAGGAUACCUGAUUGAUGUUGCAUCUGUAAGUUUGUCAGCUAGAAUCUGCGUUUAAAAAGUUUACAAAUUGUUUCUCUUUUUUGUCACUGUAUUUUUUAAAAUCUGUUUCACUUUCUUUUUUUUGUUAAAUCUUAAAUGUGUGUGUGUGUUAUGGUGAUUUCUUCUUGGAUACUUAUCUAUAAGUAGGCCUCACUUAGCUGGAAAAUCUCAAGUCCCCACCAUCAUACUUUUUAUCCUUCCAAAAUCUCCCUCUACCCAAAAACUGAACCAUGGGCCUCUGAGAAAAUCCACCCAAAUUAUCAUCACAAAUUUUACAGGGGCAUAGAAGAGAAAAAGUGCCUCCUCUAUACACGACAACUCCAAAAUUCAAUUAUCCCAUCAUCACCACUCACAAACCCCUUAGCAUUAGUGCAACCCACUCUAAACAGCAACCUGCCCUAAGGCUCCUAAACUUAUAUUGAAACCAAUUUAGAUUCUUGUAAGCACAACCAAUUGGGCCUUGUAAGGUUGGAGGAGAAAUGGAACGACCUCCCUCUUAUCCACAACAUUUGCCCUCUUAAAUUCCAUGAAUUAAUCCUAAGUUUCAUUGUCCAAUCAUGUUUGGGUUCAAGCAGCAACAGCACCUGCCUCAAUCUUCAAAUCACCACCCUCAUAAUUCACUGAGCAGGAUGGUUAUGCAAUUCUCUGUUCUUGCAUGAACUGCCUCUCCCCUUCUUUCAUAGUGUUAGAGCCCUGUUUGCCCCACCUGGAUUCUAUGUCUUAAGCAUGUCCAUACUCUCCUCCAUACGCUUUGAUCAACAGUUACAAAUACCUGUUGAAUAUCCCAAAUUUCAUUUUUGCCUGUGGUGUAGGAGCUUUCUCCACACCUUUUUGAACUCCUGAUCUGGAUUGCAUGAAAUUCCACCAGGCAGUAUAAUAGAUACCAUGUUCAUGUCAAUAGGAGGCAACACAAUACCACACCAAUCUUUCUCCAACCACACCACCAUAUUCCUCACGCAUUUUAAUGGGACUCUACCAUGGCCCAUCUUGCAAGAUCAUCUGCAAUAGUCACCUCCACUUCACUGCAAGCUUUCCUUACCUACAUUCCCAGGUGCAUCCAUUGCUCCAAUGCUUUUCUGACCUAUAAGGCCUGCUCAUCACCCACCAAACUAGAGGAAGAAGACCCCAGCAGACUUACCUAAGUUAGGAGACUCCCUUUCACAAAGAUAAGUGCUUACUGCUAAUUAGUGUCAUCACCUUUAGCUCCUCCACACCACCUUCACCUCUCAUCCCCAUAAAGGGACGAAAAGACCAACUUGAUUAACUCACAAUUUCUUUGCCUGGGCAUCAUACUGCCUCCUGUCCAGUAGAAAAGACUUGAGGAUGUCUUGCUCUCUGCUUCCAUAUGUUCUCCCUUCUCAGCCUCCAUGGGAGAUAUGAACUUAAAAAUUGCCAGCCUAAGGAGGUCAGAUUCACUUCCUUCACUUUAUUACAAUCCACCUUCAAAAUUUGAAUUACUGCCAAUGGGUUGCCAAACAAAAAACAAACACCCCUACCACCCAACAUCUUCUUGUCUACAUUGGCUACUUCUUGCUCUACUUGGCCUGGUCUUUAGUAUCUUACAGUUGUCAUUUAACAUCCUAAGCAAUGCUCAAAGCCCCCAUGGACCUUAGCUGCUACACUGCCUUCAGACACUGUUGAAAUUCCCCAUUUCCAGUUCCAUCCUCCACACGCUUUGAAUGUUUACCAGAAAAUCCCAGAUUAUGCAGCCUGCUUGGCUAAGAAUAUCGACUCAGAAAAUCUAAGCUAUCUAGGAAAAUAACAAAAUACCUCGUUAUGUCCUCUGGAAACACCAAGCCGGGCAGAUAUCAACAAUUCCCAUUUUUCAGCUCUCUUCCAUCAAGCUUAAGAUCUUUAAAUUACACAUAUCAUUUUUUCAUCCACAACAAUAAUCCAAACAGUUCAAAAGUCAUGAGAGUCCCCUAGAACCUAGUUUGUUCCGCCUUUAGUAGCCUUUUCCCGUAUUCAUGAUCUCCCCUUUAAUUUUCCCUUGCCAUUGUUUUCAUAAUUCCUCGUUUUAAUCCUAGCUGCAUCCCAAAUAUUUCAUUUCAGUUCAAUUUAUGCUGAAACCUUUAAAUUAUAAACAGCUAUCCAUAUUUCUGACUUUAUUGCUUACAUCUAGUCCAGUUUCAUCAGGUAGACAACAUGCACCACGGGACCUCAUCUUUUUUUUUUUUUCUUUUGAUCAAUAAGCAAAAGAAUUGUAUUAACGAAGAGGCACUAAAAUAGCGACCCACAGAAUUACAGUAUAGAGACACUCACCCCCUUACAAUUGGACCCAAAACAAGAAGGAAAAAACAAAAAACCUCCAGUUGUGCAGUUAAGUUCAUCCAUUGCUAAUGCAAAACGCAAGCAUCUGUGCAGCUAGAAAAUGGCAUCUCCCAUGAGUUGAUCUCUCAGGUUGUAUCCUCCAGUUGUAUGUGCAGCCCUUCAUCAAAUUAAUAAAUCUAGUUAUUCUAUUUUCUAUUUUUUUUCUUUUUUGAUCAGUAAGUGUAAUAUGUAUAUUCAAAAAGAGGCGCUAAAGAAGCGACUCAAAAAGCUACAGCAUCGAACAACUCACCCCCUUACAAAAGAACCCAAGCCACUAUGAAAGCACAAAAAACUCUCUCCCUUAACGCAUACACACCCAUUCCAUAAAAUCUAUUAAGGUCGAAGGACCAUCUUUUAUCCACAAUUUGGUUUCCGACCAUAGUAAAUACACAAAAGAAAUUUUCAGCUUUUGGAUGGACAGCACCCCAUCCUCAAAAGCAAUAGAAUUCCUAGCCUUCCAAAUAACCCAAAACAAGCAUAACGGUCCCAAAAGCCACGCCACCUUCCUCUUCUUGCCCACAAAGGAGCCUCUCCAACCUAUGAGAGUUUCCUUAACCGAAAGCGGAAAAACCCAAGAGACUCCAAAAAAAGAGAGUAGCAAAGUCCACACCUCCCUUGCUCUUCCAAACACCUAUUAGUUACAUUUGUCUUGUUAUAUACUAAUUUUGAAACAUAUAAUUUCCUCCCUGCUAUAUCUGAUGGAUAUGGACACAGGUAUGAGAUGCACAGAUUCACUGACCUAGCUCAAAAAGUAGGACCAUAGAUGUGGAAAGGACAGAACAAUAUAUUAGUAUAUGCUUACUGGUCUUUCCUCUCUUUUACUAGUCAUAUUCUUGUCUUUUGUGAGUUUGAUCUCUGUGCACUGCACUAUAUAGACGCAUGUCCAGCAGUGUGAGGGGAUUGUACUUUCCUACUUAGUAUUCACAUAGACAUGGGUCCUCUUUAAAGGCAAGCAUGCUACGGGCAUCCUGUUUAUGUUUACAUUUCAAGUUUAAGUAGUUUGUUAGUUGUUUUGAGGAUUUGUUUUGUGUUCUUUGUAAAUUGUUGCUUGUCAAUUUGCCAGCUUAAUGACUUACCAAUUUUAAUUGAAGCACUUCAUCCUGAUGCAGGGCAUUCCAGAAGAUGAUGGCAAGUCCACCAGUUCCAUUCAUGUCAACACAUGCCAUUAUUAUUUCCUACCAUGCUUUUUACUGUUCACAAGAAGUGAAAAGUUUUUAAAGCUCACCUUGGAUGUGAUGGGCUCAUUGAUAACAGAAAAUGGUUCAUCACCUUUUUCUCCUAAUUGUAUUCUAAAUGCCACUGACCAUACGAAUAGGAUAAGAGCUAUUGUUGAAAUCCUUAUAUUGAUGCACAAAGAUGUUAAAAUCCAGCGAAUUCUUUCUUCAUGCAAAUCAGAGAUUGACCAUAUUUUGCAGAACAUGCUCUUAUUACAGGUAUGAUUUUGUACAUUAAGCCAUGCAAUUCCGUUUAGUUUUUUUUUAGUUAGUUUGUGUAUUCAACUGACCUGUCUGGUCCAAGCAUCAUGGAUUUUUUUCAAGGUUAAACCAGGCAGCCAAAGCCUGCACUAUAAAUGCUAUUUAAUCACGGAUGUCAUAGAUUGUUUAUAUUUAAUAUGUAGAAUGUGCCAAAUUGAAAUGCUCAUUAAGUAUCUUUUAGCAGAAUAACUGAUUGGCCUUUAUACUGUCCGAUCUACCUGAUCUAAUAUGACUCUUUAACUCUCCAAGGAUUGCUGUAAAAAGGAAAAUGAGUCAGAAAUUCAGAGUAAAGAUUACCAUGACAAUCACAAGCUUCAUUGUAAUGAAAUCAGCCUGUUUAUUGUUUGAUCAUUAACAUGUUGAAUACUGCUGUUAUGAUUAGAUGUUUUUUUCCCUCAAGAUAGGGUAAGAACUUUAGAAUUGGACCCCUUAUAAUUCAGACCUAAUUUUAUAUUCACAAGCCUUCACAAAAUACCUUUCAAAUUCGAUUUGACCUCAUAAUCACUAGCCUUAUAUGCAAGAUAGUCUGCAAUUUUGUUGCUAUUUCUGUUGAAAAUAUCAAUAAUGGUUUUAUAAUCCAAUUAUAUGAUAAAUACCAAUCAUAUCCAAUUAUAUGAUAUAUAGAUCUACUUUCCUUCUUUUGAUCACACUUUACACAGCAGAUUUUGUAUGUGAGAAGGAUUUCUCUGUUUUCUCAGCCUUCUUUAUAUUUGUUUUCACUGGAAUAAAAUGGUUGUUUCUGAUUAAUAUUAACAUAUGCACACACACACAUAUUAUACACGCUAAAGACAUGUUGUUGUGUGUAAGUAAUAAAUUUCUUGACAUCAUUGUUACCGCAGGCUUCAAAAGGAAUGAAUAUGAGUAUCGAAGAAAGGCACAAUAUACAAUGUGCAUUUGACCGACUAAAGUGCAUAACAAGUACACUACCCAGUGCGACGCCAAUAAUCUAAAUGCAUUUUUGGAAUCCAAUAAAUUGGCCUAGUAAGUUAUCUAUCUUUCAUCUGCUUUUGUUUCACACAUUAUUCUUCAUUUAAAAGAGGUGAAAGGCAAGGUGGUUUUGGAGGUUUUGGGUUCUGUUUCUCAUGAGAAAGUUCAUGAUCCAGGGAGGGGGGAUGAUCAAUUACAAUCUUGCUUCUUUGACUCUAAAGGGCAUUCCAAUUUUAUGGUCUAAGAUAUCCUGACGCUACUGUACAGUAUGGGCAAAGGAGUCUAUAAUUCAAACUAGUCAUUGGCUUGUGCAAUGUACAUGAAACUGUUUUGUUCAAAACAGAUUGAUAAAAUAAUAUAUUCUAUGUCAACUAAAAGUGAUAUUUUUCUAAUAGGUAUAACUAGAAAGUGAUCUGAAUUUUGUUUGGCUCUUUAAUUAAUGAUCUCUUCGCCUGUCAAAGAAAACUAUGGAGUGACGUAAGGCUGCUAUAGUAAUGAAACUGUUUUUAUUUCUGAUAAAAAAAAUGAAAUUAAAAUAAAAUAAAAUGAAAGGGUUUUAGGUAUAGGAGAAAAUUAGUUGCUAUAUCCUUUGUGGUGGUUUUGAUCUGUUAUGGAAAAAAAUGAUCCCUUUACUUUAUGCAGCUGUCUCUUCUGACUCUUUUAUCUUAAAAGGGGCCAUGUGCUCCUUGGAUAGCGGUAGUCUUUCUUCUACUAAAUCCAUUGGCUCUCCCAGAGCCUGGGUUCCAUGUUGGAUUCUGUUGGGUGAUUCCUAGUGAGAUUCCAUUGGUGUUUGGGGUUGCUUUCUGGGUUUUUUCAGCAUAUAAGUUUUAUUGUCUGAUGCUUCUAAUGAUACGCAAUAACUUGAACCUAUACAGGAGAAUGCCCAUUGAAACAUCUCAUCGAGUAUUUAAUACAAUGUUUUGUAACAGAAGUGUGACUAAUUUUCUCUCAUUUUUCUUGUGCCUUCUUUCAGCUUUGUAUUUUACAAGAAUGGAGAGAACAUGGAGAAUCGGAUAUGUUGUUGGCAAGAUGUGGAAUUGGGAUGUGUUGUUAAAUCAACUAGUAUAUGUCACCAUAAUCUCAAGAUGACAAGGUGAAUUCACUCUGAUUCAACUUAUCCGAGUCAUGCCAGAAUUAUACCUAGUGGUCUUCAAUCACAUGCUUGUAUUCUUCAGAGUCAAAAGUGAGUGCAAUUUUGAGCCGUAGAUAAGGUAAUCAUCCCCCUUUCUUGGCCUUUUCCUUGGUUUUUUUCCUCUCCUUUUCUUCUGCAUGGCAAUUGCCUACGCACUUCAUCAUAUAGUUGAGUUAUAAGAUAUAUACUUAUAGUUGAUGAGAUUUUGUAGAAAAUUUUGGAAUUGCCCCAAACUGAUAAGAUGGCAUGAGGUUGAAUGCACACAAUUUUGGGAGUUGACUCAUAAGUUAAAAUGAUUCAAUGGAGUAGACGUAUUACACAAAUUUACCUCUCCGAGUGAAUAUUAAUAAAACGCACCAACAAUUGAGCAAUAUUUGGUCUUCUAAUUAUUCAGUGAUGUUCUUUGUUGUUGAAAGUCAAAAGAACAAUUUAUCAUCCGAAAAUCUGUUGAUUGAAAACCAUUUGUUUUCAAGACUAGUUAUAUUAGAAAGUUGAUUGUAGUAUGGGAUCAAGGACUAUUAUUGCCGAGGUUGGGUGAGUGAGAUUUUAUGUAUUGACCCUUUAAGUUCAUAUUUACAGAUUCUCAUUACCUCAUUAAGCAAAAUAAGAUGAGGGAUGGAUGAUACCUGAAUUGCCUGAUUCUUCUACAGCCCAAUACCCGAUAAUAUUUUUAAAGCGCCUAUCAUUUGUGAUGGUAAACUUCGGCAAGCACUCUUCUUACACAACGUGUGCUUGUCAGAAAAAUUAUUGAUGGAUUUAAUUUCCAGGAGGUUUGACCGUGGCCCAAGUAUCUUUUCAACUGCAACACCAAAGUCCCUAUGGGCCAUUAUGCAUUUAAUCCAUUUUACCCAAACGUCAUAUCAUCAAGAUAUCCAAAACGGUGCCGUAGAGGUUAUUUUGAUAAUAUGUCUAAAUACAAACUUCCAUAUUUUUUUGCGGUCGAAGUGAUUUGCCCUCACGCUUGAUCAAGAGAUCCGGACUAGUUUCCAUUUGAGAAAGUUAAAUUUACAGCCUGCUUGAGAGAAAUUAAGGAAUGGUAGGAUCAGACAAUGAAAUAUCGGAGUAUUCAAUUAAUUUGCUAAGAAAAACUCAAAAUGAAUUUUAAUAUUUUACCAUCUGAUUAAGUCAUCCAAAAAAAAUCAUAAAUGUACAAAUGCAUGCAGGUAGGUGUCCUCUUCAUGAUGGUAUGCACUGAAAUUCGCAUUAGGUGAGACCCACAAGUUCAUUUGACAUUUGCCAUAAUCAUCCCUUAAAUGAAAAUGACUAAAAUGUCUUCAUUAAUUUGCAUCAUGGUCCAUGCUUUUCGUUUUAUAUGCUUCUGCAAGUAAAGGGCAUUUAUCUUUACAGGCCUCGCUCAACCAGGUCCAUAUGCAUAUGAUGGUGGAGCUCACUUAAUCGUGUGUUACACCGCUAUCCCCCAGGAUCCCAGCCAAGCAAAUUGGGCCCACCAAACAUUCAUGGCUCACUUAUUCUUAGGUAAGCUGGUGGUGUACCACUUCCAGGAUUGGCCUUCCCAACCUAAAACCUCUCAUUUGAUGAUCAAUUUGUUUGCUUUCAGGAAAGCAUAGUCCAGCCAAUAAUGUGCCUGUGUGCAUGGUUCACCUCAAACAAAUCCAGAAAUUUGCCAAGUCUUGUUUUACAUUAACCAGCAGUCACCCGUUGCCCUGAAACUAACUUCUUUAGUGACAAAUUUGAACCUGAAUACAAACAGGUUUGUAUGAUUAAAAGCUAGUGAGAAAGGCGAGUGAAAAAUAACAAACCAAAACUAAGAAAUCAAGUAGACAUAUAGCAGAAAUAUGAACUGCCAUGCCUACAUGCUUGAAACCAAGGCCAUAUCAACAGAUCAAGUAUGUGAGCUGGAACAUGAUUUGAGUGAUGAAAAACAAAUGAUUAUGGGUGUUAUUUAUUCUAAGAUAACAUUUGGGUCCUGCAUUUGUUCCUACUAGACAACAAUUUCCAGGUGUUAUUAGUAGUAAUCCCAAAUGUCAAGAAAACUAAACAAUUUUCACAUCAAUGGCAACCCCUUAGGGUCUGAAAAGCUUGGUCGGCGCAAUCAUUCAAGUGAACCAUUGAAUUCUGAAUUCCUUGCAUUGGAGUGAAUACAAGAGAGAGCAAUAUCAGUUUCAUCCUUAAUCAGGUUUUUUAAAUUAUUUAAUGAGAGCAAAAUUUGCAACUAAUAGAUUUUGGUAAUAUAAAUUCAUUAGUCAUAAUUGUAUUCUCCUGAAGAAGGGGAUACUCAAAAUAUUACCAAUAUGAUCAGGACACCAAAAGAUUAACUGGACUGGAAAUUGAGAACAAAGAAAAUGAAAAAGAAACAGGACUGAGGAAUAGAAUAGAAGCUUAAUACAAAUUCCCAAUGCAAUUUAGAAGAUUCUAUGAAAUAAUAAACUGUAAUUUUUUUUUCUGAAAUGACAUAUGCACUUGUUUGCCAUAUCAGAGUAAAGCAAACUACUACAAAGUAGCUAAUCUGUCAUCCGAAAAAUAAGAAGUAGAGGACAAACAAAUCUAAAUAUACAAACCUCUGCAAGAAUUUCUACUGAAAGAACUUCCAUUUCUUCUCACAAUCCUGAGACUGGUGCAAGCCUCGGAUGUUCACCUUACCAGCACAUCCCUGUAUCAGAUUCAUCUCAUGAAGCCAUUUGUAUGUAACUGAAAAAAAAAUUAAAAAAAAUGCUGUAUUAGAUUCAUGAAAACGACCCAAGGAGCACAACCAACGAGGCACCCUUUAUGAGAUUGUUAAAUUUUGAAUGGUAGCCUUUCAUUGUUAAAUUUGACUCCUAGUAUUUCAUGCAAGGAAAUGCAUUUGUUCCCAAAAAAAAUAACCCGGUCAACACAGGUUUAAGAUCAAAGUAUUGCUUUAAAUUUCAAUUGUUUAUGAUAAAUAAGAGUGUAGAAAUCAACAACCCAAAAUUUUUUCCAUAUUUUCCUUCUAAAAACAAACUUAAGAUUAAGAAGUUGGUGAUGCUUAUGUCUCACCCAUCAAAGGACCAAAGAAAAAAAAAAUCAACCUCUGGUUCUUGCAUCUCAAAACUAUGCAACUAAAAUAUAAUUGUGUGAAUAAAUAUAAUAGAACAAGGGCUCCCCCUUAUUUCUUUUGGUCUAAGCUUUGAAAAGAUUGGAGGGACAGGAAUGCCAAUUUGCUAUCCAUCUGAUCACUAACUUUUGUAAUACAUCUAUUUAUGAUUCAUACGAUGGUGUCUGCAUAUCAUACAAGGUAGUUGUGUUGUAACUCCCAGCUAAACUUGGUAUGCCAAAUUUUGGCAUUCAUGUCCCUUGUGCCAAACCUCGUCGACUCAUGGAGACACGUGUAAGUUCUCAGGCCACUUUGGAGAAACCAACCUCAUCCCACCAUUUCCAUCAUUUCAGUUCAAUGUUGUUCGCUUUUAGUAAUUUCACCACAACACGCAAUUGCUUUCCUUUCAUAAUUUAUGUUGAAAUUUAGCAAAAAUAGUGAUAAUUUGAUAGAAAUCAUCCCCUCUUCUCUCCCCCUCUCCUCUCGAAAUCAGUAUUUCUAUAUAUAUAAAGAGAGAGCGCGCUACCUUUCUGGACGAGCAAAUGAGACAAACUCCUCGUUUCUUCUACAACCUUCCAGAGGAACUUCCAUGAAGGACGAUGAAAGGGAUCCCCAAGCACUGCGAGACUGAGUGGCAUGAAUGUGAAUCGAUUCAGAUGGGAAGGGCAAUAUCGUCACAAAAAAUUAAUAUGUGACGAUAAAAUAGCGAACUAGACGCCACUGCUCGAUGAGUGGAUGACUUGGGAAGCAAGCAACUAAUGAGAGUAGGAGCCUUUGAAGCUUCUUUCGUCAUCUGGUUUAUACCAUAAAAAUCAGAUUCAUGUUCCGUAAAUACCCCCACCGCCUUAAUUUAAUUACUAUUUCAGGUCUAAAACCCCACCACGCCUCGCGCCUUUUAUAAAACCCUUUCUGUUGCAAUAUUUCCUUGUUAAUGUUUUCAGCCGACGGGAUUCGCCGUGGUCUGCAGGUAAGAUGAUGGAGAUCAACGCCGGGGUCUCUUUUCCGGUCGUCUUCUUCGAUGGGGAACGGGAAAUCAACAUCGGAGACGUCGUUGUGUUUCCGUCGAUGGAGUUUAAGAAUUUCCAAUCAAUUCUGAGCCAGAAAAUUGGAAUCUCUCCACACCAGAUCUCCAUCUUCCUUGACUGUCAGAGGAAAUCGCGAUCAUCCAUGGAAACACGUCGGAGAAUUCCUAUUACCGGUAAGGUGAGUUUCUCUGCAAUUCUUCGCGAGAAGGAUUGCUUCUUUCUUGUGGUCUUGAAGCGAUCAAGGAGAGAAAGAAGGCGAAAAUCAAGACUUCUUAACGAAGUGGAAGAAGAAGAAGAGAACUUCACGACGCGGAAUACAGUAGCGCCGCCUCAGAAACUGCAUCUUCUCCGGCGAAACCAAGAGACAACCGAUCAAACAUUUUCAGGCUUCGUUUCGCCGUAUUACGAUCAGAUUAUGCCUUCGGACGACCUGUUCGUGGGAUCGCAGUUUCUAAAUUAUAAUAAUCGUCUCCAGAAUUUGCAGAUUCAACGAGAGAAGUAUUUGCGCUCUACCAAUUUGCAUUCGAUACCGAAUGAGAACUAUGACUUCCCGGUGACGAAUAAUCGAAUCGGAAGAGAUGUGAUAGUGUGCGAGGAGUGUGUGAAGGCGAUGACGAUGGGAAAACCGGUUCCCUUCCACUGGUGCGUGUACGACGCCGUCACUGUAGGGUUCCGAUCACCGGCCGGACCAAUUGCGAGGCCUGUCAAACGUUCCAAUUAGGGUUUGAAGGUCCACGUUUUUAUUUUAUUUUAUUUUGUUAUUUUGAUGAUGAUGAUGAUGAUGAUGAUUUGAAUUGAACCCAAGGAGACUUCCGAUUUAGGCUUUCUGCUUAGGAACAGGAAACAAUAGUGUUGGGGGGUGGUGAUGGUGGUGCGAUGUGGCAUACGAUAAGGAAGGUAUACCACACGCGAUACCACAUAGAUUACAGAAGAUACUAGGACUAGGAAAUUAUACAAGUGUUGAUAUACGUGUAUGGAAAAACGCCCUUUGGGAAAGGGUCCAAGUUGACAGAUCUUUUUCUGUAUUUUUCUUUUUUUCUUUGGAUUCUUGAGAGAGUGAGAAGCUCUGCUUCAUUGCUUGAAAUGGUGAGACACACCACUUGGAAUUGUUUUCCACCCCAUUCCAUUUUCAGGAUCGUAACACUACUUUGGGAUUAGGCCCUACAGGAAUUUAAUUCCCAUUGGCGUUUUGAUUGGAAAUUUGGUAUAUGAAUGAAUUGUCAUCGUCUCUUUUCUUUUCUGGGUUCAUGGCUUACCAUUUUUACUUGUAUUUUAAUGGAAAUGUUGUAUUUUUUUAUAGUUUUGGUCAUAUUUUAUAUUGGAUGGUGGUGGUGGUGGUGGUUGUUGUUCUUGUUAUUUGUAGGAGAGGGGCCUUGUCAUGGAUGACUAAUUGGAAAUUAUUGGUGUUGGUUGGGAAUUAUAUUAUUGGCACAUUAGAAUUUUCAAUUUUUGAUAUUUUUUGUGAAGAUUAAUUGUAUUCUUGUAGUUUUUGGGUGUCAUGUGAAUUUUUCUGAGGGAGGCACAUGGCGCAUUCUCUAUCACAGAUGAAAUAAUGGCCACGGAUGGGAGGAGUUUGUCAGAAGAUAACUUAAGACUAAUAAAUAGAGUUGUUAAGAUGUAAAUUGUUACUAUAUGUGUGAAAAUAACAUAUGCAUGUGGUUAUUAUUAUGUGUACAGGCUCUUCUUUAGGUCUUAAUGAUGAUAAGGAUUUGAUAUGCAGUCUACUUAAUGGUAAUUACUAAUUGCCUUGAAAACUGACUUAAAAGAGUUCGCAGUAAAAUAUGAUUUUGACCUUUUUCAAAAAGGAUACAAGGAUCGAGGGAUAGUGAUUAACAUUAACAGCACUGAAAAUUAAUGAAGAUUUAAAAAAAUUAAAAAAAAAAUAGAACUCCGAAACAUAAUUUAUACUCAUCUUAGAAAAAUUUCUUAUAUUUUUUAGCAACUAAACAUAUUUAGAAAUCAUAAUGAUUAUCCAAUUACCAAUUUCCUACAAAUUACAUAUUAAUCAUUAUCAAAAUUUAUCAUAAUAAUAAAUUAUGAUAUCUUGAAAUAUUUGAAAUAAUGUUAAAUUACUAUUUUUUUAAUUAUUAUUUUUAAAAUUAAAAUAAAAACAAAUAUAAUAAUUAUGUUUAUAAAUAUUUUAACAUGUAAAAAUAAAUAGAUCUAACAUUUAACAAUCAAUAGUAUUCUAAUAUUAAUAAAAAAAUAAACAUUUAAUGGUAACUUAUAAAAACUACCUUCCAAUUAUUAUUAUUAUUUUUUUCUCAAUUUCUUAUCCUCUCAUUUCCCCUUCCUUGUGCAAACCAUUAAGGCUAUGUUUUGGUAGCAAAAAACAUCAAGAAAAAAAAAUACUUUUAUCAAUUUUAUUACAAAAACCACAAAAAAAAUAAAAUAUAAUUAAAAUUAGUUCUAAGUUUAUAUAUUUUAAUUAUUUAGUCCAAUGAGAAAAAUAAGUGAAAUAAGAUUAAAAUUUUAUAUAAAAAUAUUUUAUUAACUUUAAAUUUAUAUUUUUAUUAGGUUAUGUUUUAUGAUAAAAUAAAGUUAUCCAAAGAUCUUAAGGCUAUGUUUGUUUUUUUUAAAUUUUUGAAGGAAAACAAAUAGUAGGGAAAAAAAAAAAAAGAUAAUAAAUAAAUAAAUUUAAAUUUAAUAAAUUAUUUUUAUAUAUUACUUCAAACUAAUUUCACUUAUUUUUUUCAUUAUAUUUAAAAAUAAAAUAUUGUAAUAUGCGUAAAGUUUUAACUAAAUUUAAUUUUAUAUGUUUAUAUUUUUUAUAAUUAAACCACAAAAAAUCAUGUUUUUUUAACUAUUUUGUUUCUUUUCUCACUACCGUUUUGAAGCCAACACAUUCUCCAACAAUAUAAAUUUUAAUUCCAUAUUCAUCUUAACAUUCAACACCAAAAUAAUAAUAAUAAUAAAAUAAAAAAUCAUUUUCUUUUUCAAAAUUAUAGAUAUAAAUUUAUUUUACCAUAUUUUUCUUAUUAUUUUCCAAAAAGUAUUUUAAUAUCAAUCGUGUAUAGUAAAAUUGGUUUAGGUAUAUAUUUUUAUCUUACAAAUAUAUAUAUUAUGCUAAAAAACACGUGUUAAUAUUUUUCCCACUAAAACGUUAUAAAGUGUUUUUGACGUUGAAAAUCUUAAAACAAAUACUAACAUUUUAGUUUGGGAAGUGUUAUUAAAAAUAGGUUUCUAUUUUUUAUAAUAAAAAAUAAAAAAACACCUUUAACAAAAUUUUGAAUUAAAAAUAGUUAUUUUUAAGGAUUUCUUUACAAGACAUUGUUAUAUAAAUAAUUAAAAAUUAUUUAUAAAUACGAUUUCAAAAUUACUUUUUUGAGACCUCUUUACGUUAGUAAUGAAAAUCCUGAUUUUAAUAUUAUAAGUAAUCAGUAAUUAUUAGAAAUGAAAUCAGAAUUUUUUCUUAUUUUUAUUUUUAGUAUAAAAUUUUUGGAAUAAUAAUAAUAAUAAUAAUAUGUUCGCAUUACAUUUUCAGAAAACAAAGUACGCUAUUGGUUGGGUUUUUGAAUUAAAAAGCAAGUUGACAACUGUUGAACCGCAUCUUCUACCAACCAAGGGUCUAUGCCAGUCGACUGUACAUCACGUGCAUAUCAACGACCAUAAGAAAGCAGGUUUCAAGCCAAGAUUGGCGAGUGGGGGCUAUUUCCUACUCGAGAGCGUGCAGAAGGCAUGGAAAUAAGACAGAAAGGAGAGGGGGGUUUUGCUGGGGGUUUUUGAAGAGCCAAAACGGCAAAACGGGCGAGUUAGUGGAGAUUGUAGAGCGCCGAGGAAAUCGCAGAGGGGGAGUGGUCACGUGAGUGCAGUACUCUUUCUUUCUCUCUAGCGAAGAUGAAAGAGAUUGCCGUAGCGCGUAUUCCCUCUCUUAUUUCUGGAGAGAGAAAAUCGUAACGUCAUUUUGAAAGCUGAGCGCUCUCUCUCGGUUCUCUCUCUUUAGCCUCCCUCCGUUCCCCAGAUGAACAUUUUGGUUUCAAACCCUUGAAAUUCCCUCUCUUCUCUCAUCUUCUUUUGUCUUCUCUCGAAGUUGGGUUUUGCUAGGGUUCCAAUCCUUUGUUUUAUGCUUUUUAAAAAUGGCGGAGUUUCCUCCAAAUUUAGAUGAUGGAGAACUAUGGCUUCCUUCUGAUAUUUUCCCAGAGGAAGUUCCUUCUAAAUUUGGGACCCACCACUUGCCUUCUGAGUUCGCUUACAUGAGCGACAUCGCUCGGCAGUUUGCUGCUUUCACUUUGCUUCAGCCGCCCCAGACCCAUCCUAAACAUCCUCUAAACUUGGCACCAAACUUGGAGGUUACUCUCUGUCCCUUGUGUUCUCUAUUUAACUAAGCUUCAGAGGAUUUGCAUUCACGUUGAUGCUUUGAUUUGUGGGUUUGCAGCGGUUGAGACCGAUGAUUAGGUAUGGGCCGUAUGGCCGUCCCGGUUGUAGCACCACUGUUGCAGUAACUGGAAUUGGUGACAGCCCUUGUGUGUGUGACAGUCCUUGUGGGUGUGACUGCCGACUCCGGAGCUGCUGGGACGGUGGUAGGCCGUUGUACGAGUACCGCAAUGUGAAACCGCCUCAACCCCAGGUAAAAAAAAGGGGAAAAACUGCGAAAAGGACCGUUUGUGUUGAGUCAUUUCAAAGCUUUUCACUUUUUCAGCUUUAAUACACAGGUCGAUAGCUUUCUGCAAACAAGGACUUUGGCUCUGCAGAGGCACCAAAACCGCUUUCAGAACCGGUCUUUGCCGUUUCAGAGAAGCGGGUCUGGGUUGGGUGGUGGUGGUGGUGGUGGUGGUGGUUUUGGUUUUGUGAGAAACUAUGGAGGGACAGGUGUGUUUCUUCCCCGUAUUUCAUCCACAACCACCACUUCUCCAAACCCCACCGCCACUGAUGACUCUAGAAAGAAACAAGGUGAGUUGUUACCGUUUUUCUUUCUUUGGGCACUUUUGAUAUAUUUGGUGUGGAUAUCUGCGUUUUCCGCUUUAGGUCUGCUAUUAUGUCUUUUGUUUAUUUUAGUUCCCCAUAUUUUAUUGCUUUUGCUUGUCGCCUUUGUCUUCAAAACAUAGAACCAGCUUCAAAUUCUUUAUCUGGGUUUUGCUUCGUUGGGAAUCUGGAACCAUUUUUCUUUUCCUUUUUUUUUAUCAAAAAGAAAAUUACUUUCAGACUUUAGGAGGCAUUUAUUGUGGUGAACUGUUGUUGGUUCCAGUCUUCUUUCAGUUUUUUCUUUUGUAGUUUUUCAAAUCUCAGUCAAAGAAAGCACUAAUUUGCAACUGCUCAAUUCAGAUGCUUGACAGUUACUAUGUUCAUAACCUCCUGUUUUUCUUGAAUUUUGUCAUUUAUUUCGGUUAUAGUUUAAUAGUUUAUUGGGUCUGGCAUUUCUGUUGAAAUUGUUUUGUCCAUCUAUCAAUAUGAGCCUGCUGCCCAUGGUGUGGUGCCAAUGCAGCUUAUUAUAAUGCUUAACAAACCAAUGGACUGAAAUAUAUCUAAUAAAACUUUGUCGCCUUUCAUUACAAGUCUGAUAAAGAAGUCAGUGAAUCUAAUUGACAAACAAAAUGUCUUUAGCAAUCUAUAUGGAUUUCUUCUUCUCUUAUUCCACAUCUCUUUUGUUGAUAUCAUUAUUCCUUGUCUAUGGUUGCCUGGUCCAGAAUAUGAAAAUGAACAAUUUUAAGGAUAAUUUGCGAUAUUUUGUUUUCAUUUAUCUUAAUCUAAGGAUGAAACAUUGGCAGGCAUGAACAAUUGGCAUGGGAUGCAAGUCAGUUUACCGAGGAAACCAACCAUGAAUGGCAUUGGUGGGGGGAAACAAGAGGAGUGCAUCCGCCAGCUUCCUCCUGAGCUUGCCUUGCCUCAAGACUGGACCUACUGAGUUCCUCUUCUUCCUUGUAAAGAGUUACUCUAGUGGCAGUGUGGAACAUAAGGAAAUAAGAGCUCUAAGCAGGACAGAAGUCAAAUAAUCAUUUGGGUUUUGUGUAGAACUAAUAGAAAUUACUAUUAAAGCUGAAGUGGGUAAUCCUUUCUUUUAGUAAGGCUCUAUAACUUUGUAGAAUAAAUAAUGGGUUUGAAGCUUUUUGUAGGAAUUUGCAUUGUUUCGUUAUUUACAUUACUGUCAGCCCUCAGAAAACAUUGUUUCUGCCCUAUUGUUUUCUUCUUUGUGCAGUAUUGAAUGCUUAUAGCUGGAAUAACACAGCACUGCUAAAAGGACUAUUGCUUCUUGUGUUGGGCUUUCAGUUGGUGAAUCCAUGAAAGGCACAUUAAUGACUCUGCUGCAGUCAUGGAAUGUUAAUUGAAAUCUGCCAACCUUUAGGAAAUUUUUGUGUGUAAUUUUCUCAAGGCAAUUUUCAGUGGUGGAUUUUUGGGUUUGGAAUCAUUCAUAGGGUAUUGAUGAUUUUUUUCCCUCCAAGCAAAUGGUUUGAAUUGUAUAGUCUUUACAGCCUGUUCACAAUACCAGCUUUUAUAGGAAGGAAAUAAAUGAGUUACUUAGAUGCCAACUUGAAACCAACCUUACGAUGAAGUUGAAAGCUUAUGAAUAGGGAAGGGCUUUUUGUGGAAAUUUUUAUUACACCAGUCCGAACUUUAUGAAUUGUUUUUACUUUUUGUUUCUCUCUUCUAAGGAAAAUUUAUGAAUGCCCUCGCUCACUUCAACUGCCUUCAUUCUCAUCCUAUUUAUGCGCUUGAAGCAGAUACCCAAUUCACUUAAUGUAUGGUGUGCCCAUCCAUCUAAACCUAAUAUACCUUAACUACUACCCCAUAUGGGUUUUAUGGAGCAGUGUAUUUUUAAAAAAUUCAUAAUAUAAAAAAUAAUUCUAAAUUUAUGAUAUCUUUGAAUUUUGAAUAAAAUUGAGUUUACUUUUACAUUGAACUCCUUUUUUGAAAUGGGUGAAUUUAAUGUAAAAAAACAAGUUUAAUGUAGAAAAUGUAAACUUUUUUUUUUUUAAAUAUGAGUAAUAAAAAAAAAUUAAGUUCAAAAGAAGAAUUCAAUAUAAAAAGUUUUAAAGUUAAAAGGAAAUUCAUUUUCUUAAGAAAAAAGAGUAGAAAAAAUAACGAGUUUAGUACAAAAAUAAAAGAAGUGUUGAAAAGUUCUGUAUUUUUAUAUUUGUUUUUAAAUAAUUAUAUUUCAAUAAUAUUUUAUUUUUUAAAAUCCCCUAUUCUCAGGACGGUCACAUGAAUGCAUUUACAAAAAAAAGAGAAUUGUCGUUGUCAUUACAAUUGUUUUAAGAAAAUUAAUUUAUUAUAUAAAAAGGAAUGUUUUAAAUUUAAAUAAAAUUAUUUCUUUAAUUUAAAGAAAAUAUUUAAAUUAUUUUAAAAUUUUAUAAAUAUUAAUUUAAUAAAAAAAAAACUUGCUAUUUGAAUUUACAUAAAAUUGCAUUUAUUCCUUCCUUUUAAAAAAAAGUAAUAAAUGAAACAUGAUUUAUUUUAUUUGUAGAUAUGAAGGGUAUUUUUAUGUACAUAUGUCGUGCGAACCUUUUCGUUGUGACAGAGGAGGAGCCCAAUGUGCAUAAUAAUGACAAUUGUCCAUCCAAUUACAUCAAUGAUAUGGCAUAAAAAUACAUAAUUUUCAUUUUUUUCAAAUAUAUAUGUGAUGUAAUAUACAAAAAGUUAAAUGAUGAAAUUUAAUAAAGAGUAAUGUUUGCAUGACCGUGUACAUUAGUAAUCUCAUGAAAUUGAAGCUUUCAAUUUGACAGAAUGAUAUGUUAUUUUUUAUUUAUGAGAAGAUUUCAUCUCUUAUUUAGUAAAUUUGUAUUAAGGGUUUAGUGACAUUUUCAUAUGGAUUUAGUAAUCUGAUCUUUAUUUAUACACUUCUCGAUAGAUGAUAGCUUAAGACAAAUACAUUUCAUCUGGCAUACGAGGAGAUGAUUAUUACAUUAAAGGACUCGUCGAUCAUCCUUAGCAUCCUUAUAUCGAGUAUAAUCAUAUUUACCACAAUAUAUGAUAAUGAUCAUACUAUGACAUAACUAGUUAAUAGAAUACUUGAGUUGUUAAGUCUAAUGUCUAAAUAAAGUUAUACAUGUAUAGAAAAUAGUCAAUUUGUUUAAGAUGGUUGAGAGAGCUUUAUAGUGAUGUUACUAUGUAGACGAGUGAUAAUAGGGUCCAAUAACUUGCUCAAGAUACACUUACAUAUCUAUCUCAUUAGUUAAGCCUUAUGACACAACGAUAUGUCAAAUCAAUUGUUGGAUACACAACAUUACUUGAGAUAUAGUCAUAAACAUCAAUAUUUCUCUUAUACUACAUUAUCAUGCAAAAGAAGAGUACUUUAAACUCUCAUAGGGCUGGGGAUAUGGGUAUAUCCCUAUAUUUGGAUCUCACCAAAAUAUAUAAUUUGUAUGAUCCAUUAGGAUUGCUUUUGCCAUCUAUGCAAGAGCGAUUAGAUGUCCUAUCCAUAGAUAAUAUAAGACAUUGUAAUUCAUAUAUUUUUUUUCCCAUAUAUAUAUAUAUAUAUAUAUAUAUGUAUAUAAUGUGGUUGAAUCUAUUGUUCAUGCAUUUUUUUUAGUUUAUUUUGGAUCCCCAUAUAUUUAUCCAAUUUAGUUAUUGAGCCACAAAUUAUAUCAGACUGUCGAGUAAGAAUAGCAAUGAGACAAGUCUUUUAAGUUUGUUUCAUCUCAAUUAUAUGUAUAAUUAAAUAAAAAAGAAUUUAAUUCAACUUUUUUUUUUGGGUUUUUUUAACACAAAAUAAAAAUAAUUUAUUUUUUAGUAAAAAAAAUUAUAAAAAAUUACAACAUUUUUUUAUUUAUAAAUUAUAAUCAUUUUAAUAAAAUAAAAAUCUUUAAAAAAAAUAAAUAAAUGGGGCUAAGCAAGUUGAUUCGAGAAUUUUCACUAUCCACCACGAUUUUCACAAUACAUUGUGACUUACUUGGUUUAUUUUUUAUUUUUGGAUCGAGGACGAGAAUUGAUUUAAGUAAUUGAGGUGGGAUUAGGAUGGAAGUGACAUGUUUUGUUUUCAUCAUUGAGUCCUAUCAUCCAAAUAGAGAAUUGAUGUUAUUUGGUACGGUACCGUCCAAAGCAAGAGCACCGUUUUCACCUUUUAACCAUUAUAAAGGUGUUAGCAUGGUUAUGAAUGCAUACUUUGACUAGAUCUAAGAUCAUUUGGAUGAUUGCAUAUCAUAUGCUAUCAUGUAUGGUGUACUUGUGAUGUAUUCAUUAGAUUGUGCUCUUUAUUAUAUGCAUUAAUACAAAUGGGUCUCACUCAUAUGCGUACAAAAGCCAUAUUGAAGUUAGUGGCUAUCCUAUUUCAACAGCAUGUAUAAAUAACUAAGCACAUCGUGCAACUGACUUAGAGACAUGAAAUUAUCGUAGAAAUUUAGAAAUUGUUUGGUAACUGUCUUUUAAAAUAAUUUUUUGUUCUUUAAAAUGAAAAAGUAAAAAAAUAUUUGAUAAUUAGAAAACUAUUUUUUGUUUUUUUGUUUUUAAAAAUAGAAAAUAAAGUGUUUUUAAAAAACGUCUUUUAAUUGUUUUUAAUUAUUUUUUUAUGUUUUAUGAGGAUUAUUUUAAAAAAUAAUUAUAUAAAUAUGUAAAAUAAUUAAAAAUAAAGUAUUAAAUAUAAAAAUUAUUUUUAAAAAUAUUAAAAACAUUUCAAGUUCUCAAACAAACUUUUAUUCUACAAAACAUCAUAAAAUAGUUUUUAAAGAUUAUUCUAAAAAAUUGUUUUCGAAAAUAGUUAUCAAAUAAGGUCUUAACAUGAAUAAACUUAUACCAAAGCAUGGAACAUAUUGAAAAAUUAUUUUGGUCGCCUUUAGGGAUGACAAUUGAGCGGGUUUGAGAUGAGACACUUUUAUCCCAUGCUCAUCUUAAUCAUAUAAUUAUUAUGAAAUAAAAGCUAAUUAAUUAAGUAAAAACACUCCAGAGGAGGGUGAAUUGAGUUUUAAAAUUUUUUUUUCAAAAACUAUUCUCAGGUUAUAUUGAAAAAAAUUAAUAGAAAUGAAGAGAUGAGAGUUAAAGAGAUUGCAAACUCAAAUUUUAUAGUAGUUCAUCCAAUUUCGCCUAUGUCCACUCUCCUUAAGUUUUUUCCAAGUGAGGGUUCUACUAGUAUGAAGCUUCAAUCAAGCUUUCAAGUCUUUACAAUUGGAUUUCCCGGCUCUAAUGAACACUACAAUCAAUCCUUCAAGUUUAUCCCCUACUUCAAGACUAAGCAUUCAACCUUACUUGAAUAAUAAAGAUUUAAAGCACUUAAAUCUAGCACAAUUAAUAAACAAGUACAAAAAAGACUAGGAUGAACACAAAGGUACACUAGAAAUGAAUUGCAAGUGAUAGCUUAAUAUACAAAUGAGAUAAUGAGAGCUUUGAAAGUGAGAAACAAGUAGGUAGAUAGUUUAAUGUAGGUGUUCUCUUAUUAAUAAAUGAAUAAGAGCUCUCUAUUUAUAAGUUUUUAACCUCAAGCAUAAAAGUACACUAAUAAACUUUUCUCAAUUGAGUUUCAAUCAAUUGGCUGACUAGUCAGUAGACAAUUAAUGUUUGACAGGUGAUUAUUAGAGAUUCGACUAGAACUUGACUGGGAAGAGGUACCCAUCGACUAAGAAGACAUUUCUCUCGGUCGGGAGAGUAAUCUUUUUGGAAGAAAGAGAAAAUUUUUGCACCCCUCAAUUGGUAUUUGAUUGAGAAAGGGUAACCAAUCAACCAAUUCUUUAUUUGGUUCAGUAGGUUCAACCCAUCCUCCACCUAUUGGAUAUAUUUUGUUCAAAAACCUAUCUUUUUCCAUCUUUAAUAAUUUUUAUAAAACAAAUUUGAGAAGUUUUUUUACUAAGGUUUUGGAUUAAUACUUGAGUUUAUAAAAAAAUACGAUUUUUUAAGUCUAAAACGAGUAUGAAAAAGAUGCAUUUAUGAAUUCAAAUUCCUAAUUGCACCCAAGUGAUCACCUUACAUUGAGUCUCUAUGCUUUGAAUAAUCUUCAUGCUCUUUUGAACUUGCAUCUCUUAGAUCGUUAACUUGAUUUCUCAUUUGAAUUAUUUGAUUAAUACUUGAAGUUUAUCUUGAUUUGAAAUGUUAGUAUACUAAGUUAUCAUCAAAAUAUAAUUAGGGAACAUUUAGGCCAACAAUUAUUUUUUAUACUUGUCCCAAACCCAAAAUGGGAUGGGUAGAAGGAUUCUCGUUAAACAUAAUAAUCUUGUUCUUGGCACACCCCAUCAAACUAUAUCUUUGAUGUACCUCCAACUCUAAUUGGUCAUGUUCUUUCUCAAGCUUUAGUUUUUUUUUUUGUAAAAUAAGUAAUAUAAAAAAAUAAAAAUUUUGAUUAUAAAAAUUAAAUUUAUGGUAUAUGAGUUAUGCAUCUCUUAUAUCUUAACUUAAAAUUAAUAUAGAUAUAAAAAAGAUAGUAAAUAAUAUAUCUCACUAUUCAUCAUAUAAUAUGUUUAAUCAAAUAUGAAAUAUGUCAAAUGAUAAAAUAACUAAUCAUAUCUCAUAAUCAACAAAAAAAAUAAUAUAAUAUUUCACUUUUUAUUCUAUCAUAUUUUAUAUCCCCAAAACAAAAAAUAGCUAAAGAGAGAGCAGAUAAUUGUAAAGAAGAUGAUAUGAUAAGGUUAGAGUGUUGAAAAUUGUAAAUAUGAUGAUAUGGAGAUAAAUAAAUAAUUGAUGAAGAAUAUGUUUGGGAGUGAUUUUAAAAAACGUUUUUAAUAUUUUUAAUAUUUAAAUAAUAAAAAAUUUUAAAUAUUAAAAAUAUUAAAUAAUUUUAAAUAUUAAAAAUGUAAAAAAAGGCUUCUAGAAUCAUGACUUUAAAUUUUGAUUAUCCUUCUAUUAGGUUUUUGGUAGGAAGAUGGUAGGGUUUGCUUUAACAUUAGAAGUUACAAUGAUGUUUCAACUUUGACGCCACACGUGGCGUUGGCUUAGCCGCUUUGGUGCUGUAAUCGACUAAUUUCUUUAGGUGAAAGUUUAAACCAUGUGUUCAGUUACGGCCACGUGGAACCAGCAUCCUCGUUGCAUAAACGCAUGCACUUUCUUCCCCGGACAUGCCGGACGAGUGAAUUUUAAGGAAGGUUCGAUGUUUUAGGAAAGUUUGAAAAAGCAUCGAACGGGAUUCUGAGAUUUUGAAUUCCCUUGAUGAACAAAAUCUAUACAAUUUAAAAAUCACGCAACAAAUCAACCAAAAGAGAAAUUCCAAAGAAUCCAAAUCCACUCAACCCAUCCAAACAAAAUAAAUUCACAAAAACGACUCACAUUUUGGAAUUCACUUCAUCAAUCUCUGCGAUGGGUGUUCCUCAGGCCAUGCAAACCCUAAGCGAGAGAGCAGCAUUCACGAGGGAGUCUCUGCAAAAGAGCCAGACCAUCACGGAUAGUAUGGUCGCCAUUCUCGGCUCCUUCGACCACCGCCUCUCCGCUCUCGAAACCGCCAUGCGUCCCACUCAGGUGUUUCUUCAUUUUCUCCUCGUUUGGUUUCCGUGAAAAAUUCAGGAAAGGACAAGAAAAUGGAAAGAAGAUUGCGGGCUUUAUGAGUUCUGUUUUUUGAUUCUCACAAAAUUUGGGUGGAAAAAAAACACAACAAAUUGUGGAAUCUAGGGUUUGCUUCCGUGUUCAUUCGAUUUGUGGGUUGAAUUUUUUUACGGCCACAAUGAAAUCCUCCUGACUGCUUGAUUUGAAUAAAAAAUUGUUAAAAGUGUUUUGAUAUGUUAAUUUGGAUUUGAUUUUGGUAGAUAAGGACGCAUUCGAUUAGGAAGGCCCAUGAGAAUAUAGAUAAGACACUGAAGGCGGCUGAAUUGAUACUGGCCCAAUUUGAUCUCACCCGCAAGGUUGGUGUCUCUUUCCGGCUCCUGUUUAAAUUGAUUUUAUGUCAUUCUUGAUUUCAGUUUGUCAUGUUGUGUAUAUUUUAACAUAGUUGAAAUUAUUAUGAGCUAAUGAAUUAUGCUUAUUGCUUCACAAUUAUGUACAAUGAUGAGAAGCACUUCCAGGACUCUGCUUUUAGAUUUUCAUUCAUCUGGUUUGUAAUACUCGAUCAAAAGAUUUUGCAUUUCCCCCCCUGUUCGGUUAACUGAGAGAACUCAUUAACAUUUAUACAAAAUCACAUGCAGAGACAAGUGUUAGGUGCAAAAAUGAGUUGCGGAUUGAGAAAAUAGCCCAUUCUAUAGCUUGGUGGUAACUGGUAUAUCUAUUUCAUGCUUUUAAUGUUUAUAAAUGAGACAUAAAUUGGGGGUGAGGCCAGAUAACAGGAAGGUAACCUCCUUAUUGAUUGUGGUUGUAUCACAAAAGAGGAACCUUCUCUAUCUAUUGGGUGAUGGAAUCAAUGUUUUGAAAACCGGACUGGGUAGUCUGACCGGUUGGACCGUCUAUUGGUCUUCUUCUUAAUCUAGGUAGCCUCUUUCAGCUGUUUUGAAGUUGAACUGGUCAAGAACCGACCAAACUGGCUAGCUGGUUUUACCAAAUUUGGCCGUUUUUACCAAAACUGUUCAUCUUGGAUCUCUUGUCUAAAAAAGAGAACUACUACAACAAUUGGGCUGCACCACUCUUUUAAAUAUAUUACGAUUUAAAUUCUUUUUUUUUAUAUUAUGAUUUAAAUAAUAUUAUCUACCGGCUUAAUAAAUCCAUAUAAAAUGAAAAUUUUGAAAUAAAUAUGAAAAUAAUUUAGGUUAACGAAUAUAAUAAUUUUUAAGAUGAUAGAAUGUAGAGUAUGUAGUUGUUGAAAUCUAGAUUAAAUAAUAAAAGUUUAUUUCAUUUUGGAUAUAUCUUUUUAAUAAUAAAAUAUUAUAAUUUGAUCUAUUAAUAUUAAAGAUAAAAAAGAUGAGGAAAAUCUUUAAGUUUGGGACAGGUUGUUCAACCCUAAUCAAACCAUGACAUUAACAUCAUAUUAUAAAAAUAUAUAAUUUAUAUAUUAUUAAAAUUUAAAAUAACUAUAUUAAUUUAUAAUUUGAUCUAUUAAUAUUAAAGAUAAAAAAGAUGAGGAAAAUCUUUAAGUUUCUUAAUAUAUAUAUGCCAUUAAACUAGAAAUGCAAUUGACACACAGUGUAUAACUAUACAUGGUCUAUUAAUGGGAAAUGUCACACAUUGGAUAGGGGAGAAAGUUUCUGACGUUAUAUAUGUAUGUGCUCCUCUUAACCUUGUAGACGUGUUUUAAAGUUAUGAGGACCCCUUUGGGUCCAAAGCGGACAAUAUCUACAUGGUUGGGUGUGGGUCGUUACAAAUGGUAUCAGAGCCGAUCUUUGAUCCCAGAGCAGGGGUUUGUUUGGACUCAUAAGGGGUGUUUGUUUGUUUGACCCUAUAAUCCCAUGGGUUACAACGAGAACGUUGUGUCUGUAUAAGGAAGUAUUCAUGAUGUCCUACAUCGGAUAGGGGAGAAAGUUCAUGACAUUAUAUAUGUAUGUGCUCUGCUUAACCUUGUAGACCCGUUUUAAAGCUGUGAGGAUCUCUUUAGACCCAAAGCGGACAAUAUUUACAUGGUUGGGUGCGAGUCGUCAAAAUUCCCACUAAUACACUGUGUGUAGUUAUACACCAUGUGCCAACUACAUUUCUGGUUUAAUGGCAUAUACAUAUUAAGAAACUUAAAGAUUUUCCUUAUUUUUUUUGUUUUUAAUAUUAAUAGAUCAAAUUAUACCUUAAUAUAGUUAUUUUAAAUUUUAAUAAUAUAUAAAUUAUAUAUUUAUAAUAUGAUGCUAAUGUCAUGGUUUGAUUGGGAUUGAACUACUUGUCCCACUAAUACACCGUGUGCCAACAACAUUCUGGUUCAAUGGCAAGUUCAAUUCUGAGAACGUUGGUUACAAUCACCUUGGACUCUACUAUUCUAGAAGUUUGAAAUAGGUUUUAACCAAUGUAAGGCUUCUCUAUUCAUCAAAAUUGUGGACCAUCCCAGUCUUUCCCCAUAUCUUUAUGCAAGCCAAAAAGAUUGCAUAGACUUUUAAAUUAAUUAAUAAACUAAAUGAUAACUAGAGUUUAUUGUUUUUAUUAAAAAAAUGUAGGUUGUGUUUUUUUUUUUUUUUGGUUAUUGGAGGGUGUGUUUUAUUGGUUAGUGGAGCUAUUAAAUUAUUGUUAUCUACCAGAAGUUUUUGAACAUUAAGAUAGUGUCAGUCUUCUCUUCUCUGAAAACUUCGAUUUUUCCUUAUUGCGUGUGGUGAUUAACAUCCAUUAUGUAUGGUAGCUCCAAAACAAUACUUCAUAGCACAUAUGAUCUGUUUCUCUAUGUUGAUCUCAAUUUUUCUUCAACUUUUAGGCGGAGGCUAAAAUACUGAGAGGGCCACACGAGGAUCUAGAAAGUUACCUAGAAGCAAUGGAUCAACUGAGAAGCAUUGUUCAUUUUUUCAACUGUAACAAAAGUUAUAAGAGCAAUGCUGGAGUGCUUAAUCAUGUCAAUAACUUACUUGCAAAAGCUAACUUAAAGAUAGAAGAGGAGUUUAGACAGCUCUUGACAUCUUACAGGUUUGUUCUUUUGCAUAUACUCAGUGUUACUAUUAUUUAUGAUUUCUUGGUUGGAACCCUGGCAAUCUCAUUCCUGGAAGCAUUGUGCUUCACAACAAAUGUUUCCUGACAUAAAUUUUCUGAGAUGAAUGAAAAUUGGUUUUUUAUUUAUAUUUUGUUUCUUGUGCAUGAAACAUAUUUUGGACUUUUGGCAAGUUCUAAUUCUUUCAAUCAGGGUUGAGUAACUGUCUUUUCAUUUGUAGCUGCUGAAGUUGUAUCUCUUUUGGAUUUCAGCAAACCAGUGGAACCUGAUCGCCUUUUUGAUUGCCUCCCCCACUCUCUACGACCAUCAUCAGGGUCUCCUGGGCAUCAGGGUGAAGCUACUGGCAAGAAUCCUUCUUCUACCAAUCACUCUGAGCACAACAAAAGCUUAGAAACUGCUGUUUACACUGCUCCAACUCUUAUUCCACCCAGGAUUCUGCCAUUGCUGCACGAUUUAGCCCAACAAAUGAGUCAAGCUGGUCACCAACAACAACUCUACAAAAUUUAUAGGUGAGAUUUUUUUAUUUUUUUUUAACUCUGUUUCUGAUGCAUUAACAUUGCCCAACAAUUUCUUUUCCUAGUAUCACGGAUUUUUAUUUUAUACACACACACACACACACACACACACACACACACACACACAUAUAAUAGAAAUAUAUUUGAGAAUUGUCAUCAUUGAAUCCCACUUCAAUGCUAUUUUUUGUUUUUAUUCUAUCUGUAAGCACAUGGUAAGCAAUCUAAAGUGAUUCUUGUUUGUAGUUAUCAUUUUUGUUUUGGAUAGGCACUUUGCCUGUAGUCAUCAUCAAUUUCUUCAUAAGCUGGGAAAAUUGAUAGUUAAUAUGUUUAUAAUCAUGCAGAGAAACCCGUGCUUCAGCUUUGGAACAGAGUCUCAGGAAAUUAGGUGUGGAAAAACUUACUAAAGAUGAUGUCCAGAAGAUGCAGUGGGAAGUUUUGGAGGCUAAGAUUGGAAAUUGGAUUCAUUUCAUGCGGAUUGCUGUAAGGGUUUACUAGGAACUGGAUAGGAUUAUUUGUGUGUGUGUGUGUGUGUGUGUGUGUGUGUACGUAUUUUCUCUUAAUCCAGCCAUUUCAUCAUGCUUGUAACAGGUCAAAUUGCUAUUUUCUGGGGAAAAGAAAGUCUGUGGUCAAAUAUUUGAUGGUGUUGAUUCUCUCAGGGAUCAAUGUUUUGCAGAAGUUACUGCAAACAGUGUAGCUGUGCUCCUUAGUUUUGGAGAUGCUAUUGCCAAAAGCAAGAGGUCCCCUGAAAAAUUAUUUGUUCUCUUAGACAUGUAUGAGAUAAUGCGAGAACUGCAUUCAGAGGUAUGAUUUAUAUAACUAGUUGCAUAAACACUGAAUUAUGGAUACUAAACUAGCCAGCAGAUUGGAAGUUGAUAUUGGUUAUGUGAAGUUUUAGUGAGCUGCUUCUAAGGUUUCCCAUAAUUUUGGAGGAAAAGCUUUGUUGCAAUUAAUGGAACCUAUAUGAAACUACUUGAGCUGUCAAUAGGCAGACAACAUAAAACAAUUUUCAUCAUUGCUUAGGAUAGAAAAUUUGCACUUUUUCCUCCAAUACCACUUGUCUCCUAUUCUUAAAAUGUGCAAGGUGCACCUAAGUUGGAAAAGUCUCCUAUGGCUUAGGCACGAGGUGCAGCACAAGGCAUGCACCUGAGUGAAGUGAAAUGCGAGUUAUGAUGUAUAGCAAUUUUAUAAAUAUGAUCCAAAAUCCAAUCCAAUCAACAAAAAACUUGAGAUUUCAAAUAUUUAAAAGAAGCAUUCAACAAAAAAGUAAUGAAAUAAUAUAAACUUCAAUAUAUAGUUAAAUUUUUUAAGAAUAAAAGUGUUUAAAAAGGAAGGGUAAAGUAGAUGAGGUGUGGCUCUCCUACAAAGUGCAUGCCUUGGCAAGUAAAGCACUAUAACUGGGGAUUAGUUUUGCCCUGAGCCUAGGCAUGCUUUAGGCGUGCCUGUUACAACUAUUUGUAAAUGAAUAGCAUAAAUAAAUGGCUUAAAGGGUUUUAACAACAAAGAUCAAAAUUCAGUUUGUUUCAUCACUGGACUAUUAGCAGAUAAUGCUUAAUUGCUACUAUGUCGGUUGUAAAAUGAAUUUGAGUGAUUCACAGCCACACCCACAGAUAUAUACACAUAUCAAGAAAUCAUUCUUGUUUGUUAUUCAUAAUUGGUUGUUCUAUUAAACAUGAAGUGUACUUUGGGAACAGAUGCAGAUUGAUAUACAUAUGUAUUGUUAAACUAAUGCAGAUUCUGUUUCUUUCUUCUUUUUUGCCCCUCUUGGGGUGUGGGGGUGGUAUUGGUGUUCAUGUUGGGGGUGAGUGUAGAUUGAAACAAUAUUUGAAGGUCAGGCCUGUGUCGAAAUGCGGGAAUCUUCAUUGAGUUUGACAAAGCGGCUAGCUCAGACGGCCCAAGAGACCUUUGGUGAUUUUGAAGAAGCCGUAGAAAAAGAUGCCACAAAAACUGCUGUUCUUGAUGGAACUGUGCAUCCUUUGACAAGCUAUGUAAUUAAUUACGUGAAGUUUUUAUUUGAGUAAGUCUAUAUAACUGUGCUGUCCAUCUCAUGCUGUUGAUCCUUUCAUAGACAGAAUCUAGUAAAAGUAUAUGUUGCCCUAUUAUUCCUUGAUAUGUUCAUCCACUUCCAAUGAAUUAUUUGUCUUGAUAGAUUUUGGAAAUGUUUCUCUGGUCUGUUGAAUUAUUCCUUAAGGUUUGUUUUUUUAUUUUUUUGGACUUAUUCCUCCUGACUAGUUCGUUCAUGGAUUUGAACAUUCAAAAUCCAUUAGUUUAUGUUUUCAAGUGUUUCAGUACUCACUUUCUGUUUUCUAAUGUCAUGUUAUUGCAUCUAUUCCCCUGUUUGGGUUAAUAUGCUUAUAUAGCUCUAUUGCACUUUCAUUUGGUAAUGUCUUGUUUCCAGAAUAUCUGACUAAUGGAUAUCAAAUGUGCACAGCUAUCAAUCGACAUUAAAGCAACUCUUCCAAGAGUUUGGUGAAGGGGAUGCUGAUGCUCAAUUAGCAUCUGUGACAACACAGAUUAUGCUGGCUCUUCAGAAUAACUUGGAUGGGAAAUCCAAGCAAUAUAAAGAUCCUGCAUUGACUCAAUUAUUUCUUAUGAAUAACAUUCACUACAUUGUCAGAUCAGUGCGAAGGUUUGUUAUAUCUUUUUAGCUUGAUUGUUGAUCUGAAUUUAUGCUGUGUAAAUAGUUUCUCCUUUUUAUUGUUCUCAUCCUUAGGUCAGAAGCAAAGGAUUUGUUGGGGGAUGAUUGGGUGCAAAUACACCGAAGGAUUGUACAGCAGCAUGCAAACCAGUAUAAGAGGGUAUCUUGGGCAAAGGUUUUGUUCUUUGACCAAACUUGAUAUAAAAUGUCCAUGAUUUGUUACUAUUUUUCCAGUGCAAUUUCUUUUUCUUAUUUAGAUGUUGUUUGUUUUUACCCCACAAUUCUACUAGCUUUAUAGAUGUGAUGUGUACCUCUCUAUUCCUGGAAUAUGAUCUUCUGAUCCUGUAUAAAUUUUCUUCUCCAUUGCUCACUUAGAACUGUCAUGAUACUGUUUGUUCUUCACCAAGGGUAAGGUUGACACACACAAAAGAUUCUUCUGUCUUUCCCUUAUUAUCUGGAUUCUGUUGAUGAGUAAGGGAUGACGGACAUGCUGGACACUAUACUGCCACAGACGCAUAAACAUAAGACAUAUUUAUCUUUCAAGUGUCUAUCUUAUGCACAUGGGUUAGUAGGCUUUGUUGAUAGAGCAGCAUGAUAAUUAUUGCGGCCUUCUAUAUGGUCUGGAUUUUUUGAAUUUAGAGCUUGCGUACAUUUAUGUAUGUUAAAUCUUCCCCAAUACUCAUUAUAUCUUUGUAUGCACUUAACUAGUUUCGUAGACAUCUUGAUACUGAUCUUCCUAAAAAUUAAGCUUCGUUGGGGAUUAUAAUUAGUUCUGGAUUGAGAAUCAUUUGGCAAUAUUUGCUGCUUACUCUUAUGGUAUAUAUCUCUAUAAGACAAAUUGCUUAUAGUUGUAGGUUGUUGGAAAUUGUUUGUUUCCAUUGAAUAAAUUGCAAGACUAUAAAUUUUAACCAUUGAUUGGACAGCAAUGUGAUAAAUGUCAUGCUGUAUUACAGUUUGGACAUGAAGCCCUUGUUUUGUUCAUGGUCCCUGAUGUAUCUUGAUAUUCAGCUAUAAAUAAAUACAAGAGGCAAAUAUUUGAGAAAGCCAUUGAAAUGUAGCCUUCUAAGAUUGUGUUGUACAGACCUACAUUAUUGUUUCUGAUUAGCAUCACUUCAAAUAUAUGCUUGAUUUUGUCUCACACUUCUGCUAGGAAAGUUAAGUAUCAAUCACGCUAAGCCACUGAUAUUUCUUGCUCUACAGAUUCUGCAGUGUCUGUCCAUUCAAGGUGCUGCUUCAUCAGGUGGUGGUGGUGCGAUUGCAGAAGCUGGUAGCGGCAGUGGAGUUUCAAGAGCGAUGGUGAAAGACAGGUACAAGACCUUCAACAUCCAGUUUGAGGAGCUUCAUCAAAGGCAAUCUCAAUGGACAGUUCCAGACAGUGAGUUGCGAGAGUCAUUGAGGCUGGCAGUUGCUGAAGUUCUCCUACCUGCCUACAGAUCUUUCAUUAAACGUUUUGGGUAUCUGUUUUCUCACACUCGUGACCUGUUCUUCUAAAAUUCCUGUUGCUUCCUUAUCCCUUGAUUGUUCAAAUGUGGUUUGGGUGUUACAGGCCUAUGAUUGAAAAUGGGAAAAACCCGCAUAAGUACAUCAGAUACACUCCUGAGGAUCUUGAGCACAUGCUGAGUGAAUUCUUUGAGGGGAAGACCCUGAAUGAACUAAAGCGGUAAAUAUACUCAAGAAGCUCUCAGUCCAUGUGAUGGCUAACACUGUUUUAUUCUUUGUACUAUGAUGCGAUCAAAUAAAAGCUGGGGUAGCCUUCCUUUCCCACUGAACGCUUUUAUUAGUGUUCUGAAGUUCUGUUGUUAUUUAACUUAUUCUUAUUUUUAAACUGCUGAAGUAUAUUUUCUGACUAGGUAACUUGAAGUAUGACUUAGCUAUAUGGGUUUAUUCUGGUAGAUUUCUUUGGGCAGAAUUUGGGUAUAUCCAAACUUAAGGCAUACCCCAUCCUGCUAAAAAUUUGUUAAGAUUUGGAAAUAGGGUAGAAAAGAAAAAAAAUAAAAUAAAAAAUAUAUAUAAAUAUAUAUAUAUAUAUAUGGGAGAAAAGUCAUGUUUUUGUUUGAUUAUGGAUAAAAAUGGGAUGUAAAAAUUGAUGAAAAUUUGAUGCAUUUUGUAACUCUUCAUUUUGUUCUUGGAAAGUGAGAGAAUUUAGGAGAUGAGUAUCGGAAAUUUUAGCAAAUUCAAAUAUAGAAUUUAUUUUCUAUCUUGUUAAUUUUGCAUUUAUAUUCUUUUUUUACUGAACCUCCUUUAUCUUUUCUCUUACAUAUACUAAAAAUAAAUACAGUGGAGAAGGAAAAAAGAAUUAAGUAAAUAAGAUACGAGUUCAAGAACCAAAAAGCCAUCUUUUUCCAUUACAUCUCACCAUUCAAAAAAGAAAAAGUAGAAUUUUGGGAACCUAAUUUCUUUUUUGGAAUAUUAAGCAAAGCAAAAUGGCAAUGAAAAGAGGUUUAUGUUUUAUAUUCUGUCUUUCCUAACCCUGAGUACAUAUGUUGGUGUGUGUAAAUUUGUGGCCUCUAGAUGCAAUAUAGUGUGCCUUGUAUGAAAAAUAUAAAUGUUAGCCCAAGGGGUUCUCCUAAUCAAGUUUUGAUGAUAACAAAACAGGUCUAAAGUUACUAAGGGUUAAAUCAAGUUAAUUGCUUCAAGUUUUCUUGAAAAAUUAAAGAAAGUUCAAACAACUCAAAUAGAAGAUUCUUGUUAAUGGAAAUUUGAGCUUAUUGAAGACUUAAGAAGGCCUAGGAACAAUUGUAAGGUUGUAUUUAAAGAUGAUGUGGAAUUUAAAUGAUUUAAUCUUGUUUUCUAUAUCAUCUGAAUCAAAAUUUCAUCUUCUAGUUAAACUUUUUGAAGAAAGGAGUCAUCACUUGAACAUUUUUUUAUUUGGUAGUUAUAACUUGAACUGUUACUAACAAAUUGAAAGGACUCACAAUAUAUUUUAAAUUUUGAAAAUGACCAUGUUCAUGUUACAACUUGCAGUAUAAACAAUUUGCAAAGCUUAAAAGAUGAAGUAGAUUAAUUCAAUUUUUUUUAGGUGAUCGUGAAUGCUUCCUAAUUAAAUUUCCUUCUUGUAAACCAUUUUAAUUAUGCUUCCAGGUGCAAAUAAAAUAUCCUCUGCUGCUCAUAACAGGUUCUUAUAGUCAUGAUUCAAUAAAUGUUUGUAGAGACCUAGUUCCUUUUGAGGAAGUGGAUUGCAACAUGGCCAGUGAUGUAAGAGUAACUGGUGUUAGAACUGAUGUUGAGGCAAACUGUUCCUGUUAUGCACAUGGUGCCAAAAAGAGAGUUUGGGAGCCUCAUUGUCUUCACUGAGGUCCAAAGAAGUGAAGGAAAGCCAUCAAAUUGGCUGCCAGUUAGAUUCCAACUGGGAUAUUGUUUCGGGAAAUGGUAAAAUAGAUAAUGCAUGCUUUGCUGGAUGCUCCUUGGGAGCUACUAGAAAUGAAUCUUUGGCUGAAUUUUCCCUAGGGAUAUUCUGGCCAGGAGCUAUGUAGAGAAGAAUGUUGAAGAUCGUAGGCCACUAUCAAAAGAGCAGCUCGGUGCACUUGAGUCAUUAAAAUUUUUAAUGCACUUAAGCUUUUAAAAAUCAUCCUUUCUUGAACUUAAAUCAAUCACAUCUUCAUCAGGUCAGAUGAUUUCAUGUUUUUUUAUCAAACCCUGAUUUUAAUUCUUUCAAAAUAUGCAUUAAAGGGUUUAUAUGGUGUGUAAGAUUCUUUCCCAGAGGUUUCUGACCUCGGUCUAGCCUUUUUUCUUUAGUUAUAGUGUAACUGGUCAAGACAGGGAGGAAUUGGUUGAGCCAAAAAGGCUCGAUCAGUCAAGGUGCACAAAAUGCAUCUCUAACUUCUAGUAGCAUUUUUUAACUGGUUACGGUAGGAGGCUCAACCAGUUGCUCAAUCGGUUGAGGUCUAGAACCCCAACAGUCACCUGCAAGUACAUUUAAUGUACAAUUGCCAAUGAACUAGUCAAACCGAUUGCUUGACCAAUCAAGCCUAAGUUAUGGGUUCUUGGGUUUCAGAGCUACUCACCUAUAUAUUGAGUCUUUUAAGAGCAUUUAUGAACAAGAGAUUUUGAAAUUGGGAUAAUUUCCAAAUGGAUUUUGAAAUCAUAACUUGAAUUUCCAAAUCAUUUCGAAAUGGUCCUUCAGCCUUGUGCAGUUGUCUUCAAAUGACCCUAACUUCUUCAUUUUAGCUCCGAUUUAUGCACCGUUUGAAGCAUUGGACUCUUGACUUCCCGAGCUUUGAAACAAUCUAUAGCUUGCCCAAAAUUGACCUUGGGAAGUGCUUCAGAUUUUACCUUAAAGUCAGAGUAUGUGUUGCUGCCAGAUUUUGAAUUCUAAAUUUCCAUGUCAACUUGAUUGCAUUUGUUUCAAACCUCCUCCAUUAUAGUUGCUUGCCCUUUAUCUCACUCCAUAACAUCCGUUGCUAGUAUUUUAUGUCUAUGAGUCACUCAUCACGCCCUUGCUUGGACUCGUCAUGGUUCACAAGUCCUGAAUCUCUUCUUUAUGCAUGUUUUACCACUUCUACUUCCUUGGAUGAUAAUGAAUUUUAUACUCAUCACAUUUUUCAUCCCUUAAACCUGAAUUAGGCUCAAAAUAGAAGUUAGAUCCAUAACUAGGGUCUUAGCAUCAAUUUGAUUUAAGUUGGAUGAUUUGAGUUUUUUUAUAUUCCAUAAAUCAUGUCAUAUAUGUGCUAUUGGAGCACAUAUUUUGGCUCUAAUCAGGUCUCAAGUUGUCUCCUCGAGCUUGGUUUGAUUGUUUUACCAAAGCCGUAAAGAGGUUUGGCCAUUCUCAGUGUCAAUUUAACCAUACUCUAUUUGUAAAACACACACCUGAGGGAAGAACUGUCGUUAUCAUCGUUUAUGUGGAUGACAUAAUUCUGACCAGAAACCAUAGGGAAGAAAUAGGCAAACUCAAGAGUUUUCUUACCUAUGAAUUCAAAAUUAAAGACUUGAAGAGUCUUAAAUAUUUUCUUGGGAUGGAAAUUGCUAGAUAAAAAUAAGUAUUGUAGUCUCCCAACAUAAGUAUGUUCUAGACUUGCUAAAGGAGACUAGGAUGCUUGGUUGUAAACCUACAAACACAUCUAUGGACCACACUAUUAAACUAGGAAUUAUUGAAGGAAGUUCUCUAGUGGAUAAAGGGAGAUAUCAAAGAUUUGUGGGGAAACUCAUCUCUCUCUCACACACAAAACCAAAUGUUGCUUUUUUUAGUCAACGUGGAUAGUCAAUUCUUGAACAAUCCAAUUGAGGAAUAUAUGAAAGUUGUGUAUCGUAUUCUAAAAUAUCUCAAAAUGACUCUAGGAAAGGGACUUUAUUUCAAAAGAGCACAAAAAAGAAACAUUGAAUUUUUUUCAAAUGUAGACUAGGAUGGUUCCGUAACCGAUUGAAGAUCAAUCUCAGGAUAUUGCACCUAUGUAUGGAGGAAUUUGGUUACUUGGCGAAGCAAGAAAUAGUCUAUUGUAGCUCGAAGUAACGCAAAAGUAGAAUUUAGAGCUAUGACACAUGGAAUUUGUAGAGGAAUGUGGUUAAAGAGACUCUUAAACAAGCUGAAAAUUUUAGUAGAAGAUUCUGUAAAGAUGUUCUGUGACAAUCAAGUUGUCAUAAUUAUUGCUAAGAACCUGGUUUAUCAUUAUUAGAAGAAGCAUGUAGAAAUAGACCGUCAUUUUAUAGGGAGAAGCUAGAAGAAGGGAGAAUUUAAUUGGUUUACACUCCAAUAGCUCUCUACAUACCAGACAUCCUUACCAAGGCACUUUCUAGAACCAACUUUGAAGAUUUGAGAUUCAAGUUAGGAAUAAUCAACAUUUACAAUCUAGUUUGAGGGGAUGUGUGGAAAUUUAGAAUUUACAGCUGGGUUAACAACCAUGUUAUAGCUACAACUAUGUUACAAUUAUAUUAUAGUUGUGUGAUAGCUAGGGAUUCAAAUGUUGUUUUUUGUUUCAGCGAUAUUUUGUCGAUAUAUCGUGUAUGAGUGUAGCUUGACAUGAUAACGGGCAUGGAUAUCUCGACUGAGAGAGAGAUCAUUUUUUCUUGCCAUUUAUUGAGGGUUUUUUUGGCAAAGUUCCAGAUUUGCACCAAUAUUUCAGAUAUAUCAACAAUUUUCAGCCACGUUAGCAUGUUGUGUCAGCGAUAUUUUUCAGCUUUUACUUAAAAUUUUUGAAAUAUGGGCCUGAAGUAAGAGACACCCAUUUUUUUUGUGACAACUGAUGGAGCCUAAUUUUACAUGUGAUGAUACUUGGGGCACCAACACUUCAAAUAUGGGAAUGUUUUCUCUUCACUUUCAUGCAAGUUAGGGAAUUGAUCUUGAGACCUUAAGAAUGAAAAGGUUUGUCCUUGCCACCAAACUAACUAUACUUUGCUUAUACAAGCACAUAUUAAAAUAUAUAUAUAUAUAUAUAUAUAUAAAUUACUUAAAAUAAAAAAAAAUGAGUUAAUUUUAAUUAUGUCUUUUAUAUAAUAAUUAGGUAUAAGAUAAAUAUAAACUUAUAAAUAAAAUUAUCAAUAUUUUUAAAUAAAAAAUACUAACAUAUCAUCAUUUCUUUUAUAUCAUUUGAAUAUCCAAACUAAAUAUAUUAUCAUUUUAGUUUUUAUGUAUUAUCAAAUUCAAUAUAUUAUUGUCAAAUAUUAUAAUUUGUUUUAUCGAUAUUUUUAUAUUAAAGUUUCCAUCAAUAUUUCCUUAUAUAUCCCGAUAUAUCCAUAAAAUCUAACUACUGAUAUAUCCAUGAACACCGAUAUUUUCAUCCUUGGUGAUAGUUGUGUUAUAGUUGUGACACAACUGUGUUGUUGUAUUUCUAAUUUUAACUUACUCCCUUAUUUUAUUUUGUGAGAGAUUUUUUCUCCUAAAAUAAAAAAUUAGAUUUCUUUUCUAAGGCAGAUGACCUCAAUCGUUUGUGCAUAAAUAUUGGUACUAUAAUCAAUUUGCAAUAUAGAGAAAAAGUAUUUUUUUCCCUCAAAUUUCUUUAGUUUUUAUAGAUUUCUUGUUACAAGUUUAGACUGUUAUGAUAGUUUUAAAUGUGUGGAUGGUUUUCUUUUCCUUCCAUAGAAUAUGGUAUAUGAAAUGCGCAAGUUUUCUAUCUACUUUUGGUAUAAUUUGUUUAUAUGGAUAUGGAUUAACCAUGUAGUACCACCUACACUAUUUCAUCAGUACUAGUGGAAUAUGGUAUUGACUCAUAGCUGCCAUCAACAAUUCAUUCCACUAGCCAAAUCACCCAUAUUGUGCCAUCAAUCACAGGUUCCUCAAGCAUGUUGAAGUGUCUAUUAUAUGUCUUAUAGCAUACUGUCAGAAAUGUAAUUAUAAUAGGAAAUUAUUUUGUUGAGUGUUUUUUCUAUUAGUUUUUCUUUUUUUUUUAGUUAAAUUUUUGUUUCCAUUGGGACUUGAACCUGGUAGCUCCCACAAACCCUCCCCAACCCUUUACCACUUGAUUCCAGCCCCAAGGGUGAGUGUUUUCUCUAUUAGUUAUUACACUGUCGAGGACAUUUGACUUAAGAUACCAUCUUGUAAUGUAAACCCAUCUUAAGUCCUCUUCUAGUUCUUCCUAAUACAUUGAGAAAUUCCUUUUUCCACUAGAUGCAGGUUUUUGAAUUCUGCAUGAAUAAUGAUUGGUACCAUAUUAUGUUAGGCGAUUGGUACCAUAUUUGACCUUAGAAUCCCUCCUCCCCAUCUACCUGCAUGAUUUAAGGAUUAGAGAGUGCAACUGUGACAGUUUUGUGCUUUCAGUGGAGAUGCUAUUAAUGAAGUUGGUCCGCACUAGUAAUAGGAUGACCAAUAAAUGCAUUUUGGGGUGAGGUCAAAUUGAAAACUGAAAACAAAUCCAUCUCUGGCAGCUGUCUUGCCUUACUUUUGCCAAAAAAAGCACCCAUUUCCAUGCUGAAGCACCAGCUACUACUGUAGAGGGCCUCUAAUCUCCAUACACUAUGUGAGCAACUUAUAAUCAUUGUUUCUGUUUCUGUUUCAUUGUAAAUAAAUUCCUAAAAUGAUAUGGCAAUAAUUUUGUUUGUGAGUCAUAUUCUAGGCAAUGAAGAUCACAUGAAUGAAAUGAAGUUAUUACAAAGUUAGAAAACAGUGGUAAAGAUAAGGUUAUCUCAUGUUAUAAUAUAUGUGCACACAAAUGCAUUUUAAUGAAAAAGUGACAUAUCUGAUAAAAGAAAAAGGAAAUCUUUUCCCGUUGCCCCUUCAUCCAUAGUCCUUUUCUUGGCAAAUAGCAAUGCACUCAGACCAAGCAUAACUGAGUCAUAUCUUAAGUUACCUAUAUAUGUAGAUGCAUACACAUUCUAUUUUCUUUGGAGAUGUUUUGAAUCUCCAGAUCACUGAAACUCUCUCUUGCUUUUGGUUGGUGCUCUGAGCACCUUGUUGCUGCCAACUCAACAAACACUAAAAAGAUGACAAGAUGAUUUUGAUGGUUAUUUACUAAGCUUGCAGUAAGAUAAGGACUUUUCUUUUUAUUACCUUUCCUUCCUAUUUGGUCUGUGAUUGACAAGGAAAUAAAGAUAGUUCUUGAUUAUAAUCAGGAGUGUCUUUUUCCUUCUUCAAUCUCAGACUACACUUUAUUCUUCAUUUCUAUUUGCCUCUUUUUGACCUAAGAAUCUCUCUCUCUCUCUCUCUCUCUCUUUCUCUCUCUAGUGUGUUUUUUGAUUUCUAAUGAAUAUCACACUCUGAGGAGAAUGUCUUGAAGCUGAAUGCCUCAAGUAAAAGGGAUGAUUCAAAAUAGACAAUUACUACUUGAAAAGGCUCUCAUAAGAAAAAAUGCAUAUCAGAAGCAACAUCAAGGACACUGCACUUAUAAAUGCUUUACAAUAAUAUUAGCUGGGGAAGAAGUGGCAUCGGCAAAGUGGAAAGCAAACAAUUUCUGCCUGAUUUUGGAUGCAGAAAAUUUGGUUAUUUUUUAGAAUUACUAGAGAUGGUGUCAUUGACAAUUGAGGGAAAGGAAACAUUGGAGAGAGCAGCUUUACCUAGAUGCUUUAACUGCUAGCAAAACCAAAUACUCAACCAUAUGAUGUUGCUCAGGUGAAUGCUGAUCUGAAACUCAAUAUGACCUGAUAAUUCUUAGUUCCGUCUUAUCUAUUGUCCUGUAUUUUUUUUUUCUUUUUAUAAUGCAAAUUGAAUAUUCUUUGUUGACUGAUAAUUUGAUAGAUGUCUGACAUGUCAUGAGAAAACACCUGCUGAGAGAUCAAGCAGGAGAACAGAGAGGAUCCAUGCUGUGCUUUGACCUCAAGAACCAAAGGAGUUUAGUAGUUGGAGUUAUUGAAGAAACCAAAAAAAAAAAUUAUGGUGAGAACAUGGAAGAAAAGCAUAAGUUGCAUGAUUCUAGGUUUCAUUGACAGGACAUGAUUAUUAAAUUGGAGAAAGAAUUAGAGGCUAAGUUAUUUACACUAGACAUAUAGCACAAAUGGUUAAGUUUUCUUAAUCUGUAAAAAAGUGAUAAUAUCCUUAUAAAUGUCUCACAUUUGAUCUCAUGUUUAACUAGUAAAUUUCAAGAAAUUAGUUAUAAAUCUUCCAUUGAGAUGCAAUUAUAUUGAUAACAUUUUGCCUUUAUAUUUGGUUUGCUGUAGAAUUACUUUUUAUAUCAGAAGUUGGUGGAAAAAUGAUAUUUCUCUUUCUGGGAUAAGGACAUGGUAACAUUCUCCCAACUUCUGCCUUAGAUCCUUUGGCUGCUUCUGUGUUUAAUUGAUGUUAUGAAUGAUGUAAUUGGGGAGGGUAAAGUAAAUUGGAUUGUAACAAUAAUGACACAACUUUGGCGCUCUCUCUCACACACAGAUGCUCGGUUGCUCACUCACUCAUAUGUGCAUGCUCACAUGCACCGAUAGGUUUUUAAAUGUUUAAUGCUAUUAUAUUUGACUAGUUUGUUUAAGAAUUUAAUUUUACUAAUAAUUGUCUCUCACGUGCUUGUCCAAUAUUUAUAUGUAUAUAUCUGUAUCUCAGGCACACAUAAUUAGGUUGAUUAAAGGUUUGUUGCUACUAUAUUUGCUUUGAGGUAGGUUUUCUUGGCCUUCAUCUUUGUCCCUUAGCACCUUGAACUUGAAUCAAAUCACUCCUCCCACUCUAAUUCAUUUUUUUCCAUUGCAGCCCACAUUCAAAAUACCAAAGCCUUGCAAAUUGAAGGUGAUAGACCCAGGUAAAUCUUUGCACUGAUUCUGUUUCUCAUUAAUAGUGAAUCUCUGUCAUCCAUCACUACUCAAAGAGGUUCAUAUGUUUUUGCUUUUUCUUCAAGUUUCAUAUUGUUAUAGGGUUUUAUUUGUUCAACUUAGUCAAAAAUUUCACUUGCUUAUUCUGUUAGAUUCUUACAUCAAUGGAAAUUUCUGGGUGAAAGCAUACUUCGCCUGCUCAGCUUGCCACUUGGGGCAGCCACUUCACUCACAGAUUAGCAUUUCAGGUUAACAAGUUGAUAGCUGUGUUCCAAUCAUGGUUAUUGAUUUUGAACUACUUCAAGCAGGUUAGCUUUCACUAGUAAACCUUAUUUGCUAGAGCCAAUGGUAUCAUAAUAUGUUAGAUUGCAAAUUGUAAGCUUUGGUGAAGGUGUCUUCAAUGCUGGAUGGCUUCUUUGUGUGCAGAGACCAAUACAGGUCUGAGUUCGCCAGUAACUCUCAUUUGAAAGCAAUCGGGGCUAUGGCAUCAUCAUAGCCCUCUCCUCGAUUAAUGGCCAUACUAAAUUGCUUAACAUAGUCUUGUACACUUUCCCUUUCAUUCAUUUGGAUAUUAAGGAGGGAAGAAUCCAUGUCUCUUCUUUGCCGAAAAGAACACAUAUGUUGAGCCACAAUUGUUGUGCACAAUUUUUAAGAAAGAAGAAAUAGACCCGCUCGAGAGAUUAUGGAACUAAAUGAGGGGUGGGCUUUGCAGACUUGUUGGGAAUGCGUUGCAAAGCCCUGCAUCAGGAUGAUGAGCUGACAAAAAUGCAUUAAAUGGUCAACCAGGUCUCCCAUGCCAUAAUAUGGAUGUAAUUUUGGAAACACAAACCUGGUUGGGAUUCUUGCAUUAGUGAACAAGCUGUUGACUAAGCCCCGAAUGAUUUGACUCACAAAUUGUUGUCUUCUUCCUAUUCAUAGCAUCCUUUGAAAAUCAUCCAACUGCUCUUCAAUAGUGCCUUUUUCCUUGAAGGUAUGAAUAGCCUCAUUCCUUACCAACUUAUCUUCUUCCAAGGUUGGGGGUGACUCUUCUCGGUGAGAUUGAUUUGUCUCAUGCAAAACGAUAGUGUCAAGGGAGAAGUAGAACGAUAGGAGUGUAACAAUGCUUGAAGCUCUUAAUUGUCCCUAGCCAAAGUAUCCUCUAUUUGAGAUAGAGAUUGCAUUCUUUGCUCAAGCCGGAGUUGUUGUUGCUCUGGCCAUAACUGUAGUCGACAAAGAGGCUCUUCCCCUGAAGGGCCCUUUCCAUUGUAGUGUAGGGAUGCAACUUGGCUAACCCGACCAACUUGAGGUUUGAGUUGGCAUGGGUAAUAUGUGAAGGGUUUGAGUUAGAAAAAUACCCAAAUCGACGAUAUCAAGACGGGUGAAACCUGAACCCAUGUUUUAUUUAAAAUAUGAAAAAUAUAUAUAAAAAAAGGAUGAUAGAACUUUAUCCUUUACCUUUUACAAUUGUAGGAUACUAAUAAGUUUAUCAUUUUUGUUUAAUUAUUUAAAUAUUUUUAACUUGAGUUUAGAGUUAUUAUUUAUGUUAAAUUAGCAAUUAAUAAAUAUAUUUGAUUGCUUUAAGACAUCUUUGGCAUUUAUGGUUGAUAUUUUAUAACUUUGAAAUAAAUAUUUUAUUUAGCAAGAAACUCUAUUAUAGGUCUUUUAGUUGACAAUAUGUAUGAGAACUUUUAGAAAUUUGAGUUGUCUGUGGGCUUAGCAUGGGUUGAGAAUUCCUGAAAACUAUUUCCAAAUCUCCAACAUUUUCAAAAAAUUUAAUUGAAAGUUGUCUUACAAUUCCAAUUGAAUUUUAAAGUUGUUUUUUUCCAAAACAUUUUUCCAUAUUUAUAUUGAAAUUUUGUCUUCAAUGGACAACUUUUAAUUGAUGUUAUUUCAAUUGAUAUUAUAAAAAAUAAGGUGGUAGAUUUAGAAAUAAUUUUUAAAAUAUCAAAUUUUAAUAAAUAUUUUUUUUUUCAAAAAUCUGAUAAACAAUCUCAGCACAUGAUAACCUUCCAAUCCAUCCUACUUAAGUGCUAUGGGUGUUGUGGUUGGGAUGUCACUGAAAUAACCUCCGUCCUCUCUCAUUUUUGCGGCCGGUGGUUAUUCUCAUUGACGGUGCCAAGACAUUGAGUAUUUUCUCUUCUUUCUGCUCGAUUUUAUAGAUAUUUUGGGAACAAGUUACCAAGUGGUAAUAUUAUGGGUAAUGGAGUGAGAGUGGUAGGAUCAACCACAGUCAGCUGGAUGCCCAUAUCUUUGACAGAUGGUAUUCCUCAACUAUGUCGGGUUCCUAGCUUUGUACCCCUUCUAUCUAGUACCUACAUAAAUUCUAAUUUUUUACAAUUUUUAUUGAGUUCUAAUAUUAGUCAAUUUUUAAAGACAACUGAUGUAAAAAUAUUUUUACCAAGUUUAAGCAACUGAUUAGAGGUAUUUUUUGUAAUUUAUUUUGAAAGGCUAAUCAUUUUUAAAAAUAAUUUAUAAAUAUAAAUAUAUUAUAUAACCAUCCUUUUAUGUAAAAAUUUUUUUUUUUUUUUUUUAAAGUAUCUGUUCUAUUUCUAUUCUUUUAAGACCUUUACUUCUCAAUGAAAGUCCACUGGACUGUUAGUAUUUUAAUGAAAUUGUUGCAGCUCUUUGUUUCCUGGAUUGAAGAAUGCUAUUAAUUGUCCAGGUUUUGGUCUUUAUAUAUAUUUUUUCCCUUAUGUGUUGGUUGAAUUUUAGGUAUAUAAUGUGCAUGUUUGCAUAUUUUCAUAAUUGUCAGAAUAAUUCUAUAAUUUCUUGUUCACAUGGAGUCUAUCUAUACCAUUUUCAUUAUACCAGAAAAUUUCUAAGUUGCCCUCGUAGUUGGUAUAUAAUUUACAUCUCUUUUUAUAAUCAAAAUUUAGUAGCUCUCAAAAAAGUUAUAUUUAUUGGCUUAUCUUCAACUUAUGUUUUUUAUUUUCUUUUUUGGUUAGGUUUUUCCAUAUUCUCAUGUGUUAUUUCUUCUACUUUACCUAGUAAAGGUGAAGGCACCUUGAGCACUAGGAGAUGGGUGCUUUUACCACUCAUUAGUCAUUUCCAUAUUAAAUAUAACAAUAACCUGAUGCAUGUGGUUCUGAAUCAGAUGUUUAUGUAAUGAUUAGCAAAGCAAACACAUUAGACUCUAAUCAUUGCUACCUGUGAGUCUAUUUGUUCAAAUAAUUACGAAUAGGAAGCUUAAGCCUCACAAGACACAGUCCUAUUGCUUCACUAGAUGAGAAAACCUUCCUUGCUAUAUGCAAGCCAGUAUUGGAGUGGCUAUUUGUCUACUAACCAGAUUCUUCAAGACCUCGAAUUCUAAGAUUAUAGGUUUGGCUAAUAAAAAGAGUCUGCCUUUGGAUAUGUCAUUCAUUAAUUGACAGAAGUAAGCCUUCCAUACAAGGAAAUAUAUGUGUGCGCCUAUAUAUUUAGAGAUAUAUAUUACAGUUGCAAUAAAUCUUAGGCAUAUUGAGAACUUUUUAACUAGUGUUGAAUUUUUGAUGUGGUUACUUUUGUUCCAGAUUAACAAUAAGAAAAUCUGUGCUUUAUGAUGCUGGUACUCUUGUUGGUAUGUAUUUCCAAGAGUCAAACCUGUGACUUCCAAAUCUUAUGAGAAGUACAUGUUAAAUUAUCAAAGUUCAGCUAUUUUUUCUUCUUUUAUAUAUCUUGGGGACAAAAGGAAGUGUUUGUGCAACGUAGUGUGCCUUCCUGGAAAAUUUGCUCGUUUUAAAAUAUCAUUGAUAGUAUGGUUAUAUCAAGAAACUAUCUUUUCAACUUAUAGCAAAUAAGAGACAUGAAUCUUUUUCUUUUAUUUGUUACACCUAUGAUCCAAUCUUACAUGGAACAUAAAUCACUAGCAUAUCAGACAAUGGAGCAUAGAUUGUUAUGAUAUGGGGAAUGGAAAUGAGUACACAAAACAGUAUAUAAACUGGAACGUGGUAAAUCAGGUUAGGCUUAAAUGGUCCAUCGAUUGGUUAUUAAAAAUUAGAUUGUUGUAAGAUAAAUGCAAUAAUACCUUUUUUUUCCCAUUUCUAUAGAAGGGGCUAUAUGUUGGUAGUUCUCUCUCCUUUUUGGCAACUUUUUAUUUUUUCCUUUAAAAUGGAUUGACCAUGUAAUGCCACAAAACUACUUAUUUCAUAUUUCUGUUAUUCUUUUGGUAUGUUAUAACUGUUGAUCCAGUUUGCUUUAAAGACUUGUAUCCUCUUGCAUUUUGUUAACUAUUUGUAAUCUUGUUUUGUAAAAUUCAAUGAUAUAUUAAGGUUUAGUUUUUGACCUCUUCAAGCUUGUUUUCUAAUUGUUCAUUUUUCUUAGCUCUUUUUUGAAACCUUAAGCCCGCUUCCUUGUUUUUCAGCUAGUUUCAUUUGGAAAUCUACAUCCCCACCUAAAGCAAAAGCCUUUUGUAUGGUCAGUGGCAAAUAAGCAACACCAACAAGAAGCUAUAGGUGAGCAGGCCUUAUAAAGGUUUUUGUUUAAAUUGUGUUUAUGUGCUUGUGGCAUGGUGAAUCAGUUGGUUAUAACUUUCUUCACUGCCUAUUUGCUUUAGGGAUUUGUUAUAAGUUGUUUGCAUAGCUGGGAUAGACAGGGUUUCUCAGAAUUUUGACAAAUAGGAUGAUUAUCUCUUUUAAGGAGUUUGGGAGACUCCCUAGAGGUGGAAUUCUUCGGUAAUUGGUGAGCCUCACUUUGAUUUGGAUAAGGUCAAUAAUUUUGUCAAGAAUUCGGUUGAUUUAUUUUCUUCUCUAUGACUUUAUAUUUUUGAAGCUUUGAACAGGUACUCCCUUGAAUCGCAUUUUGCUAUAUUGAAACGAAGCAGUACCAAAAUUUUUAUAGGAGUGAAGUGAGUUGAGCAUGUACAUGUUUGUCCUGUAGAGGGAGUGUAUGUAUGGAGUAAACUUUUAUUCUGAGGAGAUUUUUUCCAUUGAUUUACACGUGUGUGUGUGUGUGUGUUUGCAUUUAAUGGUUUGUUUAGUUGUCUGUUUCACAACAACAGAGAUAGGUUUCAUCUUGAAGAAUGCUUGCUGCAUGUAUUACUGAAAAUUCCAAGUACCCUAUUUCUUGAAUAAAAUUGAAGGAGAUAUUUUUUUGAGGGCUUGAUCAGCAUGGAAACAAGUAUCUUUUACUAGCUUUAUGGUGUGGUUGUGAGCAAUUGAGAUAGGAUCCGACUGAGAUGGUCCAGUUUUAGUCUGGACAAACCAUUUUGCCCCAGGUUUCGCUUUUCAAAAGCCAAGGUUUUGGAAACUGAUGUGCACCUUGUAAAUUCUAAUUAGUAUAUUGAACAACUUUGAUAAGAUUCCCUCUCACAAGCAAAGGGGCCCUACUGUAUUGGACUCCAUCAGGCUGAUUAAGACCCCCAGAAUGGACAUUAAAAGAGACGCUUUCAACUUAUUGGACGUUGAACUUACUUUUUGAUUGCAAAAAUGAAGAGGACCUUGUUCAAAUGCAUCAGUAGAAUGGCCAAGUUGUGGUGUAAAGUCUGUUUGUAGAAUGUGAAAAAUAUUCACCUUUUCCAGUGGUUUUUAAGGACAAGCCUAUGGUAUAUGGUAGAGUUAAAUCUCUUUAAAUAUGGAGGAGGUAGAUUGCCUUGAAAUCAUAUAAUCCCAAUUCAUUCUAUUACGGUAACUUUCGGGCAUUAAAGUUACUUUAAGCGUGGCUGAAUUAAUACCACAUGUCCUGUUAUAGUGUCAAAGAGACGCCUAAGUUUGGUUUGCUUUCAAUUCCAUAAUGCCCUUGAAAGUGACAUUAUAUUGAGACGUCCUAAUGGUCAUUUAAUAUUUUUUAUUUUUCCCCUUUUAGGUUUUUUAUUGUUGAACUUGCUUCCAUAUGAAAUACUGAGACUGAUGUGGAUGUCAUUGUUGUGAGCUCCAUCUAUCUUCCUUGCGUUAUCUGAACUCAGGUUGCUGUUACAAGAUUCCCCUAACAAGGCUUUCUUUAGUUUAGACCAUCUAAUCUCACUAAACAAAGCCUUCAUGUGGUCCAUUCUUGACUUAAAUUUGAAAAUCUUGCUGGCAUGAUGAGAGAUGCAAUAUAUUAUAUAUUAUAUAUUUAUAUUUAUAUUGAUGUAAAGCUUCCUCUGUAUACUUGUGUAUUUGGAUUUCUUAAAAUUCAUUUCUUUGCUUGCCAUGACUUCGUUUUUCUUACCCUCUAUUUGUUUGUUUUCUGCCCUGGAGAAUUUCCCAUCAUCCAAACAGUCUUUUCUCCCUCUGAUUUUUUUUUUUUUUUUAAAAUCUCUUCUCCCCACGCUUUAUUCCUUCUACUUUAUAGAGUUUUGUCCCUUGCACUAGCACUGCUCAUGGAAUUUGGAAAGUGAGCUUGAUACAAAAACUGAGCGCCUUUCCUGUAAUCCAGCAAUGUGGGCAUCAUCUGUGCGAUGGGAGUGCACACCACGCGCAGACCUUGAAAAAAAGAGGAUAUAACUGCUCUGAAAAUUAUGCGGAUGUUAGAGGUUCAAAGAAGAUCUUGUAGGGACUUCUUAUCAGUACAACGUGGUAAGACUCGAGUCUGUGAAAGCCAAGCUUUUGGGAUCCCCCUCCUAGGUAUAUACACCCACCACACGUCUCUGCCCACCGAUAAUCCUUAGCUUCUACACGCUGGUUAGCCAACCUUUCUCCCUCUGUUCUGUCGGAAUCGGUUCAGAAUUUGGCGGGGGUUCUCUGCACCUGCCAUGUGUCUCACUACUCCCCAAAACCUAAUCAUUUUUCACUCGAGGGCAUUGUGGUAAAGAAUGACUUCGGGGUUUUGACUAGUCAUACGAGCAUUGAAUUCUCAUUUUUAUCUAUUUAUUUAUUUUUUAUAUGCUCCCAUUUGUCCUGUAACUAUUCACUUCCAAUAGUUUCAUUGGCCGUGACAAUAACAAUUGAUUUUUAACCAAUUGAUGGAGAAAACUAAUCAUACGCUUAAAAUAGACUCUAUACAAUUCAACAGUUGGAGUGCGACAUGCAUAACUAAAUGGGCACUGCCUUUUUAAAAGGUCCCCCACCAUCUAAAACAAUAUGACAAUGUCCAUGGACCAAAGUGUGUGAUCAAUUUGGUGGUCUUGCCUUGGAAUAUUUUAGGUUGAGCCGGUUUGUUUUCUCCUAAAUUUUAUUUCAGUUUAGUCUUGCAAUCUCGACCACUCUUAAUAUCCAAUUCCCAAGUUGUAUAGACAGCCAUUACAAACGAUAAGGACCAGGUGGCUCCCACCUAAAUUAUUCACAAGCUGUUUGCCCCAUUUCUCUUGUCAUAUUGUGCCACAGAGAGAUGUUAAAUUUAUUGAUUUCAGAUUACUCAAUCAUCAUGAUUUAAUUGUUGGCGGUUCCCAAAAUGUCAUCCAAACAUGAUGGAUUAGUAGAACAAAAAUAAUAAUAAUAAAAAAUCAAAAGUAGACUCCCCCCGAUUAGCAAAGUAAACGAUGGUCAUCGGUUGCAUCCAUUUUAUUUGUGGGAGGUGCAAAUUGUGUUACGAAAGUGGGGGUGAAGGAGAAUAUGAUGAGAAGGAAAGUAGGUGGAACAUCGCUUUUAAUAAUUGAGAUUGAGAAAGAGAAGAGGAUGAGGGGAUGAGACAAGGGCCUUUCUAUUAUUUUAUUUCACUGUUAUUAUGGUCGCACUCUCUUUGAUCAUCUCCUUGUCACGAAUUUGAAAUUUCUUCCAUCUCCCUUCCUUUUCACUCUUUAUCAUGUUAGGAACUUAGGGCUUAGGACUUUAGUUUCCACCGCCCACUACAACCUCCUCUCAAAUCUUCCGACACCAACUCUUCAGUUACCCAUCUAGAAACUAUCUUCUAAUGAGACCUACUUAGUCUUUCUCCUACUGUCAAUUAAAAUCGAAGAUAAAUUAUUUGUUUAUGAGAUAAAGUGUGCCUUACGAAACUUCCAACCAAUUUCAUACCAACCACUGUUAGGCCACUUGAUAUGGGUCCCAAGUGACUCGCGGUCAACACACUCUUCUUUGAAAUGAACCUCUUUUGCCCAAUUUUGACUAGUCAAAUUCACAUUCAAUCUACCACGGUACCACCUAAUAAAUUGAAAUUAAUUAUCCUCUGCUUUUUAUUUUUAUUUUUGUUUCAUUACAAAAGAAAUUUUUUUUGGCCCUUGUGCAUAUUGGAGGCGAUACAGCCCAUGUCGCUGGAGUAUUUAUUCAGUUGAUGCAAGUAUUCUGACUUAUUGAAUAACUUUUACUCUUAAAUAUUAAUGCUCACUUACCCUGUUAGAAGAAAACGAUCAUCUUGAGACUGACAAGAAAGCGAGAGGAUUCAAAAUUUCAGCCUGUUUAUGCUGUGGCAAUCAUUCGACUUUGCUGAAAAUGAUUUCUUCUGCCUAAUUUUUUGUUAUUAGUAUGUGGAAUGAAUGAGUGGAGAGCAAGAAAAAUUUUGCGCCUUCGUGUACGUGUACUGCGUUCGGAAUUGAUCAUAGGUGAGGCCUAUGAAUGUAUCAUUCUAGAUGGAAAUUAAGUACAAGUACAAAUUAAGAGAAAAGUGGAAACAAAAAGAGUGGAGAAAUGCUCAAGGCCACUUAAUUAAAUAAGCCCACAAUUAAGAAAAUGCAAUUGUACUUGUGACCCAUAUGCCCUGAAAAUAUGUGACCCAUAUGCCCCUUCAUUCUCUCUCUUAUAGGCUGUAUAUCAAGUUCGGUUAACUUUUGGAUGCUACUGCGUGUAUAUUCUAGAACAUCAAAAUGGUCGGCUGGGUGAGCUGGGAUCCUCCGGGUGAUGAUAAAGUGGGGUCCAGUCAUGGCCGCGACGUGUUUUGAUCUAACCUAUUCAAUCUGACAUCCGACGGUCAUCAAGCUACAUGCGCUUUGAACCACUUUAUUCAGCAUCAUAUAAAGGUAAGCCCGUCAUAACAAAAUAACACCUUUAGGAAAGUCAGGAUGCCUUUAUUUCUUAGGCACUUGAAAAGUCAUAGGCCUUUUUCAUCCAUUGAAGUUUGCUCAUUCAUUCAUGAUUUAUAUAUAUAUAUAGAUUUUUGUGUGUCGUAGGACCUUUAUUUAACCAGAAAGUUCCCACUGAUAAAAGGGAAGGUGAAGGUGCUCUCAACCUCGGUCAUAUUAUUUGAUUUAAAUUAUUGGCCUCGCCAGAGAUUGUUAAAUUAUGGAUUUUUCCUUUAUAGCAUAGCACCUAUCAAUUUUUAUUUCCAAAUCUCACCCUCAGUGCGAAGCCAUGAAAUGUCUUCUCUAUUCUUUUUUAAUAUAAAGGUGAAUCCAAUCAUAAAGCAGAAGGGAGAAAGUUGUGGACAUAUUCAGAAUCUGUCCAGCAUACCCAGCCAUAGACGCAGGCUUCCAAUGUGUUGUACAUAUAUGUUGAUAUACAGGGCUUCUCUUCGUCUCGAUCACCUCCCUUGCUUAAAUUUUAGCUUCUCCAAUUUUUUUAUUUUUUCUAAAUUAUUUGACCCCAUAUUGACAUGGAACAGUCAAUUUGUAACAAGUGGCAAAGUCGGGAAUCUCGAGGUAGAGUUUGGUUUUCACCCUGAAAACGCGGAAGGUUUGAUGGAGUUCCUUUAUUUCAUGUGUGACAAAUCCCCAUACAUAGCCCACAUGUUCACUCUGAUCUUAUGCUAUUAUAUUUCCGAAGGCGGUCCCGAAUUGAAAAGACUCCUUCAUCUACCAAAUUCAAUGUCACAAAAGAAUAUAAUAAAAAUAAACAUCAAAAUGCAUCUUAAAAUUUUAUCAUCUACAAUUCUCUAUUUUUUAUUUUUACCAAUAAAAUAGAUGUCAGUAAAGGAGUGGGAAGUCAACUAUCUGAAGUUAAAACAAGUCCUGCUCUUCCGUAUUCAUAAUAAAUACGAAUUUUAUUUAUAUGGUAACAGAUGAUGUGAAUUACAAAUACAAAGCGUUCGUCACACGGAACUUCUCACACAAAAGCAGAGGCCACUCCACUCACUUCAUAAUUCAUUUCUCCUCCUCCUCCUCCUCCUCCUCCUGCUUUCUCCCUCUCUUAGCUUCCUUCUCCCACCAUGACUUCAAAAGACUGCGGCAACCAUAGGCACAAGCAUCAUAAGCUGAGGCGAUGCUUCGCCGGAUUGCUUAUCUUCUUCUUCAUCGUCCUCCUCGUCGUACUCCUGGUGUGGGCAAUCCUCCAGCCCAAGGACCCACGCUUCGUCCUCCAAGACGCCACCAUCUACGCCCUCAACGUCUCCACCCCGAAUAUCCUCACCGUCAACAUCCAAGUCACCAUCACCACCCGCAACCCCAACGACAAGAUCGGCAUCUACUAUGAGAAACUCGACACCUACGCCACCUACCGCGGCCAGCAGAUUACCCUCGCGUACCUCAUCCCCCCCACCUACCAGGGCCACAAGGAGAUCAUCACCUGGUCACCUUUUCUCUCCGGCACGGCCGUACCCGUGGCUCCCUACAACGCCAUUGCACUGAAUCAGGACCAGUCGUAUGGCGCCCUCAC
RNAcentral lists this long non-coding RNA (89315 nucleotides) under Vitis vinifera (wine grape). RNAcentral's name for it is "long non-coding RNA (VVIN_LNC002595)". The record is from RNAcentral. Lineage: Eukaryota; Viridiplantae; Streptophyta; Magnoliopsida; Vitales; Vitaceae.